AGGUAGGGGCUCCGGGCUCGGUAUUUCCCCCGCGCUUCGCCCACGUGGGGCCGAGCCUCGGAAUCUGCAGCCAGGUGGCCGCGUGACUCUGAGCAGGGCUCCCUCCCAGCCUUCGUCUUCUCCCCCGAAAGCAAUCAUACCUGGCCUUCCCACCUCACAGGGCCCUUAGCGUGGGUCGUAUCCCACAAAGGUGGUGCGAAUGCAGGUGUCUGCCCACAGGUCCGAAGGUCAGUUAGCGAGGCUCAGGCCAGCCCCGCUGGGGGUAGUAACUGGGGAAGAGCUGCUUCAGGCUGGCAGUUUGCCCCUGGGAGAAUUCCAGCAUGACAUCUGCAGCCCUGUGGUUCCCGAAAAGACCGCUCUCACACGGAAGAAGAAGACGUUCGUGGGACUGAGUCCCACCCAAGUGUAGAGAAACUAAAAAUGAAAUUAAAAAAAAAAAAAAAAUCAGACUUUUUUUUUUUUUCCCCACUAGUCUUCAGCAUUGGUUUUUGGAACCUAUUUCUGGCUUCCUCUUCUGGGCUUUCCUAUAAAAUUGUCAGGCGAUAGGAUGUUACCUUGUAUUCUACUAAAGCGGCAUUGUAGAAAGCCUUGUUAAAGUAUUUGCCAUCAUUCCUUUAUUAUUACUCCUUAGUUGCCUCCAAGACAGACUGGAGAGGUGUUCGGGAGAAAGUAGAUAGAGUCUCCCACUUUUUUCUAUGGAAGUCAGCCUUGCAUUUGCAUUUAGUGUAUACUAAAUACUGUAUAUUUCCAUACAGCCCGGGAAACCGUAGCAUACACUCAUUUUAAAAGAAAUAAAACCUCGCAAAAGUUUUGUUUUCUCCCUUUGCCUGAACUGAAAUAGCACAUCCAGUUCUUGUUCUUUUUUCCUAGAAGCUGAACGCUGCACUUGGUGGUUUCUUUUUGUGGUCUCUUCCAGCUCUAUACCCCACAAAGUUUGUAUUUGCAAAACGAGACCAUGUGGGCCUCCUUUUUGUAGUCUCCCGCCUGAGUCACUUUCCCUAACAGAUCUUUAGCCCAGCCUGGGAUGUGAUUCUUUGUACCGGAGUUGAAGGUACCUAGGAGAAAACGUUACACUUGCUUUCCGAGACUCAGGGAAUCGUUGCUGUGUCUACAGAGUGAUUGGCUCCACUCGGAGUCCCUGACUCUCCUGAAACAUAAAGGGACUUAAGUGUGUCAAGGUCAGCAAUUUGGCAAGAAAAGUAUGUUUCACGUUAGACGGUGACACAGAAAAAAUGCCUUAAAGGUUGAUACAUUAGAUACUUAUUUUGCAAAUUCACCCAAAUUAUCAGACAGGGAAGAGAGGAAUUUGUUGAGUUUCUGCGUAGGUUUUUGAGUAAAUAUAGAAUUAUAUCCUUCAAGGUUUGAAAAAUGCUAAAAAUUUUUUUACUACUUCCAAGAAAAAGAGGAAGCAGACUGGCUAUAGUAAAUAAUAUCUCUGUGAUAUCGCAGUCAAUCAGACUGUGGCCAGACGAUUUCUAGAUCUCUGAUGCUUGGCACUGUUAAAAGUACAUUCCUAAAAUUUCACUGUUGAUAUCUAUUGCACAGAAACCAAGUGAUUGUUAAAAAUUAUUCCCUACCCUUACACAUUUUUUUUUAACCCUCUUCGGUAAACCUGAGCUUAGCAGUUACCAAAGUUCCCUCCGGUUUGGUAUAUCUUGGAGACUCUGAGAAGUUGGAAAAAUUCUUAAACUAUAAUGAUAAUCAGGCUGGCUGGACCACUCCCUUUAUGGUUAAGUCGUAGAGUAUCAGAAGGCUGGCGGGGACCUCACAAACAUUCUUUUAGGGAUGAGGGUCCUACAGACAGCCUCACCAUGCAGCUCUGGUCUUCUGACCUCAGGAACUUUUCUUUCCACAACCAUACUUUCCUCUAUUCCAGUGCAUGGAAAUAAGACUGGCUUAUAAACCGUGACUUACUUGAUUAAUUUAUUCAUCCAUAGGCACUCAACAAUGCUCUCCAAGUAGGCAUAGAAAAUGCUUGCAGUUUGGGGAACUCACUGUUCUCUGGCAGAAAUAUCCUGAUGGUUAUUCCUUGAAGCGUGCAUACAUGGAGACUUGUGGAGCAGCUGCAUAGCUUUUGCAUAACCAGUGAUGCACUGUGGUUGAUGAGGAGUGUGAGGAUGAGGGCCAUGUUGCAGCCCUUCCUCUGUGCCCCCCCCCCCCCCGAGAACUUCACUGACUUGAUUUCAUGGAGUACUUCACUUGAUUUCAACUCUGUGUUUGUUGUCUUUCUUCCCCACUAGAGCUCCUUGGGGGUAGUCAGGACUGGAUUUUUCUUCUUCACAUCUCUCAACCCUUUGUGCAAUUACCAGCACAGGGUAGGCUUUUAUACAUUUGAAUCAAUGAAAACUUUUUUUGGAACCAUGCAUGCGGCCAAAUAUAUUCGCUGGCAUUCAAGAGAUGAGAUUUGCCAUUGAAGUUUUUCUGUCUAAUGGCUGGGCGGUGAGUGUUCCAUAAAGCUCAGAUUGGUAAGAAAAUACGAAUCCAUCAUGGGUUGCAAGGUGUCCCUUGACAGUAAGCUCUGGCUGUCUCACUAGUGACUAAUGAUUCUUGCUACAGCAAGAAAAUCUAAUCUGGAGGAGAGGUAGCCGAAGAGCAGAAAACAAAUGUGGAAGUUUGGAAAUGGUUAGCAGUUUUCUAACAGCCUGGAUUCUGGGGUGAUUCAGAAGAUUUUCAGUCAUACGAUGAGGCUGUUCUUGCAUGGAAAGGCUUCACGACUUUUCAGAAGAAACUGCACAAAAUGUAUACCUCUCCAGGAAGGAGAGGUAAGCUUUAUGAUCGCAGGUGAGAUUGAGAGUAAUUUAUGUAAAACUAUUAUAUUCAUAUAGAAUGGUAAAAAGAGCAAUGGAUCCUUUUUGCCCCAGAUUCAGGAAAAGGGCUAAGUCUGAGAAAAGGCCAGAGGGACUUAGGAGUGGGAGGGAACACAGAGUUCUGGAAAAAGAAAAUAUGACUUAGCAGAACUUAAAACAACAUCUGGGAGGGUAUAGUUAGUCAUGGAAAAAUUGGCAGUCAUGAUUGUGCAUUUUAUGAAAAUAAUUAUGUACUAGUUCAAAAGUUAGCGUUUAGACUGAAAUUAAAUAGUCGAAAGCCUGUACGAUGAACUCUAUUAUCCUCACCAUGCAAAAAUACUUCUAUUAGCUGUCUAAAAUCAUUUACAGGAAGCUUUACCAAGUACGUUAUCGCACAGCACCAAUAUUUUCAAAGCCUAAUUUUAGAGAAAUAACUUCCAGUUCAAACCUUACACAGGAUUAGUAUGUUCAGCACAAAAGUAUCUUUAUAAACCCAAGGCUUAUCAAACAGCCUGUCAACCUCCAUUUCAUGAGCAGUAAAUGUUAUUUUUAUUCUGUACGUACAAUGUUGAUAAACUAGAUACAUCCUAAACACAAGUCGUGGAUAUUGUUUUAGCAACAAAAAGUCAUUUAAAAUGAAAACCUUUAACGUAUAUUCUCAUUAAUAUAGCACAUAUACUUUUAAAGUUUGUACACGGUAUCAUUUUAUGUAAGCAUCCCCUAAUUCCCAAUUUCUAUAGCUCCUUAUGCUUGACAUAUGCACUAACUCGAUGAACAGAAAUCCGUUCAUUCAAUAAAUACUUGACUAUCUUCCUGAUGCUGAGUUCUCCCUAGACCUUGGAUAUACAGAAUAAAACAAGGAGUCUCUUUCCUAUUAAAUAUGUGAGCACUCCUACUUACUGUCCUGGUUUUAAUUGUUUGAAUGACUUCCUGUCAGCAUUUUGGAUUGGAUAUAAAACAAUCUUAAUGUUAUUUAUUAAUAAAUUUUCUUCCAUGCCAAAAAAAUUUAUAAGGUUAGGCCUGUCAUGGUCAAUCCAUCGGACAGGUAUCUUCAACUCAGAAAAUUAUCUGUAGCCUUAAAAUCCAUGUACUUUAUCAGUUUGAAAGUAUGGAUGAACUUUCAAAAUUUUGCACGUGGGAAAAAAGUCAAUAUCCCAUAAACAGGCAAAAGAUAGCUAAGUAUGGGAUUCCUCAGAUGAAGAGUUAAAAAAAAAAUUGGUGACAUAACUAGUUUAAAAGUACUCGCAUCAGAGGCCUUGUUCUUUUUUAGAUCAUUUAUUUGUUGACAUUUUAUAAAAUAGCAUAGUUUACAGAUGCUGUAACGUAUUAGCUCGCAAUCCAUCCAGUCACUUGCCGCCUUUAAUGGAUGAUACUCCAUCCUGUUACAGCAAUGCCUCUUUCACACAGAGCUUGCGAGCUGGAAAGUAAUUGCUGAAUAAGCAAAGUUUUCUGCACAUUGGAAGCAUGGUUCUAGCAUUCGGCUAGUUGUACUUGCCAACCUAAACCACUACCCUCUGUUACUAUAUUGCAGCAACUCGAAGUUCUACGUUUAUUUAUUUUUUUGGGGGACAGAGAGAGACAGAGCAUGAACGGGGGAGGGGCAGAGAGAGAGGGAGACACAGAAUCGCAAACAGGCUCCAGGCUCCGAGCCAUCAGCCCAGAGCCUGACGCGGGGCUCGAACUCACGGACCGCGAGAUCGUGACCUGGCUGAAGUUGGACGCUCAACCGACUGUGCCACCCAGGCGCCCCGCAACUCGAAGUUCUAAAUCAGCUACACACCAACCACAAAAUGACUCCUCUCCCCUGUCAUAAGGACCAUAACAGGACAUAGACUAUAGAGGGAGCUUGUGGUACCAUGACAGGACUGGGUUUUCAGGAUUUGGUAAACUUUAUAGACAGCUGUUAAAUUGACCAAAUCAAAAGGAUGGGCCUUAAACCUGGCCCUUAUUUUUAAAAAUAGGUUUUGUCUUACAUCUCCUAUCCUUUAUGGAUUUGUCAACCCAGAUCUUCCCGUAUACAGGCUAAUAAAUAUGUACUGAAGGAUUACUGUGUGUAAGGCAAGGUACUAGGAACAUUAUGAGUCUUUUUUUUUCUUUUUCUUAAUGUUUAUUUAUUUUAGAGAGUGACAGGGCGGGAGCAGGGGAGGGGCAGAGAGAGAGAGAGAGAGAGAGACCCAGAAUCCAAAGCAGGUUCUAGGGUCUGAGCUGUCAUCACAGAGCCAGACCUGGGGCUUGAACUCACAAACCGGGAGAUCAUGACCUGAGCUGAAGUCGGAUGCUUAACCGACUGGGCCACCCAGGCGCCCAUGAGUACUUUUUCUAAAAUAUCUUGCAAGCUAGUCAGAGAGCUGAAGCAAAUGUGUAAGCUUCCACAGGAGAAGGCGGGGGGUAAGUGAAAUGCGACACGUCGCCAUGUCUCUCACUGGUAGAUUGAGAGCUCUGUGCCAGCAGAGUCUGCUUUAUCUUUACUGGCAUCCCUAGUGCCUGGCGUAGUGCCUGGCAUGUAGUGUGUCCUCCACACCCAUAAAGCUUUGUUUAAAGGUAUAGGAGAUAUUUGGGACUUCGAGGAGACAGUUCACUGUUGUUGUUGUCUUUUUUUAAGUUUCUUUAUUUAUUUUGAGACAGAGAGAAAGGGUGAGGGAGGGACAUGGAGAGGGAGAGAGAGAAUCCCAAGCAGUCUCUGUGCUGUUUGCGUACAGAGGGCUUGAACUCGCAAACCAUGAGAUCGUGAAAUGAGCCAAGAUCAAAAGUCAAACGUUUAACCUACUGAGCCCACAGGUGCCCUGAGAGAAUUCACUUUUCACUGGGAUGAUGAGAGAAGGUUCCCUGGAGGAAAGCAUUAUCUGAGCUGGAUCCCAGGGGAAUGGGUAAGGGGUGGAUGGGUAAGGGGGGAAAGGGUGAGCCAAGGGCUGAGGCCUUUGUGAGCAGAGUGGGGGCCACACACACUGGGUUUGGAGAUCCUGCAGGUGACAAGUGUUGCCAAAAGCUAGAACAUUGGGUCAUGGGCAGCUCUGUGGGCUCCACUAAGAAGUCUGGACUUGGUUCAGCAGACGGUACCUUAAGAGGCUUACUCUUCUGGUCGUGGAAUGUCAGAAGAAUUGAGUCAAGGGGCAUAGCGGGAAUCUAACCCCCUAACCCAAAUGGUGGCUGAGAAAUGGAAAGGAAGGACAGCUGUAGGAAACUGUAUGAAGGAAGAAGCUGCGGGACUCAGUGACUGAUUGUGGGUGGGGGCAGGAAGGAGAGAGAAGAGUAAGGUCUUGGGGCAGAGAAAAAUGGCGGCACAGGUCAAGAUGGAGCCUGGAAUGGAAGGUUGGCAGCUCAGAAGCUCUGAAUUUACACAUGUUGAAGGGAAGGGGCAGUGGACAUCUAGGAAGAGCGCCCAGCACAAAGAGUUGGGAGCGGGGCACUAAGGCUUGCGAAGAGAUUGAGGGUAGAGCUAGAAAUUGGGAGACAUUUGCCUAGAGGUUUGGUCAAAGAUGUAAAAGUGGACAAGGUCCCCAAAGGAGGGUCUUUAGUGACAGUAAAUCCCUUAGCAAGCACUAACAACCUGCUCAGCCUGGCUCAAAUCAAAGGGGCAUUUAUAAGUUUGUGAGUCUGGGAAGCUCAUUGCCCAGUGGAAGGGUUACAGAACCAGGGCCUCUGAGAUUGGGUUUCUCUCUUGCUCUUGCCUGCUCUUUCUCCCACUGAAGCUGGUCUCCAUUUGUGUCUGCACAUGGACUCUACGUGGUAGGGCCUGGUUACUGCCAACAGUGUAGAGCAACAUUCUCUCAGCUCUAUAUCACACCAGGGUCCAGCCAUCAUUCUUGGGAAGGACUUUGUCCCUAUUUGGGGCAUUUGUUCACUCCUUGGCCAGUCACCAUUGCCAGAGGAAUACUAGGCCUGGCCAUGUGUCCACUCCUGGGGUCAGGGAGUGGGUUCCCUCUACUAGAAAGAACAGGUCAAUAAAGUUAGCCAUCAGACAGAAACAAUCGCUACCAGUGGGUCUAGAACUGAGGCUGGGACAUGACUGGAGGAGGAAGAUGACCUAGGGAAGAAAGUAGAAGAGAGUCCGGAGAGAUGGGGGAGGACAGAUGGGACCCCAACACUGAAGGAGAGGAGUUUUAAUAAGAAAGAAGGGGCCAGCGCACCUGGGUGGCUCAGUUGGUUAAGCAUCUGACUCUUGAUUUUGGCUCAAGUCAUGAUCUCACAGUUUGUGAGUUUGAGCCCCCGUCCAGCACUGUGAUGACAAUGCAGAGCCUGCUUGGGAUUCUCUCACUCUCCGUCUCUCUCUGCCCCUCUCUCAAAUAAAUGCUCUCUCUCUCUCUCUCUCUCUCUCUCUCUCAAAAUAAAUAAACUUAUAAAAAAAUUUUUAAUUAAAAAAGGAAGGGACCAUGGCAGCUAACAGUGAGCAGAAAACCAGUUAUGUAUGUAAUUUUAAUGGGUACUAAAAAACAACCCCAACUCCUAAAAUUAACUUGGCUACCCAUCUUGUCAAGUUUCUUAUUUCUUUGGGUUAAAACUAGAAAGAUCUACACGGCUGAAUAGGGGAGAGACACAUUAGGUUUUCUUAGUCAUUCAGAUCAAUUCAAUAAACUUUUAUUAACCCCUUUCCCCUAUGUGCUAGGCGUGAUGUCAGGUGCUGGGGACACAAAAAGAAAGAUGUAUUCUUGCUCUGAAGAUUCUGAGACGAAGGACAACCUGAAAUUUACAAUAAAGCACAGGAAGUGCUAUGUUCCUCAAUCCCAUGAAUGUUUGUGGAGCAGCUACUAUGGACUUGACUAGUGCUGGGUACUUGGGGGAGGUCCUGUCUUCUGCCUGGUCAGUGGCCAGAAUCCCGAUCUCACCCUCCUACCACAGUCAAUGCCCCGUACUGAAGUUAGUUGUGAGGUCAUUCUCUUCUGCUCUGGUCUAAGCAUCAUGCAGGCAGGAACAUGUCUGCCUUGUUCCUGCACUGAAGGCCAGUAGUUUAGAUGCUAGUAUCACAUAUUUGCCAAAUGAGAGAAUAAUAAACUAUACAUAGCCCUGACAUGAUGUCAUUUUCGAGAAUCCAGGAAACAUGCAAAAUGACUUUGUUCUCUACAUUUUCUUUCUUCUUAGCUGAUAUCAUGCCGCCAGUGGAAAAGCGAAUGGUCAUUUGGAAGCAUUCAGCAGCCCUCAGUAGCUGUCCAUUUCUAUUAUUUGUGGCGAGUAAAAAUCACCAGAAAAUACUAUUCUAGCAUUCUCUAGGUAUUAGCUUAUUUAAUCCUCACAACAACCCUGUGAGAUGUAGGUAGAAUUUUAUACACAUGAGUUAACCCAAAGCCCAGAGAGGUUAAGUAACUCACUCAGGGUUACCCAGCUGGGAGGUGGCGAGAGCUGGGAUUUGACCGUAGGCAGUUAGCUCCGAGGUGCACCUCGGCACCCACUAUACCAGGCCACCUCUCCACAGGGCAGCGUUAAGGUGCGCACCUUCCCUGCUGCACAUCCCUUUUCCUUUUUCCCAGUGUUUCCUGCCCUUGUGAAGCUGGCCCUCUCUGAGGUUCCUGGCUUUGAAAUACGGGGAAUUUCCAAUAGAAAACCAUGGCUAAACCAGGCCUUAGUUGAGAAUAAAGGGCUCCUUCUUUUGCUUUGUUUCCACCUCAUUUAGUCCUUAAUAUUUUUUGACAUCCAGAUUUUUUUUCUCUCCGGAGUGGGGAAAAAAAAGGAGACCCUAGCCUGAAGAUGUCUUUUCCCCCGCUGACAACAUGAAACAAAAGCUCUUCCCUGUUUCUGUUUUUCAUUAAGAAAUAGGGGUCAUGAUGAUAAUUAACAAACCAGAGUUUAGGUUAGGAAGGCCCUUCUGACGUACUUCUUGCUUAUGCCAUAAUUGAGCUGAUGAGCUAGUUGAAUCUAGAAUCACCUCCACCUAUCGAUCCACCUUCCACAUGCCUUUUCUAACAUGUGAAUUCUCGCCCUAUUUGAUACACAUGUCCAGGCUUGAGAUGGAACUUGUCGUAGAAUCACUUAUAUUUCCACUGGUCUGUGUGUAUGCUGAUUUCUCCUUAUUCGAGAGCCCAGAGGGGAUGCUCAGGCAGGUAAGCUCCCUCCCUCGGGAUGCAGAAGCCAUCUCCACCUCCGUGGCCCCUCACUUGCCCACACCUUCUGCCUCCUGCUAACCCCUGAGCUUGCCUCUGGAAACAAGUCAAGUGGCCCCAGUGCCGGGGUGACAGAGGCCUUUCUUAGCUGAACAGCUACGAUCUUUGUGCCUUUCCUAUGUGGUCAUUUCCACGUCACCUUUAAAGCAUCUUAGAAAAAUGUCGAUGGUAUCUGAGAUGGUAUCUUCUCCCCCCUCCCACUGGAAACAUUUUUAUCAUUUGGCAGUCAGGUUCCAAUAAUCAUUAAGGGCAUCCACGAGGCAACACCCCCUGGGGGCAGCAGGAGCUGAGUGAGACAGCGUGUGCGAUGUUAGGGGGCUACGGGGAAAGAUAGGGAGAAAUCUGUGUUUGUAAUAGGGAGGAGUUUGGGUCUGACUCUAUGACAUGAACCACAGGUUCCCACCAGCUGCCUCCGAAUACUCCAAGAGGUACUUCGGGGUAUGUGAACACUUAGUCCCCAUACCCGAGGAAGUCACUUUGCGUCUUUUUAUGUGGGGCAGAAAGGUUGUGUUGUAACUGGGGAUAUUACUCUCAUGCUAUCAGGCAGUACUCACAGACUCUGAUUCCCGGUGGCUGUUUAGCCCAGUGGGGCAAGGAUGGUUACCGCACUCACGCCGUGAUGGGUACCAAGAACAUCAGGUGUGUGAGAGAUGCCAUUCCCGUGGGUCUUUCACAGAGAGUUCCACCCACCCUGAGUUACCCAAGAGAGCUGCUCCCUACAGCGCAGCCUCAGCUCUCGCUGCCACGCUAUUUCCUGAUAGUAUCUGGUGCCUCUCCAGAUAGCCUCCACUUCUCUCUGCCUCUGCUUUGAUCUCUAACCUCGGUAAGCUGGAUCUGACAUCGGCUCCAUAAAAAUCUGGUCCUGGACCUCUGACCAGGAAUUUUGUGUCGCUAAAGAAGUGUGCAUGCAGGCUCCUUGCUUCCUUCUGUGCCUGUGACCUGUUGGGCAGGGCACUAAUUCUUUAAGUCAGCAUUUCAAAGAGAAGAUUAAGAACAAGUUAAGCCUUUAGUUCAAAAAGUUCAGUUAAUCCUAGAGCAAAGCACACUGGGUUUUGAGGCCAUGUGAAAUAGCCAAGCCUUAAAGUCAACAGUGGUCAUGGAAAAGUCACACACAGUCCUUCCACUAAGAGGGAGAAAUUUAUAUGGUGAGUGUGUGUGCGCACGCGCAUGUAUGUGCACAAGCUGUUUGAUUUCUCAGGGUUUUCCUUUUCCUAUCUGUAAAAUGGGCACAAUGAAUCAGUGGCCCAGAUGUCCUAUCCUCUGUUUUGCUAUCUUAGAGACGGAUGUGUGGAUCAGAGCUUUUCUUCCUGGCUGCUACAUGCUUGUUGUAUCAAAUAGUUACUAUUUCCAAUUUUUUAAAAAAGUUUUAAAUUGACAUUUGUCUUCUUCUAAGGAUUAUACAGUUUAUGGUUUCUGUGAACAUACCUCCUAAACUGACUUGGUUCAAAGCAUCCAGUGGUUCCAGACAUAAACUGGUUAUGCGAGCUGGAGACCAAACUGGAAUUCACUCAGAUAUUAGGGGCCAUUUACUUGUGGGUCUGCUUAUUUUAUCUCGGCAUUGGCACAUGCAGUGUUAUGGUUAUCACAGUUUCAGCAAUACCCAUGAUUUACUGAGGUCCAGACAUGCAGUGGCGCACAAUGGGUGCACAGCUCUCGGGGCAGAUAAACCUAACCAGGUACACCGGUGGGACACAUCACUCAGAGGGGGGAGGCUUGCUGGCAGCUGAUUGCAUGACAAGGUCUGCACCUGUUCCUUAGUGCCCAUCUCUUUCCAAGGUCAGUGGGAGGUGCUGUUCCGGGAGGAAGAGAACUUGAGAGGGAACGGCUCAGAAGGUGAAGCACAGAGCAUUUUCUGCGACUCUCCUACGUGCCUGUAAGACUUUUCUGCGAAAACUCACUGGGUUCUCCCUUCACCUAAAAGCUCCUGAAACCUCCAUUCUUCAAAGUGUUCUUCAUCAAGAAGGGAUGUUCACAGAAACCAUAAUCCUUAGAAGAAGGUAAGUGCCAAUUUAAAACGUUUUUUCACAAUUGGAAAAGGUAAAAGCAUGUAGUAGCCAUCGAGAAAUGCUCUGGUCCACACGUCCGUCUCUAAGAUAGCAAAACAGAGAAUAGGACAUCUGGACCACUGAUUCAUUGUGCCCAUUUUACAGAUAGGAAAAGGAAAACCCUGAGAAAUCAAACAGCUUGUGUGCGUGCACGGGCAUGCACACGCACACACACACACACACACACACACACCAUAUAAAUUUCUCUCUCUUAGUGGAAGGAGUGUGUGCAACUUUUCCAUGACCGCUUUUGAUUUUAAGACUUGGUUAUUUCACCUGGCCUCAAAACCCUGGACAAGCUGGUGGUCUCUCCCCAAUACCCACCUCUGAACACUCCCCUCUUUGCGAAGCACCAUCUAAAUGAGUAGGUUUUCAUAUGCCCGAACACUUCAUAAAUAAGUAAUUGUUUGGCUCGUAUUGAUGAACUUUUGCAUCUAGAUCAUCAAGAUUUAGUCACAAUAACCAUGUACUGGGAUGAUCUAAUUUACGUCUGAUGAAAAUCCUGGAGAGCAGGUGCUGUGAUUUCCCCCGUGAGAAAACUGAAGCGUAGCAAGGCUAAAGUAACCUGGUCAAGAUCACACACUGGACGAGGCCGAGCUCACUCUCAAACCAGGUUGUACAGCUCCAGAGCGUGUACAGUUGAGCACGACCCAGCCUGCUAGCACCUCAUCCUGGGCACUCACUCUGCGCCCGCUCAGGGCCGGGUGCUGCGGGGAACCAGGGAGAGCAAGAUGUUCCCCCUGCCCUCACGGGGGCCCAGGGAGGUGAAGGCAGCAGUGUGUGCUAUAACAUGGGAGAUGCCGUGCUAAGUCCGUGACCCUGGAAGGACAAAAAGUGCUGCAGCGGCCUGAGAAAGGAGUCCUGAGUUCUCCCCGGGGAACUGUUUUAUCCUUUCAGUCUCACCUGGCUAACUUGAAUUUUUUGUGUAUUAAAAGGAUGACUCAGACUUUGUAAACUGGGAGAAAGUACCUAUACAACAAAACAAAACAAAAUAGAAAAAAAAAAAAAGACUUUAUGGCUUUAAAUAAAACCCCUUGUUUGCCUCCCCUGGUGAGUGGCAGGUAGUCUGGGACGCCCUUCUGUUUAUUCUGUUUGCCUUUUUCUUGUAUUGUCUGUUCUGCCCAACGGUGAAAUUCAGCUUCCUUCAGCAGCUAACUUCAUUGCCUUGCAAGGCAUUAACCUUGAUAGAAAAUUUUCUAAUUAACGCCGAGGAGGAAGCGCAGGCUCUGAAGCCUUUCCUGCCCUCCCAUACCUGUUCAACGACUCCGGCAGCUUUCUUUGGCAAGCCAGAGAAGCAAACAAACGGAAAAUCCAACCCGUCUUCAAGUUUAUCCCAAAACAGUUGUUGGAUUAAUGUAUGAGGUGGACUUGACUGCUCCAGCCAGUGACGGUAGUGACACUGUUUUGAGCUUAUAGACAAAGCCUAAACCUUCAGUGAUGUCUCCAGGUGUUGAAAGUAACAAAACCCCUUAGGGAAGUGUCAUGAUUAAAAUACCACUUGGGAAUGGGCCUGAGCGGACUUCUUUUUCCUUGACAAAUUCACUGAGAAUGAGGCAGCAGGAAGCCAUGGGUGGGGAGGGGGUGAGCAGAUCUACCCUGGGUCAGAACAGAGGAGAGGUGCUUCCUGGGCAAUCGGGCUGAGCUCCAGGCUGCAAGUCUGGGUGAGGGUGAAGGGUAAGGAAGUCCCCCCACCCCAAGCAGGCUUCCAGCAGCCCUUAUUCUUUUUGGAAAACAUAAACAGAUUGAGGGCUCUGUACAAAUUGCUACAUGAUACCCAACAUCCUGUGUCUGAGUAAACGGACAUGGCUAGCUCAGGCCUUGAUUGUGCUUCAAAAUUUAACCUCUCAGGGUGCCUGGGUAGCUCAGUCAGUUAAGCGUCCAGCGUCCAACUUCAGCUCAGGUCAUGAUCUCACAGCUCCCGCGUUUGAGCCCGGAGUCAGUUUCUGUGCUGCCCAUUCAGAGUCUGGAGCCUGCUUUGGCUUCUGUGUCUCGCUCUCUCUCUCUCUCUGCCCCUCUCCUGCUUGUGCUCUGUCUCUCAAAAAUAAGUAAACAUUAAAAAAAAUUAAAAUAAAAUUUAACUUCUCAAGGCAAACAGAUAUGUGGGGAAGCAGAGAUUCUGUACCAAGGAUGUUCGGGUUUGGGCAUGACUUAUUCUCUCUUAGGAAACAGAAACGUAUCUUCACUUUUAAGAUAACAACAGUACUGUCCCAGGACAGCAUAAUACCAGGAGAAACAAAUAUCUUAAAUAACAAAUAGAGUCUUCAUUUCCCCUUAUCGGUCCAGAGGAACACAUUAAAAAAAAAAAAAAAAGAUUUGCAAUGUAAGAAGUCUUGUCCAGACAUAUUUUCCCCCUAAAUAUUAAUAAAUCAAAAAGUAAAUUAUGGUACUAGACUAUUUAAAUUAGGUAUAUUUUUGCAAGGCAUUAAUAUAAAAGGAAGAAAUUAGAGUCAGAUAUACUGGGCUCUACUCCCUUCCUUCUUCCAGAAGGAAAGAAGGACUGUGAGGCCUCCCCAGCCCCACGGGACCAUUCGAACUUCCUCAGGCCUCAGCAGAGCAGUGCAGGGUCCCGUCUUGUGUCAGACAGACACAGCUUUUCCACAGCUUUCCUCAGCUGCUUUCCUGCCUGAACUUCUUUCUUUUUUUUACUCAUUUAAAAAAAAAUUAAGACUUUGUUUUUUUUUAAGAGCAGUUUUAGGUUGACAGCAAAAUUGAGCAGAAAGCACAGAGAUUUCCCAUAGGCCCCGGCCCCCCCCCCCCCACAUGCACAGCCUCCCCCAUUGCGAACAUCCCCACCAGAGUGGUACGUUUCUUACAACAGGUGAACCCACACUGACACAUCGUUGUCACCCAAAGUCCGCAGUGCACGUUAUGGUCCACUCAUGCUGGUGUGAAUUCUACAGGUUUGGAUAACUGUGUAAUGGCCUGAAUCCAUUAUUAUGGUGUUAUACAGAGUAUUUCACUGCCUUCAAAACCCUCUGUGUUCUAUUUACAAAAAUAGGGAAUGUUUCAUGCAUUCGUGUGUCAUUCUUGCAGGGGGGCCAAGCUAAUCUUCUCUGUAUGGUUAUAGCUUUAGGACAUGGGUGGCCGAAGAGGGCACUGAACUUCUUAUGAGGCAAAACCAAAAAGACUCUCCCUUGUUGAAAAUCAGCCCUCAGUGACUGGAGGGCUGCACAGUCGGCUCAGGUCAGCUUUGUGUUGCCCUGACCGGUAUUGCCACCCCUUUGCCCUGGUGGGGAAACCAAUCUCCAUCGUCUACGUGAAUCUGUGGAGGACUCAGGUCCCUGGCAGCAAUUUCUGGGUUUGGAAUUGCAUGGAUUCGCCAGUCUUCCUAUGCUGAGGGCAGGUUCAUUGCUUUUCUAAUAAAAUGUUCAUAGCUCUGGUUCCAGGCAGAGAAUUGGCACACAGUAAGUGUUUGUUGAGUUCAACUGAAUAAACUAGAAUUCAGGGGAGAAAUAUCAUUGUUCUUUAUAGUAAUAUCUCUAUUAAUGAAGCAGGUGUGUCCCUAGUGCAUGUGUAAUUGCCAUUAACGUGUCCGGCAGAGCCAGGAAUAACAGAGGAAGUGGGAGUUUCGGUUUCUCUGUGACCACAUCCUUCCAGGACAUUCCCCCUUCCCUCUCCUCCAGAUAGAGUGGAUGGUAUUGCUCUGGCUCAUGUGAAGGGUUGAGGGGUUUCUAUUCAUCUGCAGUGCUUAGAGUAGUGCCUGGCACACUGCAAGUGUUCAGUGAAUUUCUGUGGAAUCAAUGAAUAAACCAUGGUUCCGCACCCCAGCAAUGGGAGGGCCUUGGGAAGCUGUAGCCUGGGCAGUGCUUUUGCAGUUCUGGAAUUAGACCCAUGAGAGUCCAGACACACAGCCAUCCACCCUCUGCCAGAGCUGGGGCUGAUUCUAUCCUGUUUGGCUCCUUAGCUGCUGCUUUCAAUCUCCAUUCUUCUAGACGAGCUUUAUUAGAAUGAGUUGUAUCUACAGGAAGCGAGUUCUGUUUGCCUUCUGAAUCUUCUACUUUGCAAUCCAACCAUGCAUUAUGAUUCUUUAAUACUCCCUUGGAGUUCAUGCUUCCUGGAUUUCAGCCCAUUCUGAAAUAUUUGAUAAUAUAUUUGAUAAUAUAUUUGAUAAUAUAUUUGAUAAUAUAUUUGAUAAAAUAUAUAUGAUAUUUGUUGUCACGGAUGAGCAGGAAAAAGUCCUUUGUGCCACCUAAUCCUCUUUAAUCAGUGGCCUACAGCAAUACUUUCAAGCUCUCCUUUCCCCACCCCAUCCUACCCACCACCAUAUUUGCAGCCUAUUCACCACCCCAUUGUUGAUUUCUGAAUAGUGUAUUUCCCAUUAGAUUAGGGAUUGGUCCUUCUCUGUCCAGCCCUGUAUGGUAGGGGAGUACAUUUCCGAGGCUCCCUUUUAGCUUCUUAGCAUAGUCAUUGGGAAGAAGUGGUAGGAGACUGAUGGGCGACAGGAAGGGAGAAGCCAGGGUAUCUCUCUCCAUCUCUAGCCCCCACUUUGGUCAGCACGCCCCCUGUCAGCUGCACCUCCUCCGUGGACCCAGCAUGGCAGUUCUAUCCCUGGGAUCUGGUAACACUACCUAUUGUGCCUCCAUCCCUAGGGAUAGUGACAGAUGUUUGCUCGUGUUCUUCUUGAGAUUGCUUCCCUGUGUCCUCUUUGGUUUCUUAGCUCUUCCAUGAUCUCUGUAACCAAUUCCAUGUAUUAAAAAAAAUGUUUAUUUACUUUUGAGAACGAGAGAGAGAGAGAGGGAGAGAGAGGGAGAGAGAGAGAGAGGACCAUGUGGGUGGGGGAAGGGCAGAGAGAGGGGGAGACAGAGGAUCCAAAGUGGGCUCUGUGGUGACAGCAGAGAGUGUGACACGGGGCUCAAACUCAUGAACCGUGAGAUCCUGACCUGAGCCGAAGUUGGACGCUUAACGGACUGAGCCACCCAGGCACCCCAUGUAACCAAUUCCCUGUAUUAAAUCCAGCCUGGCUUGAGACACCUAGAGUGGUUUCUGGUUUUUGACUAGACUCUAGUAGAUACAGCAUGCAAAUACUACUGCUGACUUCAUGUGAACUCCUCACUUUUCUUCUGACUCCUCUGUGGACUGAAGCACUUACCUCACAAGGUGUUGUCAUAAUAAGUUGUUUGUGGAAGAUCUCUGAGAUCCUGGAGUGGCUGGUAAAUUAUAAGCAAGUGCAAUAUGUCAUUAAUUAGCUUUCAUCCAAAUACUCUGUGCAUGCUAAAGAAGGCUUAAUUUCUAUUCUUUUUGGAGGGACUAUUUGAAAAGUCCCUGGUUGAAGAGGCUGCAGCACUCCCUUGACAAUGCUUUGGCUUGCCUUCUAAGCCUGGAGGCAGUUGUGGUACCUGACUUGUCACUCACUCAGUGCUGGGUCACCUUGCACCUGUCCCAAAGCCAUUCAUCCUCUCAACUUUGGGUUCCAGUGGGCACCCAAACCUAUAUUUAGGGUAGCUGUCCCAAGGGACCCGGCAAAUGACUCAGGGCUGCAGGUUUGGGUGGAGCAUGGCAUUGAGGGCUGGAUACACCUGGAUUUGAAUCCCAGCUUUGCAUCUCCUGAGAUGUGUAAGUUUGGAAAAAUUACUUCACUUCUUUAAACCUCAAUUUUUGUUUAAUGUCAAAUGAAGAGAAGAAAGUUUCACAUCAGGCUUUACAUUAGAUGGUUGCCUCAAAGAAAAAGAUCUAUCUUAAGGCCCCAACCAGAGUUUACAAAUAUCAAGACUUGGCUACUGAGAGUUGGAUCUUCUCCUUUCCCAUCAACACAGUAUGUAAAGUAAUACAUGUUCUGUAUGGUCUGUGGAGAAUCCCAAACCCGCCCCUGUCCAAAUCCAGAUAGGCUUGGAAGUAACCUAGAACCUAAGACUUUUUAUUUUUAUUUUUUUAUAUUAAAAUGUUUAUUUACUUAUUUUUGAGAGACAGAGAGUGCAUGCAAGCAAGGGAGGGGCAGAGAGAAAGGGAGACAGAGAACCCCAAGCAGGCUCUGUCAGCACAGAGCCUGAUGUGGGGUUCGAACUCAUGAACUGUGAGAUCAUGACCUGAGCCAAAAUCAAGAGUCAGAGGCUUAACUUUAGACUGAGCCACCCAGGUGCCCCAAACCUAAGACUUUUUAAAGAAUACAAUAAUUAUGUUUCUGAUAAAACAUCAGCCUCCUUAAUUUAUUUCUUGUCUGUGCUUAUUCACCUUGCCUAUUUAUUAAACAUGUUUGAUUUCUUAUUCUUUGCAAGUAGGAUAUGAAAAGGGAGAGAUAAGGAAUGUUUAACUUUGUAUAGCUCUGAUUUCACACCUGGUAAAUACUGGAUGGUGUUGACAGGAAUCCAGGUCCUGAACGUCUGAUCGUGAGGGACUAGGCAAGAGUCUUUCAUUAUGAGAUGUAGUCUAAGCUCUGGCUUGACCAAACUCUAAGCUGGAGGGCAUCACAUCGGCAUUAUGCUUUUGUUUUGAGCUCCCUUGAAAGGAAUUGAUUUCUGCUGUUUGGGGGCAAUGGGCAAAAUAUGCCACUAACUUAAUUUUAUUUAAUAACUCUGUUAAAUGGUUUUAGCCAGUGCUUUCACUAUUUAAAAGGGAAAAUGUAAGCCAGUCAACCCACAUUAUGAUCUAAAAAGCAAACCCUGUUAGAUGAAUGGGAAUGUGGAGGAGGAGGAAUUCCACAUCUCAAACUAUCCUACCAAGUGCUGAUUUGCAUAGAUUUGAACCGCCUGGCUGGGAAAGAAACUGGGGCACAGCUUUGUCAAUGAGGUAUCAGAGAUCUAAAGACUGAGAUGUUCUCAGAUGAAGAAGCUCAGAACCUCAACUCUCGUCAAAGAGGGACUUUUGCCAUAGGAGGUGGUCAAGGGACUUUUGGGGCAGCUGAAAGAAGCCUUUCCCCUUCUUGCCCUUUGAGGAGUCAGGGGAAGGGUGGGCCAGGUGGUGUAAGGAAUUGCUGGUCUGUCACAAUACAUAUAGCUUAAAUAGCAGCAGAGUCAAAGUUCUUCUGACUCUGAAACAAUAAUUCAAAAAGCAGCAUGUCUCUGGGGACUGGUCCUAAAGAAGCCCCCAAUGAGAAUAUGAGGAAAGCCCAGGUAAAAUCGCCCUUAUGUAGGACAGAUGUGAUCAAUGUGCUUAGCUUCUCUUUUCAGCUUUCUUGCCCAGCCUGCAAGUUUGCAAAGGAGCCUUUGGAGAACAUGUGUGGUCAUAUGUUCACUCUCAUGGGCCUAAACCAGGCAGCACCCAAUUGAGCCUUUUUCAUUCUGCAAUCUUUCUAUUAAGUACUCUGGAUUCUUCUUACCUGAAUUUAAAUAACACUUAUCUCUUUCUAAAAUGCUACGUACAUAUUUUUAAUUUUGUUAAAUGAUUGUCCACCCUCCAGGACUAUAAUUUCCUUGAGAAUAGAUAUCUUUGUGUGUUUUAUUUGCCCACAUAUGUCCCCAGCACUUAGAACAGGGCUUGAAACAUAGCAGAUCUUCAAUAAAUAUUUGUUGAAUGCAUGAGUGAAUAAACCACAAUCCUGGUUUCAUAUUUUCAGUAUAUCAGAAGGCUAAUAAUAGACACUUACAUUUAAAAAACAUUCAAGAGUAAGUAAAAAUUCAGCUCAGUAUCUUUUCCCUCUCUAUACCUAUAGUCUACACAGCUGGUUGGACCUGUGUAGAUUCCAAGUUGGAUAUCUUAGCCAGAUUAGAACAGGAUUCUUUGUGGUCACUCUGGAGAUAGUACUGGAAGGCAGUGGAAUUUGGGGACACAGAGGGCUCUCAAUAGGAGGGAGACACUAGCUGGACUUAAUGAAUUUGCCACUUGAGUAAGUCGUAUAGACCGGGAAACACAAUUCAUUUAUGUGCUUCAUUAUGUAAAUGAACUCCAUGCUUAAAAAUUCAUAAGAGACUACUAUCUCUAAUCAUAAAUUCAAUUAACUUACCAGGGUGGAAAAACAGAAUUCAGGCAGACAAGAUAAUCAAGCCAAGCUUACUACAUUGGUCUCUCCCAUUGGAAAACUGAACAGGAAGGCAAUGAUCAGCUUAGUAAUGCUGGAUUCAGAGCCAGGUAUCUUAGUUCUAGAACUCAGAUGUUGGAGCCCACACUCUGAGGGCUGAUGUGUGUUUCUCCACAACUGGGCACUCUACACCCCCAUUGGCCUCCAUUCUACUUCCAGUCAAGACACCCUCUGGUCUCUUGGGAUGGUGUGUGGAUGGGCCAGCCAGAUUCUGAAACUUCCCCUUUUCUGUGCUUCUGUAGGUGAUUAACACAUUCCACGAAAUAUGUUCAUGCUUCAGUCAAGUCUUGGUCUGGCCUGGGAAUCAUUCCAUCUCACUACUUCUUAGAUUAAAUAUGCAUGCAGAUCAUAUUUUUUGAGUGUUUGCCCCAUGCUGACCAAUCCAAAUGGUUCUUCUGCAACCCACUGGAUGGUUUGACUCUUCAGAAGUUAUGCAUUUCUGUUGUUUCCAAAUGUUCGGGAUAUCCCUCUAUAUCCCCUAUUCACUGUCUUUGCCUAUCAAGUAAGCUCCAAAUACUGAUGGAUCUGCCCUCCUGAGCAGCCUCUCCCCCAGAGAGCAAAGCGAUGACUCUCUGAGCCAAACCUUCUGAUCCCUGAUGAUUAGUUUCUUCCUAUAAAUCAGUAAGUUGUCUUUUGAGUGUAUAUGACCACCUCCAGUGAAGUGAACUCCCCUCUAGUGAGUUCAGCUUGUUCCUCUAGAGCUUGAUCAUUCCUGGCACAUUGGAAAGUCACCACAGGAUUGAGAGAUAUGGCCUGAAGGAAGCUCACAUUAGUGGCUGUCUCUGCAUGGGUUCCCCACCCAUUCCCACACCACAGCCUCUCUUGCAUAAAUCCACCCACCUUUAGAGCCCCUAAGCCCCUAUGCAGCGGAUCCGCCCUGUAGUUUGGGGCCCAGCCCAUGACUUUUGGGAGGUGAAAAGCUGAAUUAGCAAGAUGACAGAUAGAAUGAUCCAGAAAAUCCUGUCCUUCUGGGAAGUCACUGGUCUCACACCAACUCUUGAGAAAUGUGUCCCUAUGAUCCCAGCCAAGAAACCUAUUAAGUUCAUGUUCUGAAACCUGUGAAGCUAAGGACCCCAACCCCGGGGGCCCCUCCAUGGGCAGCACCAGUGUGGGAGAGCCAUUUUUACCACCCUUAUGACAACGGGGCCACUGAGUAAUGUUUAGAACAAAGCUUUGAUGAUGCAGAAUAACUGACACUCUCUCCACAUUAAUGAAAGUAAAUUCAAUUACAUUAGUUAUACUUUGCAUGGUUUUGUUUAUUAAAACUAGGAAAUGGACAAUACACUUUGGAAAAAAACCAUUAAGCAAGGCUUGAAAUAACAAGAGAUUUCUUCAAAUAAUUCCGUUUAUAAUACCAGGGCUAUCCAAUAGAAAUAUAAUCCACACCACAAAUGUAAUUUAAAAUUUUCUAGUAGCGAUAUUAAAAAAGUAAAAACAAUUUCCCUACCUACUUUUGUCAUAUCCUAGUAAUAGAUAAACUAUGAAAAAGGUAAAAAGAAACAGGUGAAAUUAAUUUCAAGAGUAUGUUUUUCCAGUCCUGAGGAGAACGUGCCUCCUCCCGGUUGGGCAGAUAAACCUUCAUCCUAACAUAUGGAAUCAUGGACCCUAAGGCAAGACUUGUCUACAUUCGUCACCGACAGCGGGGGACAUUCAGGACUGAAUCUUGGCACAAAGAAUGAUUAACAGCUGUGGGGACCAGAGGUAGCAGGUGAAAAAGAGCCCGUAAUCAAAGCUUCUGACUUCAUUUGGAAAAUGUGGUCCUAACUUAAAAGUGAGAUUACUUUCCCUUUUCACUGCUUUGCCAAAUUAACUCCUUUGAGAAGAAAAGCCACGUUAUUCUUUUUUUUUAAUGUUUAUUUUUAAUGUGUAUUUUUGAGAGAGAGCACGUGAGGGCACGUGAGUAGGGGAGGGGCAGAGAGAGGGACAGAGGAUCCGAAACCCACUCCAAGCUGUCAGCAGAGCCCCCCGACGCGGGGCUCGCUCGAACUCACCAACCACAAGAUCGUGACCUGAGCCGAAGUCACUCAACCGACUGAGCCACCCAGGCGCCCCCCACGUUAUUCUUUUUAUUGCAACUUGUCCGUAGGCUGCUGUAGGAAUGACCGUACAUAGUAAGACAAACUGGAUCUCGAUAAUUGUGAGAGCAGCUUGCCUGCAGCUUGGCUGGCAUUCAUGGCCUUCCUUUUGAUACAAGAUCAAGCACUUACAAAGCACAUGUUGUGGGACCGACAGGGUGUACUGGGCCCUGUAAUGUAUAAAGAAAAAAACCAAGCCCUUGUCAUUUUGCCGAAGUUAGGCUUUUUUAGAAGACAAUACAAUAUCUAAUAUAAUGCUAAUUAUGUGUCAUGCACGCUACAUGUAAUAAAGGUUUUGAGGAGAGAAAAAAAUAUGUUUCACUCAACCAAUAUAUCCAAAACAUUAUCAUUUCAAUAUAUAAUCAUAUAAAAAUUAUUAAUGAGGUAUUUUAUAUUCUGGUUUUUGGGUGUUUUGUUUUUUCUAACAAAUCUUCAAAACUCAGUAUAAUUUAUACUUCUAGAACAUCUCCAUUUAGACCAGCUGUAUUGCAAGUUCUCAAUAGCCACAUGUGGCUGGUGGCUACUAUGCUGGACAGUAAUGAGACCCUUCCAUCCCACAAACUUUUUUUUUUAAUAAUGUUCAUUUAUUUUGAAGGAGAGAGAGAGAGCAUGAGCAGCAGAGGGGCAGAGAGAGAGGGAGACACAGAAUCCGAAACGGGCUCCAGGCUCCAUGCUGUCGCACAGAGCCCGAUGUGGGGCUUGAACCCAUGGACGGUGAGAUCAUGACCUGAGCCGAAGUCAGAUGCUCAACUGACUGAGCCACCCAGGCGCCCCCACAAACUUUCUGAUUAAUUGAGAUUCCGUGGUUUUGAACUCAAAGAAGGCAUUAUUAAUUUACCUUGACCUGGGCUUCUGGGCACAGAUGACAAAGCUCAUGUUAAUAAUGUGCUAACGAGCUACACCCUGGGGUUCUCCCUGGAGUAUUCCUGCUUCUGUUCUGUUUUGCAGACACAGCCAGAGUGAUCCCUAUAAAGUCUAAAUUAGAUACCAUCACUUCUCUGCUCAGAACCUUUCCACGACUUCCUAGCUCAGUCUUCUCAUGGCUUACAAGGCCCCACACAGUAGAGCCCCUGCCUACAUUUCUGUCUCAUUUCCUGCCAUUCCUGCCUGUCCCUCAUUUGCUCAGCCACACCAUUUGUUGCUGUUGCUUGACCUUGCCAGCACACUCUUGCCCCAGGGACUUUGCACUUGCUCCUCCCCUUCUGCCCAGAACACUAUCCCCCCACAACUUCCCAGGGUUUACCCUGCACUUUCUGCACAAAUGUCACUCAUCAGAGGAGCCUUCCCUGGCCAUUCUAUACACUUGCCCUUAAAGAGGGUUUCUCUUGAGGCCCCCUUCUUGUCAUCCUGCAUCCCCACCCGCUUACUACCUGCCUUAUUGCUUUUCAUGGCACUUGCUUAUUUACUAGUUAAUUUUCUGUCUUCCCCAGCCCCACCCUACUAAAAUGUGAGUUCUAUGAGGGCAGGGACUUUCUCUGUUUCUUUUGGAGGCACUGAAGCCCCAGCGGCAAUAGUAUCUGGCACAUAGUAGGUGCUUAACAAACACUGGUGAGUAAAGGAAAGAAUCCAACUUGGCAAGAAAUGCUUAUAGGAAUAGGAAUCACAGGCUUUCAUAACAAUAAUAGAUUUAUAUUUAAGAUCCUUAUUUGAGUUCAGUCUUAGAACUAAGCAAGAGUUCUCCUGGUGGUGAGUAACUCACCUGAACAGAAAGGCAACCGCCUCUCAUCCAGGUCCCCCCGUCCAGCUGGGGUCUCUCUCUCCGUGACCUCUUUAUUGCUCUUAUCACUUCUCAGCUGUUACAGGCCUGGAUUAGACACACUGUUUUUAUUUGAUGAACCAUAAACCGACAGUCACCUAACGGUCCUAGAUGUGCUGCUUUGCCAUGUUGCCUGCUUAUAGCACCUCAGAUUGCUUAAAACCAGAUCAAUAAUCUCAGUCAAAGAAUUCCUGUCCCAUGAGUAUCUGACUGCCCUUCUCUUCAUCAGUAUUUAGAUACAUUCCCAUCAGGAGUGGAGGGGGGGGGGGUGGGGGUGGGAAAGGCUCCAUAUUCGUUCUUUAGGUCUCUGGAAUUCACAAUUAUUUUCCUGUCUGGGUUGGGUGUGCACAGACGCAGCCAUCAGCGGCUCCUAGCUCCUUCGUGCCUUUCAGUCUCCUGCGUUUCCUUUGUUCUGCUUUGGGGCAGAUCGAGGGAGCUGCCUCAGAACCCACCAUUUAGUGGGAUUUAUAAAAAGCCCUCCUGCAUUAACUCUGUAAGGUUGUGUAGUAUCUACUCUAAUUAGUCUAUAUUCUCACAGGCUCCCCCCACCCCGGCCCCCAGGGCCUACGGCACAGAGCUGUGAAGUCACUGGUCAGGGGUGGAAUGAGACCAGUGGCCACGGGGUGGAUGACGUCACCAGGAUCCAACCUGAACGUCCCCCAAAUGCGCCAAAGACAUCAUGUUCUCACCGGGUGAACCGUGAGAACUGUAACCCAGCGGGCCUCUGAUGUGUUAGCUGUGACAUUGGACCAGUGUGAGCCCACAGAGGUCUGCACGCUUGGAACUACUCAGAGGGAUCGUUAGGAAACACAGCCGCAAAUGCUGCCACUCAACCCAGCUUCAGCGCGUGAUGAAGCGUGUGCUCCAGGGAGGUGCGGAAGAGAGCGUCUUCUUCUUGAUAAGCGUUCUUACUUUACAGUGACAGAGUAGAGUNAACGCCCCCCAAAUGCGCCAAAGACAUCAUGUUCUCACCGGGUGAACCGAGAGAACUGUCACCCAGCGGGCCUCUGAUGUGUUAGCUGUGACAUUGGACCAGUGUGAGCCCACAGAGGUCUGCACGCUUGGAACUACUCAGAGGGAUCGUUAGGAAACACAGCCGCAAAUGCUGCCACUCAACCCAGCUUCAGCGCGUGAUGAAGCGUGUGCUCCAGGGAGGUGCGGAAGAGAGCGUCUUCUUCUUGAUAAGCGUUCUUACUUUACAGUGACAGAGUAGAGUAAACGCACAGUGAAUUCUCACUAGUUGUAGGACAAACCUAAAAAAUCUUUUUAUAUAAGGACAUAGAAAAAUGUAAUGGCCACAGGCCAUGAGAAACAGCCUGUCAGGAUUAAGCAGAUUAUUCAGAAUUUAUUUGAAGCUGUGAGAGCCAUUCCUUUUUUGCACAGCUGAGUCAUGGUGUAAUUGUCAGACAUUCUGUGAGCACACUGAGCAAAUUUCUCCCUGCUAUUCUCUAUCCUAUAUGCUGUUUGUUUCUUUAAUAGUAGUAAUUAUAGGGGCGCCUGGGUGGCUCAGUUGGUAAGGCGUCUGACUUCGGCUUAGGUCAUGAUCUCGCGUUUUGCAAGUUCGAGCCCCCUGCCAGGCUCUGUGUGGACAGCUCAGGGCCUGGAGCCUACUCCAGAUUCUGUAUCUCCCUCUCUCUCUGCCCCUCCCCUGCUCACACUCUGUCUCUCUCCCUCCCCCAAAUAAAUAAACAUUAAAAAAAUUUUUUUAAAUCAUAGUAAUUAUACAUUUAUUUGUUUUUUUUUGUUUCUUACCUGUAUCCCUGACAAGAGUAUAAAGUCCACAAGGCAACAGAACAUUACGUAUUUUAUUCACCAGUGUGUACCCAAGAACAAGUACCAUACCUAGCCCCUGGAAGUUUUUAAAAAUAUUGACCACUAAUAAUAUAAAUUGAAUGAAUAGAUCAGUGUCAGUCUUUCAACAACAUGUUUCAACAAAACGGCCAAAUCAAGAUAAAACAUUGUCCACAAGUCACUGUUGUAGAUAUCAAUUUCCAAAGUGUAAACUAUUUUUGAAAGAGAUAAUCAACUAAUCCAAUCCAGGAGUUAAAGCAUGUUAAUUCUUGAGAACAAAGUGAUUCCAACUAGGCGAACAGUGAUUUGUGUUUCAGAAUUUUAUAUUCAUGUAAUGCAGGUGUCCCCCACUAUCUGAAAGUAGAGUGUUCUGGUGAAACUUUCAUAGGCCCAAAUGGCAUAAAGCCCAGUGUAUCUGCUGCUAAUUUAGGUCUUUCUUAAAAGUCGAGUGGUCUUUCCUAAACUUUCAGAAGGGAGGGGAUACCUGUAUUGAUUUAUUAAAGUUCACAAACUUUGUCAAGUUUUACCCAGAGAGAACUGGAGCAUGAGGACGCUGGCUUAACACGGUCCGGGAAUGUGAGUAAGGAUUGACCUACAGCUCAGUAAUGGGAGGCUCUGCCUGCCAUGUUAGGACCCUAAGCGCCAUUCACUUCACGUCCACAGAUAUUGAUCCGUGACUUACAGUGCUCCAGGUAGCAUGAUGGGAAUUAGACGCCGUUCUUGUAUUCAAUGGACCCAUAGUCUGUCAGAGGGAGAUAAGCUUGAUGACGUUGACAAGCACACACAUAGGAAUAUGGUCGCUGUGCUUUAGUCACUCAGAAGAGAGGUGGCUUGUUUCCCUGGUGUGCUGGGGACACUUCCCACCGGAGGUGGCCGUGGGGGUCAGCCCCUGAAGAGCCCAUGUUAUGGCCCUGGCACCUGCUAUUUCCACCCCCGGAAUAGAUCCUGGCCCUAGAUUUUCCAAACCCCCUCACACCACCUCAGAUUACCCCCUCAGUCACUAUUUCUCUGUUUUCUUCUUGGCACUUAACAUUAUCUGAAGUUAUCUUGAUGUUUUUUGGUUUCCUUAUUUGGUGUCUGUCUUAUCCUUCAAGUACAUAAGCUCUGUGAGAGCAGGAACCUAGUUUUCAUUGUGCAUUAGUGUAUGCACAGGGGCUAGAAAAGUGUCUGAGACAUAGAAGGAAACCAGUAAAUGCUUGUGGAGGGAUGGAAGGGCGUAGUAGCAUGAAGGAGCCAUUGGAGCUUCUUGAUUGUGAGAUGACAUGAUGAAAUUGUUCUGGAAAAGCCAUUCUGGCAGUUGGUUGAAGAUGAAUUGUGUGGGACAUAGACUUGGGACAAGAACAAUGAGGAGAUUCCUGCAGUAAGUUAGAUGUGAGUGCUACAGGUCAGGAAAGGGUUGUGGCAGGAGGAAAAACAUGUUGAAUCCAAGGCAUAUGUUGAGAGAAGAGACUCCACUCACUCUGGCCUGCCUUUUCAUCUUACAGACACAGCUCAUUCCCACCUCAGCUUUGUGGUUCUCCCCUCUUCCUACCGCCCCCCUUCCCCAGAUCUUUGCUUUUUUUUUUUUUUGAGAGAGAGAGAGAGAGAGAGAGAGAGGGAGAGAAUCUUAGGCAGGUUCCACACUCAGCAUGGAGCCCAAUGUGGCGCUCACCCCCACAACCCUGGGAUCAUGAACUGAGCUGAAAUCAAGAGUUGGAUGUUCAACUGACUGAGCCACCCAGGCAGCCCCAGGUCUUUGCAUUGUAUUUAGGUUUCUGUUAAUAUAUCAGAAGUUCUUUAUUUAGAGAGUUCUUUCCUGACCCCCUUAAGCAUCCCCACACUAUACCCUGGUUUUGAUUUUCUUCUAGCAUGCUUACCCCCUGUCAUUUACAUUAUAUAUACUACGUGACAUUACACAUCACAAGGACGUUCCUUGAGGCCAGGGGGCAAAAACUCCAUCUGCCUUGUCUACCACUGUAUCUCUAAUGGAUGACACAUCACAGGGGCUCAACACGUAUUUGCUGAGUGAAUAAAUAGAUUAGAUUGAGUAUGAUGGUGAUUAAUGAGAGAACCUAUCAAGGAAGACCUGAGUCACUAGGAAAUUAAAAUAACAAAAAUAGAGAGCUUUCCAUUAAGACAGACUCCGCUAAGCCUCUAUGUUGCCGCAUCGAACAGUACCUGACACAUAAUAGGCCCACACAAUAGACUGAUUUAAAGUGAAUGAAAGAACACUUGUUUGCUCUUCCAGUUACUGUAUUGAGAAACCAAUAAAAAUGAUGUCCUCAGUGAAGAACUUUCUUUCUUCAGAGAUUUGACUAAUUCAUACUGGUUCUCGCACUGUUUUAUAUGUACCAGUAAAGCUUUGCUGGAUUAAACUAAACCAUUCGUAUCACUGAUUCAUGGUUGCCCUGGGAAUUACAGUGAACAUCUCAUAAUACUCUAGUGUGAAUAAAUGACAACUUACUUUUAAAAGUAUAUAAAACUUUGCUCCUUUAUAGCCUCAUUCUCUCCCCCUCCUUCACAGUUAUUGUCAUAAAAAUUAUGUUUUUAUGCAUUUUUCACCAAUCAACACAGAUUUAUACUUAUUGUUUUAUAGAGUUGUCUUUUAAAUCAAAGAGGAGAAAACAAGUUACAAACAAAAAAAUACAUCUAUACUGUCUUUCAUAUUUGCAACGUCAUCGUUACCAGUUUAUUUCUCCAUAUGGAUUCAAGUUAUUAUCUAGAGUACUUUCACCUAAGCCUGAAGGAAGGAUUCCCUUUAAUAUUUUUUGUAGGGCAGGUUUGCUACUGACAAAUUCUCUCCAUUUUUGUUUAUCUUGGAAUGUCUUAAUUUCUCUUUCAUUUUUAAAAAACGUUUAUUUAUUGUGUGAGAGAGAGAGAGUGCAAGCAGAGGAGGGGCAGAGAGAGAGAGAGAGAGGGAGAGAGAGAAUCCAAGCAGGCUCUGCACUGUCAGCACAGGGCUCAAUCCCACAAACCCAUGAGAUCAUGAUCUGAGCUGAAAUCAAGAGUUGGACAUUUAACCGACUGAGCUACAGGUGCCCCUCGCUUUCAGUUUUGAAGGGUAGUUUUGCUAGACAUAGAAUUCUUGUGGCAGUCUUUCUGUCAGUACUCUGAAUAUGCCACCCCACUGCCUUGUGGCCUCCUUGGUCAUGGAUGAGAAAUCAGCUGUCAAUCUUAUCGAGACUCCCUUACACAUGAUAAGUCCCUUUUCUCUUGCUGCCUUCAAGAUUUUCUCUUUGUCUUUAGCAUUCAGCAGUUUGAUUAUGAUCUAAAUGUUAAUCUCUUUCUGUGUAUCCUACUUGGAGGAUCUUUCUUUCUUUCUUUCUUUCUUUCUUUCUUUCUUUCUUUCUCUUUCUUUCUUUCUUUCUUUCUUUCUUUCUGUUUUUAGCUUCUUGGAUGUGUAGAUUGUUUUUCAUGAACUUUGGGAAGUUUUCAGUCAUUAUUUCUUCAAAUAUUUUUUCUAUCUCUUUUUGUCCUUUUCUGGAACCAUCAUUAUGCGUAUUUUGGUAUGCUUGAUGGUGUUCCACAGGUCACUGGGAGUUCUGUUCAUCUUUCUUUUUUUUUUUUUUUUUUUUUCUUUUCCUCAGACUGUAUAAUCUCAAUUGACGUAUCUUAAAAUUUAUUGCUUCUUUCUUCUGCCAGCUUAAAUAUGCUGUUGAACUCCUGUAAUGAUUUUUUACAUUUCAUUUUUUAUAUUUUUUAACUUCAGAGUUCCUAUCUGGUUCUUUCUUAUAAUUUCUAUCUAUUUAUUUGGUAAGACAUCCUUCUCAUACUUGCUUUUAGUUCUUUAGACAUAGUUUUUUUUAGUUCUUUGGGCACAUUUAAAAUAGCUGAUUUGAAAUCUUUGUCUAGUGUAAGUCUAAUACCUUGGCUUCCUCAGGGACAGUUUCUAGUGACUGUUUCUUCCCCCUGAAAAAAGGCCAUAUGGGCCAUAUGUUCCUGUUUCUUUGCAUGUUUUAUAUUUUUUUUAUUGAAAAUUGGACAUUUAAAAAAUAUAAUUUGGUAGUUUUGGGAACCAUUGUAUCCCCUCUCAGCAUUUGUUGUUGCUGCCGAUUUGGUUAGUAGCUUUUCCGAACUAAGUCUGGAGUUUAAUUCUGUAUACUUUGUCAUGUAUGGCCACUGAAGUCUCUGCCCAUUUAGUGUUGUGGUCAGUUAAUGAUUGGAUAGAAAUUUCAUUAAAAUGUGUGGGACUAAUAAGUCUGCCGAGGAGCCCUGUGUGAGUAUUUGGGGGCACACCUUCAACAUUUGGAUAGGCAGUUUCCAACUCUUAGUCUUCACUUCCUGCUUGCGUGCAGGCUCACCGUCAGCCAGAGGUGAGAAUUUAGGCCCUUUCUCAGGUCUUUCCUGAGGUUUAUGGCCCUGGGCAUGCACGAAGCCUUCUAGAUUCCCAGGAAUAUAUGAAAGCUUUUCAAAGUUCCCUAUAGAUGUUUCACUCCCCAGCUUUUUCUUUAAAGCUUUUUGGUCAGCCUGUUUGACCCAGCUGUUAUCUGCCACCUUGGGCAGCUGUAAUGUUUUCAGCUAAUGCUUCUGGGGAAAGGGCUCUUCAUAGUGGGUAAGUUCCAAGUCAGUCCAAAUAAAGACGGUUUUGUGAGUGGGGUCUUCUAAGAACCACCAGAGAGAUCAAAUAUUGCCAGUUCUCUGAGAAUAGAAAUUUAAAGGAGCCCCAGCUCCAUUCUGCCCCCUCCAGUGGUUGCAAGGAUGCUGGUUUUCACCGUGCUUGAGGGUCGUUGGUUAUCAAGGCUACUUUUGGGUUGGGGAGGCGAAUUGGAGAUAGAGCAAGUUAAAAUGUCACAAAGCUUGUCAGUCUUGCUGAGAUUCAGCCUUUUUUCUUUCUUUCUUUUUGAGAGAGCACAUGCAUGUGGAGGAGGGGCAGAGAGAGAGAAUCCCAAGUAGGCUCCACACUGACAGUGUGAAUUUUUACAUUUCAUUUAUAUUUCACUGACAGUGUGGAGCCCUAUGCGGGGCUUGAUCUCACGAACUGCGAGAUCAUGACCUGAACCGAAACCAAGAGUCAGACACUUAACUGACCGAGCUGCCCAGGCACCCCUCAGCCUUUUUUUCUCAAAUAAACUCUUCUCAGAUUGCCGUAACUCUUUGACUAAUUUCCAGAGUUGUGAGAAAGUAGAUUCUGACAAUUUUUGCAAGUGUUCUCACUGCUUUUAUUGAGAUUUUUCAGAGGCCCACUCUCUGCCAGUUUUGCUGCUAUCCCUCCACAGAUUCUUUCAGUGCAAUUUAUCCUUUCCUUGACAUAAACUACUAUUUUCGAAAUAUUGACCACCUAAAGCCACAAAGUGUUUAGAUUUAUUCUAAAUUUUCAGGAACUGAGUUUUCUGAGACAAACGUUUACUUGUAUAAAACUACCAAGGAAACAAGGCAAUUUAAGUAGGUACAAACAGAAAGCCACAGAGAAAAGAUAAAUUGUUCGUGGCUGUCUACAACUUUCACCAUUACUUAUGUCUUUUUGCUUUUUGUUUUAGCAUGGACCUGGUUACUUUGAAAAUACCUGGUUAAGGUUCACCUGUGUGUCUGUUUCCCAUCUCCUCCCCGGGCUUGGGUAAGCUUGAAACAGUGUAAGACUGAAGCAGUCUUCAGCAGCCCCUUCACUGUUGGCCAUCUUUGUUGUAUUAGUCAGCUUGGGCUGCCAUAAUAAAAUACCACAGACUAAAUAACAGGAUGGCUUAAAACAGAAUGGCUUACUGGCAGAAAUAACAGCAAUUGACUUUCUCAUAGUUCUGGAAGUUUGAUGUCCCAGAUCAAUCAGUGCCAACAAGUUUGGUUUCUUCUGAGGUCUCUCCUUGGCUUGCAGAUGGCCACCUUCUUUUUUUAUUUAUUAUAUUAUAUUAUAUUAUAUUAUAUUAUAUUAUAUUAUAAUUUAUUUAAAUUCAAGUUAGUUAACAUACAGUGUAGUAUUGGUUUCAGGAGUAGAACCCAGUGAUUCAUCACUUAAAUAUGACACCCAGUGCUCAUCCCAAGUGCCCACCUUAAUGCCCAUUUAGCCCAUCUUCUUAUUAUGUCCUCCCAUGGCUUUUCCUCUGAUCACAUAGGCUCCUUCCUAUAAGGACACCAGUCCUAUUGGAUUAGGGCCCCAUACUUGUGACCUCAUUUAAUCCUAAUUACUUCCUCAAGGUCCUGUCUCCAAAUACAGUCACAAUGGGGGUUAGGUUUCAACAUAUGAAUACUGGUGUAGCGGGAGGAGGAGGGGGCACAAUCCAAUCUGUAACAAGUGUCCAACAUGCAAUAAGUAGGUUCUCCAUAAACAUUUCUAUUGAUGAUAUGCAUCCUCUUUUGUCCCGUGUCCUUUAUCCCUCUGUGACACGUCCCAAACUAGGCACAGUGGCUUCUGGUCUAUUGGGAGAGCAGCACUGUGUGGAGCUUCCAGAGAAAUCUCAAUGCCACAGUUCAAAUCCCCACUCUGGUACCAACUAGGUCAGUUAACUCACUUUCUCUGACUUUUGUAUUCUCGGGUGCUUUGGCUCUAUUCUCUUUCACUUCGCUCUACCCUCUAGGCCCUAGACUUUAUACCGACUCCUACUCUAAACCGUCUUUACUUCAGCCUCUGUGUAGCACAUCUAGGGGUCCACUAGUAAAAUAUAUCCUGGUACAUGCACUGAUUAAACACUCCUGAGUGGUCUCCAUCUCCAUCUGGGUAACAUAUGUGUUUUCAGAGAUGCUGUCCCUGCUAUGGCUGCUCAGGCAAGAGUGGCAUUAGCAUUGCUGGGCAAUGUAGUUCAGGAGGGAAGGGAAGGUGCAGUGUGGGCUAGUGGCGAGAUAACAAGGGGUAGACCAGAAGCUGGGAGUCCCCUCACAUAUACUUACUUCACCAACUUUCGCCGAGAAUCUGCUUUGUUCUGGGCGCUGUGCAAAGUGAUGGGCCAGAGCUCCUAUCAGUGGCUUCUCUGACCAAAGGAUUGGACUUGGCAUAAACUACAGCACUGUAGUGGAAAAAAUAGCCUGAAUUUAAGUCUUGGGUUUAUUGUUUAUUUCUUUCUGACCAUAGACAAGCCACUUCGUUUCUCAGAAUCUUAGUUAUUCCAGAUUUAUUUAUUUAUUUAUUUAUUUAUUUAUUUAUUUAUUUGAGUUUAUGUAUUUAUUUUGAGAGAGAGAGAGAAAGGAAGAGAGUGAGGAAGGGGCAGAGAGAGAGAGGGAGAGAGAGAAUCCCAAGCAGGCUCCACAACACAGGGUUAAAUUCACCAACUGUGAGAUCAUGACCUAAGCUGAAAUCAAGAGUCAGAUGCUCAACCAACUAAGCCAUCCAGGUUCCCCUAAGUUAUUCUGUUUUUAUUUUUUUAUUUUACUACUGUUUUUAAUAUUUCUUUAUUUUUGACAGAGAGAGAGAGAGGCAGAGAGAGAGGGAGACACAGAAACCAAAGCAGGCUCCAGGCUGUGAGCUGUCAGCACAGAACCCAGCAGGGGAUUGAACUCAUGAAUCCUGAGAUCAUGACCUGAGCUGAAGUCAGAUGCUUAACUGACUGAGCCAGCCAGGUGGCCCAGUUAUUCCAUUAUUAAAAUAACGGAUGGGUCAGGUGAUCUAUAUGCUUAGUUCUACCAUGUUGGCUCUCAUCUUCUAGAAUUCUCUACUGGGAGUGUGGAUUCUGCCUAAGGAAGAAUCUGUAUCUUUAAUGUUGAUUUCAGCACAUGGCCACUCCAGCUGGGAUGAUGGGAGGAGAGAGAUACAUACAAGCGGUUAAUGUUUGGGGGAGAAAGUUAACCCUACAGUUCAUUCAGAAAACAUGGAAGUGAACUUUUAAAGGAACCAAAUGUUUGCAUUCUUAUGCUAUCCUUCGAUGAUAUUAUUCACGAAUAGCUCACAUACGGUGAGAAAGAACUCACCUUCACAGUUUAGGCAAAGAGAGGUCCAUUGUGGGUUAUUAAUCCUAAAGAAAUUCAUAGUAAAUGCAGACUUAAGAGGCAAAACUCUCGUUUGCCCAGUGUCACAGAUGAAGUAUCACAUGUUGAUGUGUUGCAAUGCAGGAGCCAUGUUUUGUUAGCUUCCCUAUUCCUAGCACCAGGCUGCACAGAAUGGACAUUCGAUGGACACAAUAGUCCUUGUUCUCCAAAUGGAAUUUUCUUCACCUUACCUGCUGAAAAAGAGAGGUAAAAUCAAGACCCAAUUUUAAUACUGACUUUGUCCCUUAAAUUGUUGGAGAACUGGAUUUCAUUAUUUUCAACAAAUUCAGUGGAAAUUGUCCUCACCUUUGGAAUAAACAAUUUAAGCCUUUGGCUCCCCAGAGCCUCGUGUUCAGUCUAACCGCCUUGGUGGCAGCCUUCAGGGACAGCUUGUAUGUCUGAGGGUGGCAGCAGAUAACAAGAGGGAGGAGGCUCAGGCUGCUGGCUAGAGCUGGAUUCACGGUCAGGCUCUGUCACUCACAAUUUGUAACCCCGGCAAGGUGUUAAUCUCUCGAAGUUCACUUUCCUUAUCUGUCAAAUGGGGAUGAUACUGUCACCUACCUCACAGAGUCACUAUGAAGAUCAAUUUUAAAAAGGCCGGAAAGUAUACAGUGGCUGGCAUGCAAGUUAAAAGCACAGAAAAUCUUAGCUUGAAGAACUGACAGUAAUGGACAGGAAGAACUUUUCUAUUUCUUUUAUUUUUUCAAGAUCCACACAGCCUACUAUAAUAAUAAUUGUUAUUAUUAUAUUUUUAUAACUAGUUUUAAUAGCAUGAUUAUUUUUAUAAUUAUUUUAAAUAUUAUUGUCGUAUUUGGGGACUUUAAGCCUUUGUACUUUAACAUAAUUGAGAAACUUGGAUGCUUGUGAACUAUGGGUACUCAACCAACCUGGGAAGUCAUUAGUUUGUCUUUUAGGUGUCCUUUUAGAAAGUCUCAUAAACCACCAUCUCUUAUCAUUGGGGUGCUUACAAAGGUCGGAAAAAACAAGUCAAAAGAUAGAUGCAGUCAAAGAAGGUCAGAAAAAGAAAAUACCAAUAAGAGCCUUAAUUCUUUUAAAGAACAUUUACUCUCAUCUCAUACAUUUGUGUUUAUAAACAGCAGCAUAUUCUCUAUGAAAUAAUGCUUAAAAUCGUUGAGGAUUUACAUGUAAUUUCUUCAAAGCCUUCCCAGGAAAUAAAACAUAAAUAAGUUUUUGAUACUGAUAUAAAUAUUUUUAAAGUCUUUCCAAACCAGUGAACCUAAACACUUCCUUUCUUUGUGCCUUGCCCGCCUUCCUCCUUCAAAUGAGUACUGUUGUUAUCUUUAGAUCCCAACGGUGCUUUGGAUUUAUGUACUGAUGAUUAGAGAGUAAAAUUUUAAGAGUCUUCUCUCUAAAGUUUUUAGAAAUACAGUAGUCUUCCUUAUCCACAGGGAUAUAUUCCAACACCCCCAGUGGGUCCUCAAAAUCAUGGGUAGUGCUGGGGCGCCUGGCUGGCGCAGUCGGUUAAGCGUCCGACUUCAGCCAGGUCACGAUCUCGCGGUCCGUGAGUUCGAGCCCCGCGUCGGGCUCUGGGCUGAUGGCUCGGAGCCUGGAGCCUGUUUCCGAUUCUGUGUCUCCCUCUCUCUCUGCCCCUCGCCCAUUCAUGCUCUGUCUCUCUCUGUCCCAAAAAUAAAUAAACGUUGAAAAAAAAAAUUAAAAAAAAAAAUCAUGGGUAGUGCUGAACCCGACAUAUACUAGGUUUCUUCCUAUACAUACCUACCUAUAAUAAGGUUUAAUUGAUAAAUUAGGUACAUUAGAGAUUAACAACAGUAAUAAUAAAUAGGCAAUUAUAAUAAUAUAACUGUAAUAAAAGUUAGGUGAAUGUGGUCUCUUUCUCUCUCAAAAUACCUUUUUGUAAAAAAAAAAAAACAAAAAAAAAUAAAAAUACCUUUUUGUGUUAUAUUCAUGUUUCUUGAGAUGAUAGGAGGUGAUAAAAUGCCUACGUGAGGAGAUGAAGUGAGGUGAAUGGUGUAGGUGUUGUGACACAAUGUUAGGCUACUACCGACCUUCUGAUGAUAUAUCGGGAGGAUUACCUACUUCCAGAAACUGCAAAUGAUGGGAAACUACUGUAUUUUAAACCACUACAGCCAGGUAAAGAGAGAUUGUCUGAAAAUCAAGCUAGCUUUGCCUCAAAUUAUCAGAAAUUUAGUGAGCACUGAUUCCUUUAGAAUCCCCAAAGAAAUCUUUUUUUUUUUCUCCCAAAGAAAUCUUAAGCAGGGUCGCGGUGAUCUUGGAGAAGGGAGAAAAAUAUGAGCUAUGUGCUAGAGAAAGGUUUUGGUCAAAAUUCUAUUAAAAACAGGAAGGUUAAUCUGCCAGGACCUGAUUAAGCUUCAUUGGAUCAAAUACACAGCUCAUGAUUACCAUUUUUUCUAGAGAACUUUGGGGGUAAGAAAUGAAUGACCUGAUAUCUACACUUGUUGAGAUGCCAGAGAUUGAAGUCACAAUAACCUGGAGUUGAGUGAGGUGUCCUAGCUGCUCUAUUUGCAGAGGAUUUUUCCAUGGACCAGAGGCUUCUCUGAAGUUUACAUACAUGUACAACUUCCUGUGUCCACUCCCUGCAGACCCGAGGCCUCCCUCAUUAUCUGGGACUCCAGAUCUCACCCACCUUGUAACAGUUACACUCACAAUUUUUCCUGAGUCAGGGGACGGGGUCAGUGAAAGCACAGAACAAGACUAGAGGUCUAAGUAAAUGAAAUGACCCUGCUAUUUUCUUUCCCUCUGCUGGCAUAGCCUUCUCCUGAGUGUCUCACUCAAAUAUGGGAUUGGUUGUUGUUGUUGUUGUUGUUGUUUUUAAUUUUUUUUUUAACGUUUAUUUAUUUUUUUGAGAGACAGAGACAGAGCAUGGGCUGGGGAGGGAACAGAGAGAGAGGCGGAGUCACAGAUUCCGAAGAAGGCUCCAGGCUCCGAGCUGUCAGCACAGAGCCUGAUGCAAGGCUCGAACUCAUGAACCACGAGAUCAUGACCUGAGCCGAAGUCGGGUGCUUAACCGACUGAGCCACCCAGGCCCCCCCAAAUAUGGGAUUGUUUUUAAAAAACGUCUCAAGCCAGACAAUAACCUUUGGUUCACAGUGAAUGGACCAAAUGCCCAUCAGUAAUAGAAUGAUUAAUCUGAGCCGUGUUCAACACAGUGGGAUGCAUUGCAGUGGUUAGAAGGAGCCACCUGCUCCUUCAAUAUGGGUGACUCUCAUAAACCACAAUAUGGGUGACUCUGAUAAACAUGGCAUUAAGUGAAAGAAGCCAGGCACUAUAGGGUAUACGCUAUUUUCUUUCUUUUAUAUAAAACCCAGAAACAGGCAAACUAAUCAGGUAGGUCUCCCUUUGGGGAAGGAGGUAUAGGAGGGCCUUCUGGGGUGCUGGUGAUAUAUUUUUUUUAACAUUUAUUUAUUUUUGAGAGACAGAGAGAGAGAGUGUAAGUGGGGGAAGGGCAGAGAGAGAGAGAGGGAGACACAGAAGCCGAAGCAGGCUCCAGGCUCUGAGCUGUCAGCACAGAGCCUGACACGGGGCUCAAACCCAUGAACCUGAGCCGAAGUCAGACACUUAACUGACUGAGCCACCCAGGUGCCCUGAUACUCUGUUUUUUGUUGUUGUUAUAGUUCUGAGUGCUGGUCACAUAGCUGUGUUCUUUGUUAAAAUUCACUAACCUGUACACUAAUAACACAUGCCCCUGAUGUAUUCGUAAUUUCAUUAAAAAGCUUUUUAAAAUGAUAUAUGGAAGGGUGCCUGGGUGGCUCAGUCGGUUGAGCAUCUGACUUUGGCUCAGGUGAUGAUCUCCUGGUUCACAAGUUGGGUUUCUUAGAGUCGCCAAAUUUUAGAGGGCAGCUGAGGUAGAACAGAUGUGAGGGUGCUGGGGCACAGGUCACACAAAGGCCUUUUGAGCAUCGAAAUGCUUGUAGUUCUGUGAGUGUUCUAUUUGUUCUUUGUUUUUAUACUGAUUGGUUGUUUUAUACUGAUUGGUAGAUGAUCGCUGUUGUCCCAUGAGUUUUAACAAACAAGAAAGAAAAGCAAAUAAAUGAAUUGAGCAAUAGAGGCAUCUUUUGUUAAAAUAUUUGGAUUUUGUCCUCAGUUCUUGAAAUAGCUUCAGAGUAAUAAAUGUGAGGUGGAUAUUUUUUGUUAUUCAUAACAAACCCUUGUUAACCACAUCUGUGUUUAUGUUAAUGGAGUGACUUUUGGAAAGCCCCUAGGUCACCACUGGAUGGGGACUGGUUGCCAAGAGAACCAGUUAUGAUUAGAAGGUUGGAACUUCCCAUGUGGGAAGGGGAGACAGGCUGGAGGUUGAAUUCAUCACCAAUGGCUAAUGAUUUGAUCAAUCAUGCCUAUGGAAUGACGCCUCUAUAACAAGCCCAAAGGACAGGGUUUAGGGAGCUUCCAAGUUGGCUAGGAAGGUGGCACACUGGGAGAGGGCAUAGAAACUCCACACCCCUUCCCACAUACUUUGUUCUCUGCAUCUCUCCCAUCUGGCUUUCCUGAGUUAGACCUUUGGCUUUGAGUGUCCCUCUCUUGCAACCCUGGCUCAGAAGUCUUCUUUGGUACCUGAAAUUGACUUCAAAGCAGAGCUAGAGAGUUCCUCCCUGUAUGACCAGGGCUCCUGUAUCAAAAGCCAGAUUAAGCCUAUUCAUUUUGUGUGACCUCUCAAGCUAGCACCUUGCUUAGAUUUCAUCCUACACAAAGACCUACGAUUCAUUGAAGACCGAAAACACUUCAUGGUUUUUCCAAAUCUGCCCCCUGGUAUAUGAAACAAAUUUCAUGCAAAACGAGAUAAUUUCUCAGGAUGCUUGCCUUUCCAAUGCACAUUGCCAAAAACUGGCACUGUCUUGGUUAGCGAGAGCACGGGGGUCAUCUACAUUAAACACCAUACCCUUGUGUGCUUCUGCUGAAGGGUCUGCCUUAGCCAUAUCUGGUACGCAGGAUCCUCUUUCUCUCCAUCCCCACCCCCCAAGGCACUUGUGCAGCCAUAGAAAAUGGCCUGGGAUGGGCUGUUGACCCAGGGUCAUGCAUAGUCUGUCUAGCUCAAAAUAAUGAGCUCAUCCCAGGAAUUUCAAUGAAAAAUAUCGAGAGGAUGAGUUAGCACCAGGAGCUGAAUCACAAAGGGACAUAUUCAGGAGUGGAUGAAGCCAGGACCAUGCAGGGCCCAUGGUCAUGACAUCCAAAGUUUGGGGCGAGGAGGAGUGACACCCUAAGCACCAGCCAGGAGGAAAAAUAAGACUGAACAAGCGGGAAAGAACACGGCAGAAGGUGGAAGAGCAGGAAAAGAGUAGCUGAGAAUAUUUCCUGAAUAUUCUUUCUUUUCCUGCGUUUCUGUGCACUCCUUAGAAUAAGGAAUAAACGUCCGUUCUUUGUAUGUGACCUGGAUAAAUAUCUAUGUCUUGCAUCCAAAGCCCAGAAAAGUUGGAGCAGAUGCACACACUGCUCCCUUCUUUCCGCCCAGUGAUUGGGAGCAGGUGUGGAGGAAUCCCAGAUUAUUCUUGUUAUGGAUUUUCGGUGCUGAUAGGGCUUGCUAACUCAUCAGUGACCCUACAAACUUUCCAGGCCUCAGAUGGACAGGUCUCUAAAUUACAAGACUAAAUAAUUAUACCUCACUGAGUUUCCUCAUUCCCGGCUCCCUUCCAGUUUAUAGACAGGGCCCUCCUUCCGGGUGAGAAAUGGCUUGGGGGAAUAAAGGUCAUUGAUUCUCAUGGCUUUUCUUCCUGUGAUUUGUAAGGAGGGGGAGGAAGGAAUUCCUGAAGAAGGCAUUUUGCAUUUCUGUACAAGAAGAAACUAGAAAAAGUCCAUCACCUUGCAGCACUGACUAUUCUUUGAUUUUGCAUGAUCAUGCCGUUAGGCAUUAAAAGAAAAAAGGCCCAAGCAGCAGUGCUGAAUUUUAGGGCACUCCUAGCUCAUCUGGUGCUUGCUGUUUAGACUGGAUGGUUCUGGGCGGGAUGGAUGCAAACUUCAUCCCUGCAACCGAACGGUGGGGGUGCCCACAUCAGCCCGAGGGCAGAACUGCCAGAUCCCGGACUGUGUCUCCCCAGUGUGCCUGUCACCGGUCUGUCUUCCAAGCGGGGCUUUAUUGCACAAAUGAAUGCUUUAUGGCUUUUUUGCACUUGGAAGUUCACUGAAGGUUGAUUGAUUCAGUUAGUUGCUCUUAAAAAGAGUUCUCUCAUUGUAAACUUGCUUUGUGAGAUGAAUUUAAAACAAGCCAGGCUGAUCUGACUAGCUCUGCCUCUCUCCUUGUCUACCGCCUGAGAAGCAUUUGAAGCUGUUUGCCGAGGAAAUCGUUUUCUUCAAACGUUCAUUCCUUUCCGUCUUGUGGAUAAUCGGACUGUUAAGGCCCCACCGCUUGCUGCUUUCCACCUGUAAAAGCAAUUGGAAUCUGGGCUGUGGGCUGAAGCAGUUAACAGGGUGUCCCCUCCACUCUGGGGAGAGGCCCCCUGAAUGGGAACAGUCCAGAAAUUCCUAACUGCCAGGCUACUGCAGGUGCCCUCCUAACUUGAGGCGCUCUGACUUAUUUCUCUCACCCCACUUCUGAGAGGCUCAGGAGCCCAGUUCCGUCCCGGAGAGGGGGGCAGCAUGUGGCUGGGACUUAGAAAGGCUUACAGAGAGAAGAAAAGAGUCCCAUGUUUUCCCUGCCAAACAUGAAACAGAGGCCCGCUUGUGCCCCUUCUCUCCGGUCAUCCUGCCUCUGUUCCGGAAUAAUUUGCUCCGUGAAGAGUGGGCAGGGGCCCCAAGUUGCAGCUCCCUCCCCACCCCCACCCCCACCCCCAUAGCUGUUCUUUCAUCCCUGUGGUAAUUCCCAUCCGAGGAAUGUCUCUGGUUUACCUCAGAAUAAACCCCCUUCAGGAAGAAGUGUCCAAACAACCCUCCAAAACAAUAGUGCUGAUGAGCGUGGUGGCAUUCCUUCCCUAGUGGGAAGGGGGAUGGUCCCGAAGAUGAAUUAACCCUGUUGCUAAGCAACCGUCUCUAACCCCAGUCCCAGAUGAGCAAGAUGAGAAAGAACCAGGCCACUGAUUUCCCAGUCUCUGCUCAUUACCAGUCACGGCUUUGUCUGAACUGAGGGCGUGCAGAUGUCCUCGGGCUUGCUCUAGUGGCAAUGCUGGCUUUCAUGACAGAGUGACAAAACAGCCGUGGCCUGGAAGCGGGCUGGGUCACUUCCUGCAGCCCUGAUGAAGUGUCCAAGGCAGCGAGGCUAUGCCAGAGACCAGCCCUGUACAGCGCAGCUCUCUAUACCUUUUCUCAAGCCACACAACCCUGGGCGCUGAGUGCCAGUUACGCUUGACAGAUGAUGGGCUUGAAGCUCAGAGAGAUGCAGCGACUGGGCUAAGGUCGCCCAGGAAGUGAGCAGCUCAUUUACCCGGCUCUGUCUGGGAGAAAGCACGGCGGUCCCCCCACGUCGUCAGCUGCGGUUGCCAGGCUUCUGCCGCACCGCUGGGGAAGAAGAGUGGGGGCAGCCACGCAGGUACUGGUGUUCGUUAUCAGACUAAAUAUUUGCAGAUGAAGAAGGCCUGCGGAGCUGCUCACCAGCCGGUCACGAUGUGAUUUCUUUCUGGUCACACAGCAGCUUACCGUCCGUCCACGUAGUUACGCUCAUCUGGAGUUGAGGGAGAGGCUGAGCCUUCCCCGCUUGGCGCGGGAGGGAUGAAGUCAGGUCUUCCUGGCGGGUGAGGAGUGUUACCCUCUUACUUCCUCUCAAUGCAGCCCCCCAGUCUCUGGGCCAACAGCAACCCCGAGGCCCUGCGACUCGAAUUUACUACACUUUUUCUUCCUGAAAGCUCUUCUCAUCCUCCCAGACUCUUCUCAGUGGAGCCUUCGUGACUGUUCCCCUCCCUGUUCUCAGAGCGCUCUGGGUGACGGGGUGGCCACCGUGGUCCCGCACGCAGGUUCCCGUGAUGGGCGGACGUGUUGCCCGACUGCUGGAAGCUUUGCCGGCCGACGGUCUUCAGCCGCCUGGCUCCCCAGGGAUGGCCCCGGCUGCCUGAGUCGUGCCCCAUUCCGGGGGCCCCAGCCAAAGAUUAAUCAGUGCAGUGACCUUCCCUUGGCCUAACUCUGUGAGGCCUUUCUAGCACCGGCGCUGACUGUGGGUGGCAGAGGCCAUCACCAGGCCUACGCUGCCGUUGGACAUCCCCCUCUCCCCAUCCUGCAUCCCUCCCUGCCCUUCCGCACGUGUGGAUCCCAAGGGCACCCUGCACGCUCAGCUCUGUCUCAGCGUCUGCUUCCUGUAGCGCUCACCUGCCACAUUCUCCCUUAGACCUUCUCUGUACGUGACUGUCCUGCCCUUUAGACUGAGCUCCUUAAGGGCAGGGGCUGAACCUUGUUUAUUUCCCAACCCACAGUGCCCAGGGCAGGCGUGUAGUAGGUCCUCAGGAGAAGUUUGAGGAUAAAUAAAUGCAGUCGUUUACAAGCUGUUGUGAGACAGAGGAAAUGAAAGGCGGGAUAGGGCACCUCAUUCAGUGCCUUUUGUUUACUGUCGCCUUCCCAGAAGAGUAUGAGUUUCUCUUAUCCUGUCCUCCCCUCCCCUGCGUCACUUCCCACAGGCAACUCCAGUCUCCAAACCGGGAUUUCCCCCCAGACUCCAUCUGUCUUUCUGGACUAAAAACUGGGUUCGGGAUGUGGUCUCUCAGGAGCUGUUGAAGUAACAGGAGAAGCCAAUGUGUGGGCUGGAGGCUGCUUAUUCCAGAAGAACGACCUUGUGCUCCCCGGCUCUCUCCACGUGUAGACAUUUUUCUCUUAGUUGAUUCCUAUUUAUCUCAACCUUGGCACUUUUCAUUAAAUACUCUGUUUCAGGUGAGGUCAACGUGUUGCUGACACCUAGCCAGGCCCGUCCCAGGGCUCUCAGGAGGUGGCACCCGUGGGGUUGGCGCUUGUGGAGGGAAAUGCCAUGUUGAGCUGGGACACAGUUAGCAAUCAAGACGAGGGACUUGGGCAGAACAGCAAUUCCUUUCCACGAUCCUUCCUGGAAGACACUUCAGGGACAGGUGCUCCCAUCUCCAUUACCCCCACAGAGUUAGGAGGAAUGGGCAGUUCUCUGAAGGGAGAAGCUCUGAUAAGCUUCACAUGAGGGACCCCAGCGGGCACGCUGAAGAAAGCUUCGUGGGUCUCAAGUCACAACCCUGACUGAUCCUGGGAUUAUUGUGUCAGGAGCUUCAGUACUCUACCCCAGGUGCACUUUUGAAUAGCCUGGGCCCAGCCACCACGGCUGUAGAGGCUCCUCGCUGGGCCUCCUUGAGGACUGGAAGGAAAUUGGCCCAAAGGAAAAAUUGACUGGGAGUCUUAUCCCCUCACGGAGGACUCUCCUCCUCUCCUAAGCAGGCCAGGCACUUUCCUCGUGUCAUCUCAGGCCCAAAGUGGCUCCCUGUGACGUGACAUUGGAGGCCCCCCCGAGGGAGGACAUUCCUCUGAUCUGCAGUCGUGCAGCUGUGCUUGUGUGGGGAUCAACACAUAAACAAGAGCCGCCCAGGCGGCAUGGCAGACUCCUAAGGUAAUCAGAACGCAUUUUUAUCUGUAGUCUCAGCAUUCUUCACGAUCUGUUUACUGUUGGUAAUUCUUCCCUGCCCCUGCACGAGAACUCCAGCAGGCCCCAAAAUGUUUUUGCUUAUUAAGUAGGAGACAAUCCUUGAGUCCUUUUAGGCUUCAAGUGCUGACUUAGCCCAGCAAUGAGCGUGUCUAGUUCCCAAGAGCAGUCAACAUCCUGAACCCAGUAAGAGGCCAAACCUUGUCUCCUUCCCCAGUGGCUGCCUGUGGGCUGGAAGCCAGCUGUGGGGAACUGGGUGGCAGUCUGGUUGACUUCUCCUCAGUCUCUCUGUGGCUGGCCCAUGGGCUCAUGGCACAGGGGAGGACGAGGAAAAAGGUGAGGAAAAGUCUCACUUCAUGGAUGGAAUCGUCAUAAACUGGCCUCACCUUUCAGGGACGACCAGUCAUCUAAAGCCGGCUCUCCCUCUCUUGGGGUGUUCUCAUGAGCCACUUAUAGGUUCCCCCCGGACUCCCCACUGUGACAGUGCCCUUGGCCUCCACAUCAGGACAUUUCCAUUUCAAGAGGUUAUUGACACUCCUUUUUCAGCCUUUAGUCAUUUACCUCCAACUACUCUCUACUAGAGUCUCUCUGCACUUCACAGAGGUGCAAGAUCCUUAGGCCAAGAUCCUAGGUGACCCCACAUGAGAUCUCUCUCCUUAAAGUCCAUUGUCCCAACACUACACAACUCUUACCCCAACAAGCCUGGUGUUUUGGCCAAUCCUGCCACGGUAGCAGUCUCCUGGCUCAGCUUCCAAAGCUGGGGGCUCAGUCAGUUGACUGUCUGACUCUUGAUUUCUGCUCAGGUCAUGAUCUCACAGGUUGGGAGAUCGAGCCCUGUGUUGUGUUCUGUGUUGAAAGUGUGGAUCCUGCUUGAGCAAUCUCUCUCUCUCUCUCUCUCUCUCUCUCUCUCUCCCUCUUUCUGCCGCCCCCCAAAACCUAUGGCUCACAGGGAUGAUGCUACCAAUAAACUUGUUGUUUACCUCAUAGAGUCAAGAUCACUAGCAAGAGGACAAAGUCCCAGAUUUAGUCAUUAGUGAAAAGGCAAUCUUUUUGGCAAUCUUGCUUAUAAAACUCAAGGAACUGAGCUGUGCAAACUCGUGACCACAGCUCUGCCCCUGUGGACUGAGGGGGAGAAAGAAAGGCUGGAAAUGGACUCAGAUGUCAGUUUGGGUCACAGCAGAGGUGGAAGGGGGUGGAUAACAGGAAAAUCUUCUGCUCUUUGAGCAGCAGUGUGGUCAAUGGCAUGGAUUCUAGACCCAGGUAGCUCUGGAUUUGAAUCCCAGCACCUGCUGACCACCCAUGAUGUGUGUAAUUUGGGGUAAAUAUUUCACGACCUUGAACCUCAGCUUCUUUGGUAAAAUGUGGAUGUCCCUUACCUCACGUGGUGCAUUCAUGAUAACAAGAUGAGAUUUUAGGUGGAAAGUGACUGCACAGUGACUGGCACCUGGCAAGCUCCCCAUAAGUCAGUUCAGCCCCACCAGAUGCUGUGUUUUACGGCGACUCAGGAGAAGAACUCUGAAGAGGUCAUACAUGUUACCCUGGUGAAAGUCACAGCAAAACCUUUCAACCCUGAGCUGGAAAAGCAGGGACGUAAGAAAAGGUAUUUACUGAUCACAUCCUGUGUGUCAAACUAAGACUUAAGAAGAGUCUUCUUAAAGAGCAUUUUGAAAGAGCUUUCUCAUUUAGUAUUCCAAAUAAUGCUAUGACAUUGGUAGUUUUUAUAAAAAGAAAUCAAGGCUCAGAAAUAUCUCAGAUUGGCUUAGAUUUGAAUGCAUGGGACAGAAAAACUGAAAAUAAUAAUGACUUAAAUAGGAAAGAGAGAGACAUAGUGUUAGCACCCAAGCUUCUCCUAUCUUGUUGCUCUCCCGUCCUCAGCAUUGGCUUCCACUCCGUGGCUCAAGAUGGCUGCUUAAGCUUCAGCCAUCCCCUCCACAUUCCAGCCAGUACGAAGGAGGAAGGACUAAAGAAGGGUGCACCUUCUUCCUUCAAUGGCACUUCCUGGAAGUUGUACACAUACUACUUUCCCUUACAAGCUAUUGGCUAAAACUUAGUCACCUGGCUACACAUAGCUGUCAGGGAGUUGGGAAAUGCAGUCUUUAUUCUAGGCAGCUCUGAUUUAAAAAUCAGAGCUUCUGUUACCAAAGGAGUAAAGAAUGGAUAGUGGGCCGAACAACGAACAAUUUCUGCUAUGGAUAUUAAGUAACUUGCCCAGAGUUUUCCAGUUGAACUCUGUCUGAAGAAGGUGCUGGUGCUACCAGAGGGAAGAGGCAGGAAGGACAUAGGAGUGUGAGGAGGUAGAAGCUUAGGAUAAUGUCGGCCCUGCUCCAGGGUCUCCUGUCUGCUCUGCUGAAACUCCAGUUGCUUUGCCAGGAGUCUAGUCAAGUACCUAGCCACCUGAAUCUUCACUGAAGAAGAAAGCCACAUGGCUUUGCCAUUGGACGCUGGUGCUAAAACCUACAUGGCAGAGGAGAGAGGAAAUAUGUCAAAGUCAGUGUUGAAAGGGUGGGAAGGGAUAAAAAGUAGAGCGAUUUUCAUUUCCCUUCAGCUUUCUGCCUCUUGGCUUCUCUUCAACAAUGGUUGACUCAUGGUUCCAUUCUAUUUUAGCUGAUACGUGGUCAGCUUUUACCCUAUGGAAGACCCCAAAUGGGCCUGGGGCGGGGGGUUGUUGGGGGAAGAUCAUUGAAAAGAUGUGAUGGCCAGGGGACCUGUGAGAUGGACCUGGGAAAUGUGAGUCUGGAUAGCAAGAAGAACUGGAAUUUGAAUUGUGAUCUUUUGACUUCACGUUACGAACAAGCAAGACGAAUGAAAGCAAGACUAAGCAAACCCAGCUCUCUCCAGAGUACAGACCCCUGAUGCCAACACCAGACAUGGGUACCCCACUUUACAAAAUGUCCCUCAGUCUCUUGUCCAGGCAAUGAUCCAGGGCCAUUAAAGGCUAACAGAAGCAUCACAGCCACCAGACCCAACUGAGGACAGGUGCAAAUAGUCAACAUGCUUCAGUAGCCCCAGGGGGCAAUGCAGAACUGUGAAUGGUCUCCAAACUGGUUUUCAUAACAAUGACCUUAAGUCAGCAAGGCAAAUGGGAUCCUAUCCUCAUUGCACUCUUAUUUCAGAAAACAGUGAGUGCGCAAGAGAUUUGAGGAAAUCAAAAAUGUUUAACACAGAUGUUUAACCAAGAGUAAAUUGUUUAGAGCACUUGUAAGUUUUCAAUAACGUGGAGAGGAGUUGUUGACUCUGGCAGAUGGAGUAGGCGGCUUUCGAGGAGAAGGGAUCGCCCCAGAAUUUCCCACCGUGAAGCUGAGCGCCCAGGACACUGUGGUGGAUGAGCAUUGGGGUUCCGCAGGAUAUGCCAAUUCCCUUUCCUUUCAUCAGGACAGGAAGAAGGGAAUGAGCUUCCAAAAUCCCUGUUGGAAAUUACAUUGAUUUACCAUUUCCAUUCUUUAUGACAUUUUUCAGGGAUUGUUAAAUGUUUCUGGUCAGGGCUGUGUUAUUAUUUCAGCCUUAGUAGCCCUUUAAGGGUUCCCGACACCUCUGGAGAGCAGCAUGUGGACUGCAUCAGCACUGAGUGGGUCUGAGCUAUAAUAGGGUGUCCUCUGACCCUAAUCCCAACCGCCGUCUGGAUUUAUGGGCUCCCACCAGUGCAGAGGGUGGGUGGAAGGACCAGGGAGGCUCACUAGCUGCGCGGUCAGCCUAGGGAGCUGGGAUUACAUAGCUGGGAUCUGCUCAAAGCACCAACUUCAUAAGAUUCCCCCAUUUUGCACAACCCUGCAACAGAAGCCACAUCCUCAUUGUGCAAGUUCAGGUUUAACCACAGACCAAACAGCCUGUGCCUUGCUAGGCAAGGAGGGGCCUGACCCACUGAAGAGUGCUUUCUUUUAAUAAGGAGGAAGGGGUUGGGGCGCCUGGGUGGCGCAGUCGGUUAAGCGUCCGACUUCAGCCAGGUCACGAUCUCGCGGUCCGUGAUUUCGAGCCCCGCGUCAGGCUCUGGGCUGAUGGCUCGGAGCCUGGAGCCUGUUUCCGAUGCUGUGUCUCCCUCUCUCUCUGCCCCUCCCCCGUUCAUGCUCUGUCUCUCUCUGUCCCAAAAUAAAUAAAAAACGUUGAAAAAAAAAUUAAAAAAAAAAUAAGGAGGAAGGGGUUUUUUGGAGGGUGGGAAUCAGGGACCCUAAGGUUUCAGAUUAGGACACUGUGCAAGAUAUUGUCUUAUAAGUUGUUAGGUCACUUUCCAACAUGUGAUUAAAAUGAGCAACUGAUUAAAAUCCAGACAUAAUGCUAUUAUAAAAUAUUUUAGUUUGGACAAAGCCUGAGAAAAACUCAGGCUUCUCCUCCACAAAAACGGACAAACGUUGUCCAGUGAAUUGAAUGAAUGAAUACACGCAAACCAUGGGGGAAAUUCUAAAGGCUGAGUUGAGAGAACAGUGGAUGGUAGAAAUAAAACUUUUAUCUUGAAGCUAUAAUAAAAGGAAACCCAAUAAAUUAAAUGGGCUACAGGAUUCAUGAAGCUGAGUCAUAAAAAAAAAUAAUAAACACAAAAUCCCGUGGGUCAGGCAACAUAAAGAUAAGAAUUCAGAGUCUGUUUGUUUAAUAAUAGGCUCUUUCCUGUUUAGACAAAGAGCAUAUCAAGGAAUUGAUGCAAAUGUGUUCCUGUUUCUAUUCUCAUAGUUCCACUUUCCCGCUAAAAUUACUUUCUGUAGCAGAUGUAACAAUUAAAUGAGAUACUAUGUGUCACUAAGCUUCGGUGCACAAGAAAAACAAAAUACAUGUGGUUAAAUUGGAAUCUGAAUAGUGCUGUUCUUCCUCCGUAUUCCUUCUCCUUUUUCCAGUCUCCUCUGCUUUGUUGGUUCUGUUUGAGAACUAUGUCCCUGGAUCAGUGCUGAUGUGGCCCUGAUCUCCAGGAAUUUUGCUCAUUCACAUCCUCAGUCAAUAUUUAUUGAGUUCCUGUGAUGUACCAGGCUCUCUUCAAGGCCCUGGAGACUCAGUGUUUAAGGAUGACAAAGUCCCUGUUUACAUGUGAGGGGUAAUAAACCAACAGAUGCAUAAAUCUAUGGUAUAACUUGGAGUCCUGUAAAGUGCUCUCAAGAAAUGCAAAGGAGAGCAAUGGGAUAGAGACCAGCAGGUGGGGGUUGGGGGACAUUUCUGUGGAAAGAUCAGGGAACCCUCUCUAGAGAAGGUGGAGAAGUGUCCUGAAUCAUGUGAGGAGUAAAUCCACAGGAGGAUCUGGGCAAAGGACGUGGCAGAGGCAGAAGAAACAGCAUGUGCAAAGGGCCCAGAAGUGGGAAACAAGACUGGUGUGAUUUUAGGAAAACAAAAAGGCCGUGUGGCUGGAACAGAGUGAAUUGCAGAGAAGGUUGUUGGUGAUGAGCCUAGAGGCUUGCUGAGGGGCCAGGUCACGUGGGGCCUCAUGGGGCAUGCUAAGCGGUUCAUUCAGAUUGUUGAGACGUUAUUGAUGAAAACAGGAUUGAUGAAAAGUUAUUGGAGGGUUUGAGUCACAAUAUCGUUUAUGUGUAUUAAAAGGAUCAGUCUGCCUAUUGGACAAAAGGGCAAACCAGAAACAGAGACACCAGUUAGGAGAGGCAGUGUAACAUAGUGGGCAAGGCUCUGGAGCCGGACUGCCUAUGCCGUUAAUGAGCAACGUGAACAUAGCCAAGUUAAAUGACUCGUCUGUGCCUCGGCUUCCUGAUCUGUAAAAUGGGGAUGAUCGUAGUAAAGUCUGCCACUUUGUGCAGGUGGAACCGCCCCCUGGAGCAGUGAACACCGUGUGACGGGUACCUUUUGGAGCUGUGCAACACUGUGGUCUUACUAAUAACAGAGGUGGGUCUUUCUACCUCGUUGGGUUAAACGGUCAAACACAGAGAAGUGCUUAGAACAAUGCCUGGCACCUAGGAAGAGUUUAAUAAAUAUUAGCUAUUAUUUGUAGUCCGGGUGAGAGAUGAUGGCGGCUUGGGCUAAGGUGCUGGUGGUACCAACCGGGGUGGUGAGUGCUCAAGUUUGAAAUAAAAUGUGAAGAAAGAGCCUGCGCUGGCUCCCAGGGGCACAACGGGUCCCGAUGAUGGAACUCGAGGGCUCCAUCUUCGCCAAGACUUCUAGGUGGGGGGUUUUUUCAGUCUGAUUCAUUUUGGAGCUGAGUUUUUCAGCAUCUUCCCCACCAGUAUGUUUCCCGCCUCGAACGAUGAGUGUACGUAGUAUCUCAUUGAUAGAGUGACCGUGCAGGGAAGAGAGUUCAGUGCUUCUCUCGUCUUGUGAGGAUAAAGUGUGCAGAGCCUUCAGGAGUUACUGUCUUGAGGCCACAGUGUCCCUGAAGUCCUUAGUGUCCCUGGUUCCUGAAAUGCCUGUCCUUGUGCCCUCGGUCACCCUCCAUGGCCCCCAAAGGGCUCAGUUAAGAAGCAGCCCAACCAGGAAAAGAAGCACCAGAACAUACAUAAAAGCAGACGGUUCAAAGGCACCAUUCAUUUUCAUUUCAUCGCUUUCAUCAACCACAGAACCCAAGUCAACCAUUUAAGGUUAAGAAAUUUGUUUGGAGGGGCACCUGGAUGGCUCAAGGUGGUUAAGCGUCUGACUCUCGGUUUCUCCUCGGGCCAUGAUCUCACGGUUUGUGAGUUCGAGCCCCACCUUGGGCUCUGCACUGGCAGCCUGGAGCCUGCUUGGGAUUCUCUCUCUCUCUCUGCCCCUCCCCACUCUCUCUCAAAAUAAAUAAAUAAAUAAAUAAAUAAAUAAAUAAAUAAAUAAAUAAAAAAAAUAAAAUAAAAUAAAAUAAAAUAAACCCUGAAAUUUGUUUAGGAUCUGUUCCAUUUUCUCACCCACUUGGCCCUAAGGAAUCUCAAACAGGAAUCUUGGAGGCGGCAGGGGCAUCGGGUGGGCUCAAGAGUGCAGACGCCUAACCCCUCCAGGGUCUUUCUCAACCCCCCAGCACGGCAGCCAUGGGGUAGGAGGUGUGAGUAGCUCUACGUAGCUGCUCUGCCACCCUCGGCCUUAGGUGCCAGUGACAUUGCUGUCUGGUAACUCAUACGUGAGGUAAUCUCAUUUUAUUUGUUCUGGACGCGUGAGGCAUGCAAUUCCUUCUUCAGAAGUUAUAAAGUGGGGCCCCAGCUAAUAACUCAACAUAAAAAGAGGCUGCCGUUUUCUCAUUCUCAGGCGCAGUAAUAAUUCCUGCCGUGAGCCAGUCAUCAUGGAAAUGACUCAGGCUUUCUCUCCUGUGCUAAUAAGGUUUAACUGUCUUUGGUCCUGACUCAAACUGGCUGGGAGCAAAGCCCAAAUAUUAGAAGCUAUACCAAAGUGUGCCACUGUGUAACUGUUUACUUGACUUACCCGGAUACUCUGCAACCCAGUCAUGCCAGCCCUUGGCCUUCCUUCUGAGUCGGCUGCCUUCUUAGCCCAGUUCACCCAAUGGGGGUAUCUGUUGCCCUCUGUCCUCUCUUGCCAGGAAGCUGAGACCACGGUUCUGAACUCAAAAUCAGGCAUCUGGCUCUCUUUGCAUCUCUAAUAUUAGCGAUGCUUCGUGUCUUCUUGGGGGGGGUCCCAGUAUGAGAACUGAUCCAGCCCCAGCUCUCAAGUGAACCCUCUGGUUAGAGGGCUAUGACGGAGGGACCCUCCGGUCUUCUUUUAGUUGAAAUGAUCACUCUGGGGUACACCUGAGAUCCUGGCAGUUCAGAAGUGAGCCAGAGGCCCUUCAUUUAUCUGUAGACAUUAUCGAUUAUCCACCCAGCACCCGGCAGUGCUAGUCAUCAAGGACAGAGCGACAAAGGCACAGUUCCUAACAUCAGGGACCCCGGUAUGGCGGGCUGAUGAGAAAAUAAACAAUUGGAGAACAGUGUGGCCAGUGUUGUAACAGAUCUUCAGGUGCUACAGGGAAUUCAGGGGGUGCCUGACCCGCACCGGUGGCGAAGAAAGAAUUCCUCAAGUCCGGCAUGCUUAAAUGUCUCCAGAAGGGUGCACAGAGCCAUGUAAUCAGAGAAGGGUCAGGAAGGGUGUUCCUAAAGAGAGAGGGAACAGCAUGAAAGGCAUGUGUGACAAAGCCAGCUAGCUGUGACAGGAAGAUCUACUUUCUCCCCCUUCCUGGGCUCACAGCCCCUCUUGCAGUGUGACAGAAGGUGUGCAGACAUGAUGGGUGGGCCUGACCCAGAAGACCCUGUCCUAUAUGCCCUUCUCUGGGCUUUCCCAUGUCAGCUAACUGGGAGCAGGUAGGAAUCAGAGCUCGAAGGGCUCGCAUGCCACUUGCAGGAGCUCCAAAACUGAGGUGCGGGUGAGAAGAAAUCACAUUUUGUUUUUAGAAUAAAAGAGAUGGUACAUUGUCAGUGGUGAGGUUGAACUUGACCUGGGCUCUGUGCUCCUGGAAAACAGCGCUAUUUAAGAAAUCCCCUGCCCUUUUGUUUUCCCAAACCCUUUAUCCUUUGCUGUUCCAAGGCUAAGCCUCAGAGGACCACCGUGGCCUCCAGUGUUUCAAGAUAAUAAGACCCAUCUGCCUCCUUUCUCAAGGCUUCUAUAGGACUCGAGGAUGACUCCCUUCUUUACCAACCCACCUAGAACCCCAGGGCCCCUUCCUUUUUUGUUUGAGACUUUCCUCCCCCAUCAUUAUCCUCCUGAUUGCAAUAGCUGGAAUGAAAGCAGCUCUUUCAUUGUCUGUGGCAUUUCGUCUUUAUGUUAAUACAGUAGCAUCGAUCUGAAACUCACUUCUACUUGGGAGUAGAUGGCUAUGUGCUUUAUUUUUCUUUAACAACUUUUAUUAUUUAUUAAUUUGUCACCAGUCAGCCAUGAGAAUAUAGACUCCUUGAGGGAAGAGUUUGUCUUCUUCACCAUUUACCACCAUAUCCCCAAAGGCCUAGAAUAGUUCCUGGUACACAGUAGGCACUCAAUAUUUAGGACAACUCAUGGUAUGGUGACCCCUCAGCCCAUGUGAGCUUUCUGCCAUCCUCCCUAAGCUCCUCCUGCCCUUCUCUCUCUUGUCUCUCUCCCUCUUUCUCUGUGUCUGGUUGUCUCCUGCUCUAGCCCCUUUCUGCCCACCUGCCUGCCCCUCUCUUCCCUCUCUCUUUUUUUAUUCAAGGUUUUUUUUUUUCUUUUUUGAGAGAGAGAGAGAGAGAGAGAGAGAGAAAUCUCAUGAACUGUGAGAUCGUGACCUAGCUGAAAUUAAGACUGAAGCACGUGGACGCCCCUUCAUUUUGAUCUCUUUCCUAAUCCCUCUCUUCCUCUUGCUUCCCUCUCUCCUCCUCAGGCCUGGCAGUCCCGUCUCCUCCCUUCAGCCCCUAUUCUCCAGUCAGGUUGUUCAGUUGGGAGUGUGCAGGGUCAAGUGAAAAGGCUCCACCUGUGGCAGGAACGAACCAGCCAAGCUCAUGUCUGUAUCUGCUGGGUCAGGACAAUUCUAGUGACUUUGGACAUGCAUUUGGCCAAGGGAUCCUUCAAAGUUAAAGACUCACUCAAAACUAGCCAGGUGAGUGUUUGGAAAACAACCAACAAUUGGUCACUAAGCUUUGCUCUAAGCAAAAUGCUGAGAGCUGGGGAGGAAACAGGGAACAGGAUGAGGCCCCUGCCUUCGAGGAGCUCCCAGUCUAUUAGCCAGGGAGGUUAAGGCCCACAGGUGAUCUUCUGGGAAACAGUGGGGGAACAGAAACAGGCAGACAUAGGGUGCCCGUGUGGAAGCCAGAGAGUUCUGGAAGGCAUCAGAUGCUGUUAACUUUGGGGUGUGUGGCCUAUAUGUGAACGAUGGCAGCCAGACAGAAGAGGAGACCAGGCAUUCAGCUGCAGAAGGGAAAGCGCCUGCCCGUGACUGCCAGGCUCCUCCGGGCCACUUGGGCCAGGGCUUGAAGAGAAGCCCCUUCGCUUGUCCAACACCUGCACUGCCUCCUCUCCCUGCCCCCUCCCCGAGGCUGAGGAAAGGAGCCCAAAUCAAUGCCUGCAGAUUUCGGGAGAGCACAGAAUCAGCACUGAUGAGCGGGACCUUCAGUCGUGGCUACAGAAAGCAUCACAAAGCCUCAGUGUCCCGCCGCUGGGUGACCUACCCUCGGUCCUCAACGGGACAAAGUGUCUCAGCAGAGUCGGGCACAAGCCCUCCCCCUAGUUUCUUACUAAUUAUCAGCUGAACUGGUUUAGCUGCUCGGAAGCUGUUUAAUAAGACCUGCCGUAUCAACCCCUUCCUCUCCACAUCAGCGUCCAAUACUCUGGGGCACAGGGUGGGGCGAGCCAGCUGGAGGCAAGGGGAGAAAGAAGGCGGGUGGUCCGUGCUGGUGCACCCACUCCAGGCAGAUGGCAGCCUGCCCAGUGUGAGAACUGUUUAUGCUGAACACAACCUGGUCCUCUUGCAGCUGCUUCUACAAGAAGGGUGGGCCAGAGUCCUCCUGGGAAAUUCCUGGGGGAACCUUGUGGCCUCCUAGGGUGGGUCCUUGUUCUAUAACUCUGGGAAGGCAGAGGAGGGAGAGAGUGUUCUAGAGCCCUGGCAUUUACAGAUGUGCUUUGGGGAAGGAAAGAGAGGAGAAUGGCAGUAAUGAGUAAAGCCAGCGAUGAGUGCACAUUUGCCCAGGAGGCAGAUUCUCGGAGCCCAGAGGGAAUAGCGAGGGACGGGGUUAGCAGAAAGGGGUUAGCGUGAGUGUUUGUUCGAGCCACCCCCGAGUUCCUCCAGGAAGAGAGCCCCCAUUUGGUUAUCCUGAUAACUUGUGCCGCUCUCCCCAAUAACUGUGAACAAAGUACCCACUGAAAAUAUCCCCUCGAAGGCUUGUUGGCUUAGUCAUUCCUUCCUUAUCAGUGACGGUCUCCCUACGUGUAUUUCACUCCCCUGGCUGACUCACAGAUUCCCUUAAAAGCUGCACUUUUUGCGCCUUGGAAAGAUAGUUUUAUAAUACCACAGCUGCUCCCUGGCCUGUGUGCUGUGUGAGUUGGUGUGUUAUGAGUGUGCUGACAAUAUCUGAAACCAAAGUUCAUGGCCCAGGUUAAUGGAUAUUUAGGACAAAGUUCCUGGUUCCAUUUCCAAAUCUCCCUCCCCCGUCAACUGGGAUAUUUUAAAACACGUCUAAAUAGCAAUGCAAAAAAGACUAACUUGAUUUACUUCUGUCUCCACUAAAAAAAAAAAAAAAAAAUUAGCAUUUUCCAGGUUCCACAUUUCAAUAUUAAGAUGCCUUACGUUAUUGAAAUAUCAAUAGUAAAGCAACACAAGGAAUCCUGGAGGCAGGGGAGCGACAAGGGGUAGAUAUUUCUAAUAUUUAAUGACUAUCUGUGCUGUGCCAGGUACCAUGCUUUGCACACAUUUUAUCCCUCACAGGAAUGGGGUGUUAAAAGUGUGAUGGAUCUCAUUCCACGGUUGAAGAAAGUUGAAGAAAGGCUCAGAAAGGCUAAGUGCCAUAUACAAGUUCACUUGGCCAGUAGAAGAUGCAGCUAAGACCCGAGUCCACAUCUGCCUGACUUCAAGGCCAAGAUCCUUCCCACCACACCAGAGUCUGUCCACAAAACCCAGGAUGCCUUCCUCAGCCACUGGAGUCUCCCUUGACCAUCCAGCGGCACAGACAAUGGUUGUUGCCUUUGGUUAUAGUAUCAACGCAAUGUAUCUUUUUUGUGUGCGUGGAAAGGCAGAAUUAUCUACUUAAUGAAAAAAAACAACUUUUGGAUAUAAUUGCUUUAUGAUUUACAAACUUCUAAAAAAUCCAUAUGAUUUAACUCUUACCACAACCCUGUAGGGUAGUAUCAUUGUUAGGGAUUAUGGUAAACACCUGUUGUUUUUGCCAGUCCAUUAUUUUGUUUUGUUUUUUUCUGGUACCUUCUGCUUCCUUUAGGGGAUCACUCUUUAUUCACCAAAGUCCGUGUAUUUUGUCUGAGGUUGAUCCCACCCACUGGCUCUGGGGGUCUAGACCCAAACCUAGCCAGUGAGGGCAUGUCAUCUUUGAUCGGUUUUGGGGUGACCACACUGGGCCAAUCAGAGCAAAUGGGAGUCAGCUCCUGAACUUUGGCGGGAGUUUUCUUUUUGUUGGUGAUGCAAAGCUCUAGGAAAUGCUGCUGAUUGUCUCUGCCUGUCUUUGCGUAAGGCUGCUCUGAGAAUGGAACCACUACAGGGGAAGUAGAGCUGAAGAAGAGGCAGGGAGCAGGGCCCUGAUGACAGUGUCUGUGCACCUGGGUCCAGUGGCACUCUAGGUCCCAGAAGCCUGGACUUCUCGAUUCAUUUUUUGCUAAUUAAUUUGCUUUUGCCUAAUCUACUUUGAAUUGGGAUUUUAUCGUUUUGUUAUGUAUCAUUCAAGUUAUUGCUCUCCAUCAUCAAAGGAAAUCUGGUUCAUGUCAUUGCCUUCAUCAUUGUCAACUUUAGCGACUGCUUAUUAAUUGGAGGUUCUGCAGACAAAAGAAGCAUCUAGCCCCAGAGAUUUCAUAUUUUGUUAGGGGGUGGCAGGGCGUGGUGGUGGAGUGAGUGCUGAUAAUAACAGUAUAAGGCAUUGUGGACUAAAAAUUGCACUUAAAACCACCCUUCCUCUUUCCUUCCUUCUCCUCAAUCUCUCUCUCUCUCAUUGGAAAGGGUACAGAGGAGUCUAGAGAAAUGACAGAAGUGGGGAACUAGGAGGAAGAAGUGGUGUUUGGAGACGUUGUCUAUUGGGAAGGAAACAGGACUCCAUGUGAAAUGCACAUUAGGCAAUAUCAAAUGUGACCCUGGGUAUUUGAUGAGAGGUCAGAAAUGAAGAUGCAGCUUUAGGUGUUACCCACAGAAGUGAAAGAUGAAUUUUCAGAAGCUUAUACCGUGAAGGGAGAGCAGGGUACUAGCACUGAGCCGUGGAAGAGACGACUAGUCAGCAUCAGCAUCAUUCAAGGGAAAACUCACACAGAAAAUUUACUUGAGAACACAGGAUAGGUGUGUCUUCAGGUAUAUACAUUGAUUUUCAGAAAAUGCAGACUCUUGUUAGAGUAAUAAAAUGUAUUAUUCCUCCAUACCUCAUUAAUUUCUUUGUCAGUUGGAAAAAAUGUAUUUAGGGCAAAAUGCCUCCAGCGAUUUUGACCACAAUAGAUAGUUGUCAUUUGAAGAUAAUUUCAGAGUGUCAGAGAAUUAAAUAAUAUUUAUGCGUAAUUUUGACUAAAUUUGGAAUCGAAACAAAAUGCCCACUCAAAUGAUAAGACUGAAGUGUUAUUGUAGAGCAGAGCCUUGUCAACUUUGUGUGUAAGUCAAAGGUCUUUUAAUUAUUUUGAGAAGUCUGCAGGCUAGAAAGCACAUCACAUGAGAAAAUGGUACUCUGAUUGGAACUACUAUUGGAAAUUUGUAUGUAAGGAUUUUGUUUUUUCCUGGCUUCGUGGAGCCAAUGUUUAUUAUUAUUUUUUUUAAUGUUUGUUUAAUUUUGAGAGAGAGAGAGAGCGCGCGCAUGCGCACACAAGUGGGGGAAGGGCAGAGAGAGAGAAGACACAGAAUCCGAAGCAGGCUCCAGGCUCUGAGCUGUCAGCACAGAGCCCGACGCGGGGCUCGAACUCACGAACCCUGCCAUCAUGACCUGAGCCAAAGUCAGACGCUUAAGUGACUGAGCCACCCAGGCUCCUGGGAACCAACCCUUAUUUAUCUAGAAUGAGAGAGAAAAAAGAAAGCAGGGGGCAUAUCACACUCCUAAGAGUGUGUGUACUUAAAUGCAAGUAUCCUGGACAAUAGUAGUAGACAGAUUUUGAGCCCACUUGAUUUUUGAAGCAUUUCCCUACUUUUCCUGAAGUAAGCCCUGCCCUCCAGGUCACAGGCUCUUUGUACAUAUUUAUUGAGGCUGAGGCUGAUGAUGACGUCAGUCUUUUUUCAACAAAGUCCCCUGAAGAUAAAGCUCAGAUUGGCUAUGUAGAGUUUCAGACCAGAUCCAGAGCUGAGCACCACUCCGAGGGCAUGGACCCAUCCAGGAGUGCAGCUGACAUUUGAGACGGGAUGUUCUUCAUAAUGCAGAACUGUCCCUUCACUGCAGGAUGGUUGGCAUCCCUGACCCCUGCAUUAAAUGUUUGCAACACCUCCCAGUCACUGUGACAACCAUAUCACCAUCCGCAUUUCCAAAUGCCCUCCAAAGGGUACUGUCUCCCUUUCUUAGGCUAGGGGAUUGCCUCUUUGGGUCUGAAGACGUUAGCUCUGGAGAACUUGGACGGUUAAGUGUUAAAAGAUAAACUGAGGCACGUUAAACGUUUUUUAAGAGUUUAUUUGAGCACAAAUUGACCUGAAUGGGAUGCAGCACCAAACCAGAAGUUGUCAAGAGUGCUUGGAGGAAAGGAGCUGAGGGUGUAUGUGCUGGGGGGCUUAUAUAGAAAAAAGUGCAGAAGCAAAGAAAGGAAAUUAUUUGGUUGGCUGUAGCUUACAGCCUAGUUGGCUGUUUGUGGUUGGUUGUCCUUAGGGUUUGAUUUCAUAACCUUGGGGCAUUUACAGACUCAGAAUCUGGUCUCUUUCCAUAGACUGCCAUUGAACUAGAGCCACCUCAGUCUAACGGCCUGCUUGUCUGAUUAAUUUAACAUGAGAGACAUACAUGCCUAACCCAACCUCACUCCACCAUCCAUUUCUGCUCUUGACAUGUUUCUUUCAUCUCUUUGGUUGUCAAGCAGAAAUAACAGAUCUGUUGGGAUCUCAUUCAGGACUGUCAUCACCUGACUUUCUUACUAAAUUACAUACAAACGAUAUAGGCCUGUACAUUAGAGUUAAGACUUUGGAGUUAUUCCCUGGGAAGGAAAAGUUCCAGAAAUCCAGAAACCUGGGAAGUGGUGUGGAGCCAAAAAGACAAAGAGAAGAAUGAAACUGGACCACUUUCUUACACAUACACAAAAAUAAAUUCAAAAUGAAUGAAAAACCUAAAUGUGAGACAGGAAACCAUCACAAUCCUAGAGGAGAAAAUAGGCAACAACCUGUUUAAUCUUGGCCACAGCAGCUUCUUCUUACCUGACGUGUCUCUGAAGGCAAGGGAAAUGAAAUAAAAAAUGAACUAUUGGGACCUCAUCAGGAUAAAAUCUUCUGCAGAGCAAAGAAAACAAUCAACAAAACUAAAAGGCAACCAAUGGAAUGGGAGAAGAUAUUUGCAAAUGACAUAUUGGAUAAAGGGUUAGUAUCCAAAAUCCAUAAAGAACUUACCAAACUCAACACCCAAAAAACAAAUAAUCCAGUGAAGAUAUGGGUAGAAGACAUGAAUAGACACUUUUCCAAAGAAGACAUCCAGAUGGGCAAUAGACACAUGAAAAGAUGCUCAACAUCACUCAUCAUCAGGGAAAUACAAAUCAAAACCACACUGAGAUACCACCUCACACUGGUCAGAGUGGCUAAAAUGAACAAAUCAGGGAACAACACAUGUUGGCGAGGAUGUGGAGAAGAGGGAACCCUCUUGCACUGUUGGUGGGAAUGCAAACUGGUGCAGCCGCUCUGGGAAACAGUGUGGAGGUUCCUCAAAAAAUUAAAAAUAGAACUACCCUAUGACCCAGCAAUAGCACUGCUAGGAAUUUACCCAAGGGAUACAGGAGUGCUGAUGCAUAGGGGCACUUGUAUCCCAAUGUUUAUAGCAGCACUCUCAACAAUAGUCAAAUUAUGGAAAGAGCCCAAAUGUCCAUCAACUGAUGAAUGGAUAAAGAAGAUGUGGUGCACACACACACACACACACACACACACACACACACACUGGAAUACUACUUGGCAAUGGAAAAGAAUGAAAUCUUUCCAUUUGCAACAACAUGGAUGGAACUGGAUGAUAUUAUGCUAAGUGAAAUAAGUCAGUCAGAGAAAGACAGAUAUCAUAUGUUUUCACUGAUAUGUGAGAUUUGAGAAACUUAACAAAAGACCAAAGGGGAAGGGAAGGAAAAAUGAGAUACAGAGAGAGAGGAAAACCAUAAGAGAUUCUUAAAUACAGAGAACAAACUGAGGGUUGGUGGAGGUGGGGAAAAUGGGUGAUGGGCAUUGAGGAGGGCACUUGUUGGGACGAGCACUGUAUGUAAGUGAUGAAUGAUGGGAUUCUACUCCUGAAGCCAAGACUACACCAUAUGUUAGCUAACUUGACAAUAAAUUAAAACAAAACAAAACAAAAAAAGAGUAGCAGUCCUUCCUUGGAGCAAACACAUGGCUUGUGAAACCCUUCUUGGGGUGGAGGUGUGGUGGGAAGAUGACCUUGGUCUGUGACCCACUUUGCACUUGCCUUUGCACCUGAGGCGCUCAGCCAGAAGCCUCUCCCUGCAUCUAUCAGACAUAUGACACUCCAGCUGCACCCCUGCCCUGACUGUGCCUGUUCCCAAUUGUGCUGUUUUAUUUGUUGUUGAUCCCAGUGCCUGAGGCCCUAAUGUGCAGAAACUGUCAUGGCUAGGCUGUUGUAUUUCUGAGAAAAAACAUUUAAAGGAUUUUUUAGAGGGGUAACAGAACUUGGCUUCCGUGGGGGAACACGUGGGAUGUCACAGUAUAGGCCUGCUAUCCUAAGAGCGUUAAGUCGUGGUUUCUACAAUGUUUGCAAGGCCACAUGGCUGUCCACACCACUUUCAAGUACACCUAGAUGAAAACGCCAACCUGGGCAGCUGCUUUAAGGUGCCUUGUAACUGCUUCCUUGGAUAUAAUAAUGUAUCUGGAACGGAGCGACCACUCAGCCCUCAGAAAUAUAAUUAUUUGGGCCACCAAAAGCAAUGUAGAGGGUUCUGGAUGGUCUGUAGAAACUUGGAGAAUGUAGUGUAAUGAUAAAGAAGAGAACAGUCAUUGGCAUUCUGGAUUCAAGUCAUAGAUUUACUCUACUGGCUAGGUGACCUUGGGAAAGUUACUUACCCUCUCUUAUCCUACCAUUCUCAGGUAUGAAAUAGGAACGAUAAUAAUAUAACAGGCGCUUGUGACAGAGGGUUGUUGAGAGCAUUACAUGAAGUAAAGUAAGCGGAGAAUUUUGCCCAUUCCUGGCAUGUUGUUGGGCAUGUAUUUAUUACUCAAUACAUUGUAAUUAUUGUGAUGAAUAUCUCUGUAGAAAGAAGAGUAGGCAUUUGAGAAAAUAAAGCUUUUGUGGGAGAGAACGUAAGGGGAGAGGUGAGGCCAAAGAAGUAAAAACCCUGUUUACAAUUACAAAUUAAUUUUAUUAAUAUUAACAAAAUAUUGUUAUAUUUUGUCAUAAAGUUUCAGAGAAAAUUAGGAACAUAGGAAAAAAGCAAAAAAAAAAUUGUGGUGAUAUAUAUGGAGUUAAUUGAAGGAAAAGGCAUUGCUUUAAGAAGCAAGAAUUGGGAAGCCUUUGAGUUGAGAUGGUAGAAUUUAUAGCUGGUCUCCUUGCCCACCAAGAAGCCCUGUUAAUCCAGAUUCCUUCGAGAACUAAGAGAUUUCUUACAUUCCUCUGGGGGCAGUGGAGUGGCCUGGCCAGCAGCAGCCCCAUUUAUGGGCAGAGCCUCCAAAGCCCCCAGAUUGAACUGCACAUAACAAAGCAGCCUUCUGGACAGGCGCGAAAAGAUCAGGGUUUGCCUCUUUGAAAGGGCAGGAGACAGUGGGCAGUGGAGGGUUAAUACAGAAAUGCAUUCGGCUGGACUUGAUUUUAACAUAAAAGAAAAACCCGCUGACAGUUGUAUUUCCUGUUGGAAAGCCCUGUGGGUGGGUGGGGUCUGAGGGUUCCUAAGAAUGAAUGACAGAUAUGAGAUGUGCAGCACGUAGCCGGGCAUCGAGGAGGUAACGAGCUGUCGGAUUAAAACUCACCUACCAUCCCCUGAGCCCCAUUCCUCCUUCAGGGCCCUCUCUGGUCUCCUGUCUUCCAAGAAGCAUUAUUAAUGUCACCCGUACCGGAGAUGAUGAUGAGACUAUAUUAACUACAGUAAUGACCAUUCAUUUCAAAGCCAGCAGGUGCUAGGCCCCAUGCUAAGAGCUUACCACAUAUCUAUUUCUUAACAAUCCAAUCCUAGAAACAGUCCAACAUGCUUUACGCAUAUCCUCUCUAAUUCUUACAACAAGCAACAUAGGUUUUACGAUCCUUGUCUUACAGACGAGAAAGUGCACUUAGAGAGGUUGUAGUGUGCCUAGGGCCGCAUGGCCUGCUGCAGACAGAGCUGGUGUUUGGACCCUCACCUUCUCGAGGUCAAGGGUCUUCUUGUGUCCAUCAUGCCCCUCACAACAUGACCCCUUAGCCCAUUGUUCUGCAGAAGGUUCUCAGCAAAUACUAAUUUCUUAAGUGAUCCAAAUUCAUGUUUGCCGUCUACACCCAGGAGUGGUACUAUGAGAUGUGCCUUUGUGUGUACGUCCUAGGAGUAGCAGGAAAAAGAAUGUGGAUGCAGUCUCUGAAGGCGCUCGGGCACCAGCACCCACCUGCCCUGGGCUGGCAGCAGCCAGGCUGCCCCCUCUAACCCUGCUCUUCCACGUCUCAGAGGAUGCCAGGAUUUAGAGCUGGAACUGGCCCCACAGACUGGCUGGCCCUGACCCCUUUGUUUUAUAGAUACUGCCAUCCAUAAAUCUAUAGGUCUACAGCCUUGAUGAGUGAGGCCCAGAGAGGUUGAGUGAGUUCACUAAGGUCACACAGCUAGGAAGAGGCAGGGCUAGAACAUGAACGCAGGCCACCUCUUAAACCUGCAUCCAGCCCCCUUUCCACUAUACACCAACAAGACAUAGUGUGAGGGCACGUGAGAGCAGAAGGGGUCUUUGCUUGGCUGACCGUGGUGAUGCCAAAUCCUCCCUGGAGCUGAGAUAGAGUGACACAGAGCACUCGCUUGCCCGCCAUGAUCUGCCCAGCCAUCACUUACAAUCAGCCCCGGGUGCCUCUGUGGGGCAGGCAGGGAAUCUGCCUGUCUGGACCAUUUUGUCUGCCAAGAGUCAGGCCUUAGGGAAAGGUUUAUUUUCUUAAAGUAUAAUUCUGCAUGUUCCCUUAAAGACCCAUCAUGAUGUUCACCCAAACAGGCUGAAAAUUUGUGGUAGUUGUCUCUAGAUUAUAUUUGGUUUGCUUUGCUUAUCUCAGCUUUCAACUGUUAUCCCUGUCUGAACACUCCAGGAUGAACUAUAGGUAUGGACAUCGUGGUUAUUUUAUUUUAUUAUUUUUAAAAAUUUUUUUAAACGUUUAUUUUUGAGACAGAGAGAGACAGAGCAUGAACGGGGGAGGGGCAGAGAGAGGGAGACACAGAAUCCGAAGCAGGCUCCAGGCUCUGAGCCAUUAGCCCAGAGCCCAAUGUGGGGCUCGAACUCACAGACCACAAGAUCGUGACCUGAGCUGAAGUCGGACGCUUAAAUGACUGAGCCACCCAGGCGGCCCGUGGUUAAUUAUUUUAAAACAUGCAAUUGAAAAUAAUUUUAUUGGAGGAAGAGACUUUUUCAUGGUCUGUACCAAGUUUCAUGAAUUCAUUGCUUUUUCUUUCCUGAAGGAAAUUGUCCUCCACAAUGGAAGAUCAAAGAUCAGCACAUUCUUGGGUAUAUGUUAGUUGCAAGGCCUUGUGGAAAAUAACUAAGUACUGUGAGAAUUAGCCUCUGCCCUCAAGGCAUGUACAGUUUAGUUGUAGAAACAUAGUAAUAAAGGUGGCAGAUAUUGAAUACUUCCCAGGGGCCAAGUCCAGCGGGGACUGUGACCCUCCUGGACUAUACCAUCUGCGACAUUUGAAGCCAUUUCCUAGCAAACUUUUAGUUCCUGGGCAGAGGGGUCUGACUAGCCUCCCUUCCCACCCGCCCCCCUCCACUUCCAUUUGGUGCUUCCUUGGCCAAGAACACGAGGGCGCUACCUGUGUGAGUUGGUCAGGUUGGUCUGCAGCCAGAGAAUGUGGGGGCUGGCCACGUCCCAGCAACACCACACCCAGAUCUGCACACCCUCCACAUUUCUCCGCAUUGCUCGGGGAGAGGAGGUAAGCCUGCUUGGCAUGACUCAGGCCACGGAAGUGAAAAGCCCAGACGCGGUGGUUCGUCAGUUUCUCCCAGGUCUUAGUCCACGCUUACUAACCCGGCAGCAUGUAUAGACUCUGAGACCUCAAGGCAGUAACCGGGAGUCUCUGGGGACCAGCUGUCUGAGACCCGUGGGUGACAAAUAUCAUUUGAUUUCAUUUCCAGGGCCGGCAGGUUUUUUUCCUCUUUCCUUCUUUAUGAGGGAAUUUUUCAGUAGGGUUAUAUGAAACAGCACCCCUCAAGCUUGUUCCCAAGCUCAGAUCUAGGCAGGAGUUUUCAACAUCUUCCUGGUUCUCUCCAGUUAUGGGCAAGAAACAAAUGCCAUAACCAAAUUUUAUGACAUUGUGGGAGCAGUGUCCAGGGUGAGCCUUGUAGAAAUGGCACGUAAAGGGGCCCUGCACAUCCUGUUUGCAGUUAUAGGGACAGGGCAACGUUCACUUUACCGCUUGGCCUUGUGCCCCGGAGGCCAGGCCUAGCUCCAAGCUUCUCCUCUGAAGACGACCUCACAGUUCUCACCCAAGGAGUCCUAGGCUGCUCAUGAGUCCUGCGGUAGAAGUUGACUCCUCCAGUGCUAGAGAGAAAUGGGAUGGCCCGGUGCCUGAACGGUUUCUCCUUAGCGGCUUCAGAUGGAUGGAAAGUCACAGAGCCCUUCUCUCUCAUGAGGUGUGUGUGUGGGGUGUCUUUGAAAAGCCCCUCUCAGUGAGCUUCCCUGGGGGCGCUCUGCCUAGUACAGCACUUAUCGGGAACCUACUGAACGCCACACCUGUGUCAGGCACCAUAGAAGGAAGGAUGGAUGUGCCUUAGUUGUGUCCCCGAGGGCCUCAAAGCCUGUGGUUGCUGAGAUAGACAUAUUACUAACCCAAGAUGGCGGUAAGAGCCCACUCCUCCCAUAUUCAUUGCGGUCUGCUCUUCUCCUGGAUUUGGGCUUGAUAGAAUCCUAAAGGAAGCACUGUCUCUUCAAUGUUCCCUCUUUUUUUCCCCUCAUUUUUAUUUGUUUGAGAGAGAGAGAAUGAACGGGGGAGAGGGACAGAGGGAGAGAGAGAGAAUCUUAGGCAGGCUCCAUGCUCAGUGUGGAGUCUGAUGUGGGCUCAAUCCCAUGACCCUGAGAUCAUGACCUGCACUGAAAUCAAGGGUUGGACGCUCAACUGACUGAGCCACCCAGAAGCCCCUCCUCUUUCUUUCUAACACUGAUCAUCCCUCUGCGGAUUUAAGUGGGCUGACAAGGGAAGGAAGCACAUUCAAAGUGCAUUGAACGAGCAGGUUACCACACUCUCAUUCCUACUGGGGGGCGUCUGGGAAAUGGUGUGGAGUCUGCCUGGCCUUGCCGCCUCCCCGUCCCGUGCAUGGGGCCAGGAAGCUGGGAGAGGUGCCUGCCAGUUCUCUCUACCCCUGGUGGGGGGCACAAACUCCCAGCAAGCCCGGCCUGCCCUGCCUGGAGGCCGAGCACCUUCCCGCAGAGAAAUCCCUCAGGCAGGUUCACAGAGUGCACAGGCCCGUGGAAGGGGGAACAUGGCUGGAUGUGGCUGAGGCAUCCCAGUGGCUGCCUCACCCACCCAGGCCUGGGCCUGGAGACGCAUGAUGGAGGCCAAACAUUCUGAUGCUGAGAGGAACCCCAGCUGGCUGCGUGGGAAUGGCCAAAUUAAUACCCAACCCCGGCAAGAGGAAUGGAGCCCCACUGGUGUUGACCUCUCAGCCUCUUCCCAGCAGGGGAAGCGGGGGCAGACGUGUUGUCUCCUACAGCUCUCUGUCUUUAUGAAAACAUAGGUGCUCAGGGAUGUGGGUUUGAAUUAACCUCACACAUACAUGAUGAUGCUUCCUCGGUCCUUGGCUGGCCUGACCACAAGCUCAGAGUGUCACCUGCACAAUUCUUACACCAACUCAACACACAGCUUUUGUGGGGUGGUGGUGGGGGCAGCUGCUGUGUAGGAAUGUUCUGGUUCCUGCUUUUCAGCAUCAUGUAAAUGUUCUGAGACCAGGGACUGAUCUUGGACCUUCUGGAAGCUGCUCCACAUUCUGAGUAUCGGGGUGGGUUCAGUGUUCGUGCCUGCCUGUCAGAGGGAAGUUUCUGUGACGGUGAAACAGGUCUGUGAGAUGCCCAGUAUGGCUGUCAUGAGCCAGCUUCCUGGGAACAGCGGUGAGCCGUCCUGCCUGGCUCCCCCAUCCAGACUCGACAGGGGCUAACAAACCCGUCAGUCCACAUGGGGGGUGGGGGGCUACACUUGGCCCAAGUUCACUUGGGAAGUGACUGGGCCUGCUCCUGCGUGCCAAGGAGCUUGUUAGUAUUUAUGAGCUGUUUAUUAGCCUUGAAGGAAAUCAGCCCAAACCCUGGCGGGAAGGGAGGGCUGAGGAGGGAGGCUGUCUUCACCUCAGCGCCCCAGCUUUUGUUUGUAUAAAUAGCUGGGUGCUUGGCCAGCUGCCCUCCUGCUGGCAGAGUCUGCGAUGCCCCGAUGCCUGGGGCUGGCAGGCAGAUGAGGACCUGGGACAAACCAGCAGCUCCUCCUUCCCCAGGCUCUGAAUGUGGGGAAGGAAACAUUCAGGUGUAAGGCCCCUUCAUCCUCACACUAAGGGUAGAUUGAAACCUGCCAGGUGUCUUUCCAACGCUCUCACUUUUCAACUGCAUCACACCUGAGUUUUUUAAUCAGGAGCGCUCACAGGGCAAAGGAAAGGUAAGUUUUCCCCUGUCGACCAAUCACUCGCUCCGUGGUUGGGCCUCUGCUCUGGAGCAGAGCAGGCAGACCAGCCGAGGGACCUUUCUGAGGUGAGUCUCCUCCAGCUCAGAGAUCACGAGCACUUACAUCCAGCCCGACCUGCCGAGGCCGUGAUGCUCUUCUAAAGAGGCCAACAUAGCCUCUUUAGUUUGAGAAGGGAGCAGCCGCUGACCAGAAAAACCGGUCAUUCUCCAAAGAUCCUGCCUGGGAAGAAAGCAGUUAGAGUUCGACCUCAAAUUCUGUAUCAGAUUCAGGGGGCCACACCCAGCAAAGCCCAAGCAUUUUCCUCCUCUGCUGGGAAUCUGGGCCUCUCUGGUGCAGCUUGGGCUGCCUGAGAGUGGUCUAUUUUUAAGGGGGUAUAGGAGCCUUCCAGAGAACUCAUUCCAGGGAGAGAGCUGGUGCAGUGAGCCAAGCUGGGAGCAGAGCGUUAGGUGUUAGAGGCCAGGCAUGAUUCUAUCCUCAGCCUGGCUUCUCAGACUUGUUACUGGGCCACAGGGAGACAAGUGCUGGGAGUAAACCACACGUUUUUAAAAAAAUUCUAGCCCCGUCCCACCACUCACAGAGUGACUUCGGGCAAGUUACCUAACCCUUCAAGGGCGGCCCCCUCUAGCAAAUAGCCAUAUAUGUGUGGUUCCUAGCUCAGAGAGUUGCUAUGAAGUCGUGUGAGUUCGUGCUUGCAAACUGCUUCGAAUAUUGUAAGUGCAAAAUAUUGGGUGAAAUGAAACCCAAAGCAUCUGUAAGAUUACGGGCCCAGGUAGCACUACUUUGGGACUCUACCAGUGCAUGAGGAAGGGAAUGGAGCACUUUCUCACCUCUUUCCACAGACCACUCACUUCUCCAGCGCAUGAGAGAGCAGCACUCAGAACAGUAACUGUGCAUCCAAGGUGCCCCCCACCCCCACCAAGCGAGCACCCCCUGGGGACACAGACCCCUGGGACUGAGAGGUGGUUACUGGGAGGAAGCCUUGUAGGAGCAGGUGAGAGGGUACAAGCGGGUACGCAUUACUUUUAAUGUGGCCUCUUCCACACCCUGUAACCAGCGAGGCCUGAGGAGCUGGGUCACAGUCAGAAGCCCUAGGCGCCACCCAGAGUCACAGUUUCUUAGCAGCCUGAAGUUCAGAGAAUGGGAAGGGAUGUUUCCUGGUAGGGGCCUAAGGCUCAUGGGCCUAGCUUCUCUCCACCCCAGCUAUUAGUUUAUGGUAUUUAGUAAAACUCUUUGGUUCUUUUCUCACUUCUGUGGUGCUGAAAUCUAACUCUCACAAUCCCCACUCACAGAGAGCUGCGUUUCAGAUCCUCUGUGUUAAUCAUUGGGGUGGCUGUUAAAACUGACCAAGAAGAUUUCUAGAAAGGGCAUCACCAAAAGACAGGAUUUUUGAAAAGCAGCUGGAACCGGAAGUUAAGCUGGAAAAUGGAGGCCCAUGCUCUAUUAGACAACAGGAGUGCUCGGAGCCCCUCAUUCUAAGGAAGGGCCAGACCACUCACUCCACGCUUAACAAGAGGCUGACUCCCUGUAACUUUCACCCCACUCCCUUCCACAAUAUAAUUAGAGACCUGAGGAAGGAGAGAGAAAGAGGGCAAGUUUCGGCCAGUGCAGUGUUCACGGGGGAAGGUUACUUCCUCCCCGAAGUGAGGUGGAGAGCCAGAUGUGCUCUAAGACUGAGGGGCCAUCUGCGUGGAUCAGAACGUGGCAGGACUCGGAAAGUUCUUGCGGGAGCACAACUGAUGUUCCUGUCGUUUGCAGGCACCCAUAAAACUUUUAGGUCAAAACCUCGAGAUUUCCCAAGGCAGAAGGCCUGUGGGAGCAGCCUGGGCAGAAGGCUGCGGAGGCCGCUUGGUAGUUGCUUGACAACAAGCCAAGUGGCCAAGUGAGGCAAUACCCCCCCCCAGAGAAGAGGUUAACGGCGCAGACUAAUGCUGGCCAGACGGAGGUAUGGCUGUCGCCAAGGGGGCCUCAGUUCCGGGGCUUUCUCAGGGAAAGAGGGAAGGAGAGGCUUACGCUGGAUCUGAGAUUGGAAUUUUGACCCAGACUGGGCUGGACGGGCAAAGGUGGUGACUGGGGGAAAUGCACCUUAUUAUAUUUGUUUCCCACUUAGUUGAGGCUCCUCAAACUGUUUUUGCAGCCAUGAAUUCUAGGGGCUUUAAGGACAUAUUUUCUUCUUGAAACACACGAUCUGGAGAAACCCAGAAAACGGAGCAAGAAUGGAGGCCUUGUUUGCAGCAGAGUUCUGAAAACACUGAAGCAUUCCUCAACGCCCUGACACCUGUUUCUCAACCGGCUAAUACAUAGCAUAUUAGUUUCCUAUUGCUGCUGUAUCAAGUUACCUUGGACUUAGCGACUGGCUAUAACAACUUUAUCACCUUAUGGUUCUGUAGGCUAAAAGUCCAACAUGGGUUUCAUUGCGCUGAAAUCAAGAUGUCAGCAGAGUUACACGGAGUCCUCACAUGACGUCACUUCAACCUCUCCCCUUGCCUUUCUCUUCCAUUGUUAAGCACCCUUGAUGUUAUAUCAGGCUCGCCUAGAUAAUCCGGGCUAAUCUCUCAAUCUUAGAGUGAAUUGGUUAGCAACCUUAAUUUCAUCUGUAAUCUUGUUUCCCCUUUGUCAUGUGACCUAACAUAGUCACAGGUUCUGGGGAUGACGACGUGGACAACUUUGGGGGGGAUCAUUAUUCUCCUAACACAUGUGACUUAUGUAUUACUGAAUUCAGUUUAAUUAAAAAUACACGUGAGUCCCAGGUCACCCAAGCUAAGAUUCAGCCACAUUCCAUCGCCUUGCCUCCGGGGGUUGGGGGAGGCUUACUGUGAACUGGGAGGCUGUGGCCAAGGGACUGCUGGACUUUCGUCAUGUCUGGAAGGCCCCACAAAAGGCAUUCAAUUCCUCUUAGGCCCCGAGCAGGGGCGACUGGAGGAGCACGUGCCUUGCAUUCACCCCUAGAGGUAAAGGGGCUCUGAACCCCCCUCUGAGCUGCCACAUGUGCGCAUCAGCUGACACCAGGACUUACUCUUUCCACUGAUAAGCAUCUUCUGCAGUAAGUGCCCGAAUUUCAAAAUUCCAGGCAGUUUUAACCGGUUUCUGGUGCUGGAGAUGCUGCCGACUUUGGGAACAAGGAAGGAGGUGAAUGUUGUCACAGCGUUCCUGAGCAUUAAGGCUCACCUUUCUCCGGGUGGAAUCUUCUGGUUAAAGGCUGCAUUGGUACAGGUGUGGAGGAGGAGGGAGCUAGAGCCGACCCCUCCUGACCUGCCUGGAGGGUUGGUGGUGGAAGGGCUCUGCAGACACUGGGGCUCCAGCACCAUUAACUGUGCUUACUGGGAUGGGGAAGCAUGCAUUUCGUACAACUUUUCUGUGUAUCGCAGCACUGGUGUCUAGUCCCUCGCUUCCCAGCUUGAGAUGCACCAGCAGCUCUUGUACCGCCUCUAGAUAUAAAAAUGAGGAUUGGCCCCCAUGCUAAGAGCUGGUUCCCUGGGCCCUAUAGGUGUCCUGGGAGUAGAAAGAGGCUUUUGUGCAGCUUCACUUCUCGCGUUUCCAUCAGUCACUUGGGUACUCACCCUCAUUAGUGGGCCCCCACAGUUUAGGUUGGCCCUGGGGCAGGGGCAGGCACAGGUCCAGCAAAGCUCCUGGGACAGGAGAAUGUUUCUGCUAGUGCUCCCCAUCGCCCAUCCCAUCACCAGGGCACCUUGAGGGCACCAAACCUUCCUUCAGGCCACCCUCAGGGUUGGUGUCCAGGCAGCUGAGGCCCCUGGCCCUGGAGCACUGCUCCCCCCCCCCCACACCCCCUUCAGUUCUUGGGCACAAUGACUCUCAUUGUCUCUCUUCUCUUAUGCAAUAAAGCUUAACAGCUUGUUGGAAAGAACACGAUGGCCUGUUAAGUCAGAAAAUCAAGCGUAAAAACUUAUUUACCCUCUUGGAGAGUGGAAAGGGUCCAGUCCUCUCUUAGAAACACAAAACCGCUGGGACCUUGACACAACUCUUUUCCAGGAGCAUUCAUUCCUUUAAGAUGAGGUCACUUUCCCCCAGGGAUGGUCCAAAGUCUCUACCUUGGAAACACAAAAAUCCACAAAUCCGCUCUCUAAACACGUUUUCUAGAAUGAACAUUAUUACUAUCAUAAUGGGAACAAUAAUCACCUGUAUUUCUGAAUGUUUGAAUAGCAAGGCCUUGCAGAUCGAAGCCAAAUGCAGUCACGUUUCCAAAUUGGUAGGAGCGGUUUCUUUCGUUUGGAUGUGGAGCCCUAGCCUUGCAUCAUGAUUUUGUCACAGUUAUUUGAGGGGUGAAAAAACAGGACGUUUCCUACCCCAGAAAGACCUCUGGAUUAAGUCCAAAGACCUGGUUGCUGAUUCCAGCCCUUUUACUGACUUGAAUUUGAGACUCCGUUUCUUUGCUCAGGCACGGAAACCUCGUAACACUGCCUGCCCACCUGUGACAAGCCAGGGAGGGGGGGCAGUGCAUGCAUAUUGGAGGCUCCCGGUGGCCCUGCGUCAUUAUUAGGUGGCCCUGGAGAGGGGAAGUGGUGGAUAAUUCCUGAGAUUUUAGUGAUUCUAUAGGCAAGGGUAGCAGAAAGCAUCCUGCUUACAACACCUGCCACCCCCAAGCGCAGUAUCUGAAGGACUCCCUCGGCAGAGAUUGUGACAGCAGCCACAAUGGCAGAAUGAGCCAAGGAGAAGCAGGGGCUGGGAGAGGGGGCCAGAGGAGGUCAGACUUGCUGUCACUUCCCUUGUGGUGUCGGUGAGAGCGCUGCCCAACCUGGCAGUGAGGCAGGGCAAGACCCACUUCCAGGACAGAGUUCUAGCAGAGUCCUUUAGGAAACCUCAAGGCUGGGAUUCUCCCCCUUGUCGGCAUGUCCCCAGGCCCAAGCUGUGGCCCCAGGAGAGCCGUGCUGCCCGCCACAGAAGCUGUCAUAACCCUACGCUCCAAGACUUUGCCUCUAAUCCUAUCUUUUUAAAAGAUUUUAUUAUUUUUGAGUAAUCUGUACAUCCAACGUAACCCAACCCUUUCAACCUCGAGAUCAAGGGUCACACACUCUAUGGGGCCCCUGGGUGGCUCAGUCAGUUAAGGGUCCCACUCUUGAUUUUGACUCAAGUCAUGAUCUCACUGUUGUGGGACCAUAUCUGGUCCAUGGAGCCUAUUUGAGAUUCCCUCUCUGCCCCUCCCCAACUUGCACUCUUGCGCUCUCUCUCUCUCUCUUAACUACCAGUUGCCCAAAUCUGCAUUUGUGCCAGCGGGCUCUUUCACCCAUCUCCCAGUUCAGAUCUGGAGAAGGAUGCGUAAUUUGUGCUUCCUUUAGGCAGCCAGAGGUGCUGAGAAAUUAACAUAUGCCCUGCAUAUGCUCAACUGGACUCUGGAAUCAGCCUUACAAACAUUCCAGCAACCUGGCCCUUGGGUAGAAUACAUUUUCCAGACAGUUUUAUACCUUUCCCCAGAGUUUCCCUUUAGGUGGAAGCUUUAGUAGCUCACUAUGGUAGCUGAUUUCUUGGCUUCCUUUCCUUCCCUGGAUCCCUUUCUCACUCCCCUGCAAGUAUUAGCCGCACUGGCCAAAAAAACUAUUUCCGCUUGAGUCUUUGUCUCAGGAUCUGCUUCUGGGAGAACUCCAACUAAAAGAGGUACAAAUAAACAAAAAUGAAUAGGAACUGGUAAAAUGCUUGAUACAUUACAAAUAUUCAAAUAAACGUUUGUUCCUUUGAAGAGACAACAACGCAAAAUCUAUUCUCAAUGCUUAUCCCAGAGCUGAGUGCAUAGUAGACAUUCAAUAAAAGCUUGGAGAGUGGGGAAGACAGCCUAGUCAAGUAUAAGCUAGGUAAUCACCUGGUAAGGAUAUUAUAGAGAGGUUGAAGAAUCACCAGCUAAGUGGGUGAGACAGCCUUUGAAAAUCCAUACGUUCAGAGCUCUAUGGGUGUGACUAUUGCCACAGCAGUGGUGGGGAGCCUCCCAGGUGCUAAGAAUGGGAUUUUUGGUUAGCCUGUCUCAUUUUCCUAUUGAAUUUCCCACAAGCAUUAUUUUAAACAGCUUUAUUGAGGUAUAAUUUAUAUAUCAGAGUAUUCGCCACUUUCAGAGUUGUACCACAAUUACAACUUUUCAAUUCUGGAAUGUUUUCAUCACUAACCACCCCCCCCCCCCAAAAAACCGGUGCCUAUUCUCAGUCACCCCAUUGUUGCUCCUUCCAGCCCCUGGCAAGCACUGUCCUAUUGUCUGCUUCUGUAGAUUUGCCUAUUCUGGAUAUGUCAUAUAAAUGGAAUCGUGUAAUGUGUGGUCUUUGUGGAUGGAUUCUUUCACUUGGCAUAACAUGCUCAAGGGUCAUCGAUUGUUGUAACAUGAAUCAGUGCUUCAUUCCUUUUGAUUGCCAAAUAGUAUUCCAUUGCAUGUAUAUGCAUCCUUCGUUUAUCCAUUCCUUACUUGAUGAAUAUUGGGUUAUUCCCACCUCCUGGCUAUUAUGACUAAUACUGCUAUGAACGUUCAUGUACAAGUUUUUGCACAUUUAAAUGUUUUCAUGUGUGUAUGUAUACACACACCCCUAGGAGUAGAAAUGCUGGGUCAUGUGGUAGCUCCGUGUUGAACUUUUUGAGCACUAUUUUACAUACCUACCAGCAGUGAAGGAGGGUUCCAAUUCCUCGUCAUCCUCACUAUUCUUGUUAUUACCUGUCUUUUUCUUUUAUAGCCAUCCUAGACUGUACAGAGUGACAUCUUAUUAUCGUUUUGACUUAUAUUUCCCUAAUGCUUAAUGAUGUUGAAUAUCUUUUCACAUGCUUAUUAAGCAUGUGUUCAUCUUAUUAUGGGAAAUGGCUAUUCAAAUCCUUUACCAUUUUAAAGUUGUGUUUCUUUUGCCUUUUUUAUAGUUUAAUGUAUUUUCAUAGAAAUCUUACAGGAACAGCGUGGAAGGCAGACAACAUUAAAAGCCUGGACUGCAUGUAGGACAACUCAGAAAAGUAUAGUGAAUGUGUUUUUUGUCUUUUUAUUCUUGAGUUGUUAAGUACUCUUUAUAUAUUCUGGAUACUGGACCCGUAUCAGAUAUAUAAUUUGCUUAUAUUUUCUCCCAUGCUGUGGCUUUUCGUUUUAGUUUCUUCAUGGUGUCAUUUGAAGCACAGAAGUUUUCAAUUUUGAUGAAAUCCAACCUGUAUUUUUUUUGCCUUUGGCUGCUUGUGCUUUUGGUGUCACAUGUAAGAAAUUGUUGCCCAAUUCAAGGUCAUGACAAUUUAUACCUCUAUUUUCUUCUAAGAGUUUUAUAGCGUUAGUUCUUAUGUUUAGGUCUUUGGUCCAUUUUGAAUUAAUUUUGAUACAUGAGGUGAGCUAGGAGUCCAACAUCAUUCUUUUGCAUGGUGAUAUCCACUUGUCCCAGAACUAUUUGUUACAAAGCAAAGAACUAUAGAAUUGUCUUAGCACCCUUGUCGAAAUUAGUUGACCACAAAUAUAAGAAUUUCUUUCUACAUUCUCAAUUCUACUCUACUGAUCUAUAUAUCUUUAUUCUAGUGUUACAAUAUCUUGAUUCCUAUACUUUGAAAUUUUUUCAAAAAAUUUUUAAUGUUUUAUUUAUUUUUGAGAAAGAGAGAGGGAGGGAGGGAGAGAGAGAGAGACAGAAAGAGAGCAAGAGAGAGAGAGAGAGGACGAGCAGGGGAGGGACAGAGAGAGAGGGAGACACAAAAUCUAAAGCAGGCUCCAGGCUGUCAACACAGAGCCUGACACAGGACUUGAACUCACAAACUGUGAGAUCAUGACCUAAUCCGAAGUCAGACAUUUAACUGACUAAGCCACCCAGGUACCCCUGAAAUUUUGAAAUCAGGGAGUAUAAGUCUAACUUUGUUCUUUGUAAGAUUGUUUUGGCUAUUCUGGGUCUCUUGCAUUUAUUUAUUUAUUUAUUUAUUUAUUUAUUUAUUUUUAAAUUUUUUUUUCAACGUUUAUUUAUUUUUGGGACAGAGAGAGACAGAGCAUGAACGGGGGAGGGGCAGAGAGAGAGGGAGACACAGAAUCGGAAACAGGCUCCAGGCUCUGAGCCAUCAGCCCAGAGCCUGACGCGGGGCUCGAACUCCCGGACCGCGAGAUCGUGACCUGGCUGAAGUCGGACGCUUAACCGACUGCGCCACCCAGGCGCCCCGGGUCUCUUGCAUUUAUAUGUACAUUUUAGUAUCAGUUUGUCAAUUUCUGUAAAAAAAAAAAAAAAAAGUCAGCUCUUUGAUAGGGAUUGUGUGUGAUCUGUGAAUCAGUUUAGGGAAUGUGGCCAUCUUAACAGUGUUAAGUCAUUCAGUCUACAGACAUGGGAUAUCUCCCUAUGUAUUUAGGUCUUCAGUUUUCUCAACAACGUGUUUUAAUUUUCAGCGUGCCAGUAUUGCACUUCUGUUGUUAAAUUUGUUUCCAAGUAUUUUAUUCUUUUUGAUACUAUGGCAAAUGAAAAUCUUAAUUUCAUUUUUGAUUUUUCAUUGUUAGUGUAUAGAAAUACAGUUGUUUCUUUCUAUGAUCCCACAAAAUUUUAAAGUCUGUUUUUUUCCCUUCAAAAUCAAGAGUUAUAUCCAAGAAAUAUUUUGUCCAUCUUAAGGCAUGGGAUUCUUUGAGGCCUGCCACAAAGCACCAAAAGCUGGCUGCUGUCCUUGAGAGAAAACUGGGAAAGAAAAUCUUGAUGUCGGGAAGUAAAGUAUGUGAUUUAUUUAGUCCAGAUAAGGCAGGUUCACGUAGUCAUGAACUUUAAAAAAUAAGAAGUCCUUGAGCAUAGAAUACGGCUCUGGGGGUGCUACAAAUAGGUUACAAAGUGAAAGGUUAAACUCAAAGAGCCAAUAGUAUUAUGAGGGCAGGAAAAAUGCAUGGUAACAUAAAACACACAAGAAGCCUCCUAGAGAAACCAGGUAUGCAUUCGAGUACCAACUUUGGCAUUAGCUAUGAAAUACCAUGAGAUCAUCCAGUCUGCUCCUCCAAAUUUACAGAUGAGAAGACUCAGUAUGAUGUGCUAUAUAGGAGAAAAAGCAAAGGGUUUAGAGAGAAGUGACUGAGUCAUCACUAUCAGGAGACCUUGGGAGAGGCUCCUUAGCUCCUGUCCACUUCAGUUCUUCAUCUGUAAAAGGAGAAAAAUGUUGCCUGCUUUGUAGGGUGAUUGUAAGGAAUCAGUGAUUGAGUGAGUCACCAGUCUUUCCUAGCACCAUGUGCCAGGCACUGUGAUCGGUGCUGGGGACAAAGCGGAGAACAAAAGGGACACAGUGCAUGACCACAAAAGAGCAGAUUUAGGGUGAUGUUUAAAGGGCACAAGGCUCAGCAUGGUUUUUCUCUGGCUCAUUGUAAGUUUCAGUUAAAUUUCCCAAGGGCAGGGCCCCAUUGCAUUUAUGUCUAAAUCUUGAGUGCCAAGCACAUGCCUGACAUCUUGUAGUUACUCAAUAAGUUUGUUGAAUUAAACAAAUUUUCUUUUCUUACCCCAACGCAAAGGAGGACUUCAGACACUGAAGGGGAGAAGAGCGUUUUCCUGGCAAGAGCAGAGUGUUUCAGGAGGAGGUGACGACAGGCAUGGAGAUUGGAAAGAGAGGUGCUGGGCCAAAGGAAAAGGUACGUGAUCGGUUGAACCACAGCUUAUUUUAUUUUUAAAAGAAAGAUAUCUCAUGGUAAAUUAAAACAAAAACAGAAGAGCCUUUCUGGUCCUCUCUCCCUUUCUGCUAACAUCUACAUGUGAAUGUAUUUCCUCAUCAAAUACAUCAGUUAUUCUUAAACAUGUAGGCUAAGUUUUAAAAGAAGUAACUGUGGUGUGUGUUAGCAUCACUCUGAGAAAAAAAAUGCAAGGAGUUCUGUGCAUACUAUCACAAGUUUGAGCCCAUCCAAACUGGGAUGAUAAGAAUUCUGAGGGCGGGGCGCCUGGGUGCCUCAGUCGGUUGAGCCUCUGACUUGGGCUCAGGUCAUGAACUUGCGGUUGGUGAGUUUGAGCCCUGCAUCAGGCUCUGUGCUGACGACUCAGAGCCUGGAGCCCACUUCUGAUUCUGUGUCUCGCUCUCCCUCUGUUCCUCCUCCGCUCGCACUUGCUUUCUCUCUCUUUCAAAAAUAAAGAUUUAAAAAAUUAAAAAAAAAAAAGAAUUCUGAGGGCAACAUGGCUACAGGCAGGAGGAAAUAACAUCAUGCUCUGGGUCAGGAGCCCAGGCCCCUGUGAAUCACUGUAGAUUUCUGCAUGGGGAGGGCCCCUCAUUCUUCUUGCCAGGUCCACAAUAGCUUGAGGAGUGCAGAACUGCUGGGAGGGAGCAGACGGAGUGGGAACCAGGCUGGGACCACCGAGGCAACAGAUCACCGUGAGCCAUGCGUCAGGCAUUACACAGAGCCAGCCGGGUCUCCGGUCCUUCCUUGCUUUAUGAAGUCAGCCCUUUAUAGACUUUAUGAAUGAGAGCAAAGAAAAGUAAAUGUUGAAAGUGAUCCUCAGGUGGAAAUCCAGACAUUUGGAUUCUAGGUCUGGCUCUGCUUCCCACUGUCGGUAUGAUCUUGAUGGAGUCACAUCAGUUCUCUGAGCAUCGGUUCCCUCAGUUGUAAAAUGAGAAGUUGGCAGUAGGUCAGACGUGGCAAAUACCCAAGAGGCAGGCCCCUGUACUCUGUCUCAUCCAUGGCAGACAUUACCGGUCAAUCACCCCUCACUUCCUUCCCACCCAGCCGCCUGUAACUCCUUCACAGACCAGCGUUAUGUGGAGCCUACACCAGGCACGUGGAACUGGAGCACAAGACAUGACCUCCUUGCCUUCCUUUACCUGAAAUUAUGUGAUUCUAAAUCCUGUAUGGACUUGUCCAGGCUUCCUACUAAAGUUGUCAUGAGGCAGAAAACUAAUGAGUCCAUAAAGUCAAGAAAUAGCCUGACGUGGCUCAGUGUAAUGCAAACUGUACUAUUAUUUAUGCAGAGUGCUCGCAAUACUGCUAUCACACAGGGCUUUCCAGUUGCUGACGGAAGGGGCCUACCUACUGAGCAUGGUCAAAGAUGGACCCUGGGGGUGGAGAUUGAGUAGCCGGGCAGAAACAGAGAAAAGGAUUUUGAAAGAUUUUUUUUUUUUUCGGAAAUAUAAACUUCCAGUGCUAUGCCAGAAUGAAUUCCAUGCCGUGCCAGAACUGUUAGGGCAGCGUUGCUAGGAAAUUAGCAGCUGUUAGUCUGGAUGAGUUUCGACAGGAAUGUGUCAUUCGUGCAAUGCAAACAGAGAGGGCUUUGAAGUGGAUGGAGCUGGUCUCUGUCAAGUGCUAUUUAAGGAAGCGUAGCACAGGGCUUUUGAGACAGAGCCAAGGUGGAGAAUCUUUCCCAAGGUGAUCCAAUUCCUGGGGCUGGACGGCGUGCGGUCACCUUGCAUCCGCCAGGCUUGGCAUUGCCCUCCCUCACCACCGCUGCCUGGCUUUCCCUGCUGGGCCUGGCUGCUGGUGCCUGGGACCAGAGCGACGGCUGAACUGGAAGGAAGGUGAUAGAUACCUCUUUAGAAAUGAGCCCCGGAAAAAUAAGAUAAAAACAGAGAGGGAGGCAAGCCGUAAGAGACUCUUAAAUACAGGGAACAAACUGAGGGUUGCUGGAGGGAUGUUGGGUGGGGGGGGAUGGGCUAAAUGGGGGCUGGGCAUAAAGGAGGGCGCUUGUUGGGAUGAGUACUGGGUGUUAUAUGUAAGUGAUGAAUCACUCCUGAAACCAAUGCUACACGGUACGUUAACUAACUUGAAUAUAAAUAAAUUAAUUAAAAAACAAGAACAAAAACAGAAAAACCAGAAAUGAGCCUUAGAAAGCUAACUCACCCCCCAAGAUUCAGCCUUUGGAACUGUGAAUUGGACACCUUAGGAGUACCCCUACUCAUCUCCAGCUUCACCUCUGAUGUGUCUUAACAAUUUAUUUGUUUAGAAUCUUUCUCCUUUCUCCUUUCUCACUGGAAGCUCCAUGAGGGCGUGGCGUUUUGUCUGGUUUGCUCAUAGCUGCUUCUUUGGUACCUGGAACAGUCUCUGGAACACAAUAGGCACCAAAAAGUGUUUGUCAAAUGACCAAAUCCAUUUACCUCUUCAAUAUUUUGUUCAUCCAGAGGCUGGAUUUGUUUCAGCUAAGGAAACUUCUGUUGAAUCUGAAUGUCUGUAAUUAUUCCUGGGGUUUGGGUUUGGGAUCUAGGAGGGGGUUUGAAAGGAAAGAAGGUUCCCACUGAACCUUGGAGAAAGAGACAAUAAUGACAAUAGCGUCCUUCAUGUAUCACUUCUUAGCCUGCAGCCGUGUGGUCACUGCGCCUCCAACAGUCCUGGGAAGUAAACGAGCAAAAUAAGUAAACUUAGUUCAGGUUUUCAGAGGAAGAGAUGGAGGUUCAAAGAAAGUCCAGUAGAACCUUGGAUUGAGAGUGAUUUGUUCUGUGAGUGUUCUGCACGGUGAGCAAAUAUUUCUAACAAAUUUUAACUUGAUAAAUGAGUGAUGUCUUGAAAUAUGAGUAGUAUGUGAUGGCAUCACAUGACCCCAGCUGAGCCAAUGGUUCUUGAAAUUCGGUUUGACGAACAAGUUUGGAUUACAGACAUGUUUCCAGAAUAAAUUAUGCUCGCAAAUCAAGGUUUUACUGUAAUUUGCCCGAAAACACAUGUCUACAACGUGGUAAAGCCCAGGCCUUUAUAAAAUAUACAAGUGCCUCCCUCAGCUGCUGGCCACCAGCCCUUCUUUCUCCUCCUUGCACCGUCUGUCCAGCUAGCUGCUUUCCAGAGGGGCAAAGCUGUUCUAAUGACCAGGGUCUGACAGAAGUCCCUCGGAGAGUAGAGUAUCGUGUAAAUGACUGCAGACUUGCCUGUUUGUUUGAUCUGCCUUGGUUCGAGAUUUCUACUACUGUGAGCUCUAAAAAGCAGACUAAUUCACUGUGAUUCUUACUCAUAGGAUGAGAGAAUGUGUGUCAGAGAAGAGAGAGAUGUUCAAGUUUGGAAUCAGAUUUCCCAAAUAACUAAGGUGGGAGUCCUGAGUAGGAUCAGAGUCAGCUGGCUCUGUUUUAGGGAACCCUUGGUUUGCACUACAAAAUCAAAUUUGUUUCCAAUCAAGUUUAGGCUUAGAGAUCUUAGUGAUGUACCCCUGUUCCAGGCCACCAGACAACCCUCUAAUUUGCAAACUGCAGGCUGGAAACACCGAAAAUCUUCUGACUGAGCAACUGAAGAUUCCAAAUUAACCUCCCAGCAGUCUGGAAACAUCCUCUGUGUGAGAUGGUUGGCCUGAGAUCUUUCUGAAGGAAGUUUAAAUUCUGGUCCUGAGAAAGUACCAUUGAUCUGUGUGUAUUACGGGAUCACUGGAUGUCCAGGGCAGUGGCAUUGGCCUGCCUAGUGUAGUGGGGUGAAAGAAGUCGGGGUUUCACUGCAAAUAAAUAUCCUCCAAGCAAAUAUUUAAAUAAUACAAUUUUCUUCUAAUGGAGCUUCUCUUAUGUCUUAUUCAUGCCAAUUUUUUUCUCUUUACUCAUUCAGUUUGUGAAAUAAUUUUAAAACUUUAACAUUAAUUUCUUUUGCUAGGUUGUCAGGCAAAAACCACAUCUGUUUUCAGAAAGGGCCUCGAUGUUUGCUCACACCCUGAUGAAACAUGUUCCUCUGUUAGCUCUGAUGGGAAGGUCGGCAGCAUGGUCUAAAUACAGCCAUGUCCCGGCAUCCCAGCCCAGGGAUCCAAAACCCCGCAGGCCAGAAACUGACAGAUGAAAAGAUAUUCCGCAUCAUGAGAUUAGGAAAAUGUGAAUCAAGGCCACAGCGAGAUAUCACUUCCUUCACACUAGGAUGGCUAAGAUAAAAAAGAUAAUACAGAAAUAACAAGUGUUGGUGAGGAUGUGGAGAAAUUGAAACCCUCCUCAAACAUUGCUGGUGGGAGUGUAACACUGAACGAAUGUGGGACAUUCUUUGUAGGUAACAUACAGAAUUGCAAAGUGACCAGUAUGCAGCUCAAAUUUACCACAGCUGGACUGGAACUCUUCAUUUCUCAGGGAAACCUGCCCCUCUUCCAGUUUGUCCAGCCUCUGGUCAACAGCACGGACGUCCGUAUAGUUGCUCAAGCCAAAACCCAGGAGUCACUGAGGACUUCUCUGUGCCUUCGUUCAGUCCAUCGAGAAGGACUUCAAAUACCCGUGCACCGUCUCCCACUUGUACUGCUCCCGUCCUAGUGCAGCCCCCAUUGGCUGGCUCCUCAUCCUUCCGGAACCCUCCAUUCCAGUCUCUCUGUUCCUUACAGGCCGGGCUAUACUCCACAGUUGGGGUAAAUCACAUCCCAUCACUGCUCUGCUGAGAAUCCACAGCGACUCCCCAGCACACUCAAAAUAAAACCCAAAGUUCUUGCCAUGCUGGCAGGACUCAACACGAGUGGCUUUUUGUCCCUCUGGCUUUGCCUCGUACCUCAGUCUCCCUUUCACUGUGUCCCAGGCACACCAGUCAGCCUACUUUCUGUCACUCGACAUGUCAAGCUCAUUCCCAUCUCAGGCCUUUGCACUGGCUCCUCCCUCUGCCUGGAAUGCUCUUCCUCUAGAACAUUGCAUGGCUCCUUCUUUUCACUUUGGUUCAGUUCCAAUAGCAUGUCCUCAGGGAAGCCACAGCAGCUGUCCUCUGCUUUUUCUGUUCUAGUUUCUUUAUAGCACCCGAUACAAUCUGAAACUGUCUUGCGUGUUCGUUUACAUGUCAAGUACUGUCCUUCUCCUCGACUGUAACAUAAGCUUCACAAGGCCAGAGGCUUUGUCUGGUCACCCCCAGCUCCUAAUGCCUGCCGUGUAAUGGCUCUGAGUAAACAGUUCUUAAAUGACUGACAUGGUAUCAGUGCUGCAGCACUGGUUUCAACCGUGCCUUCUUCUAAGCAUCACAUAAGGAGGUUUAUAGAAAAUAAGAUGGCUUGUUGAAUACCAGUCUAGGAAAUUAGGUUUAAAAAAAAAAGUGGAUAGGACGCUUAGAUGAGCUCUUAGCUUUGCGAUACCCCAGGGCUCUGUUGUUGGGGCACCUCUUCUCCGCCCACGCUCACCCUGGGACCGUCGCCUCCGGUGUCAUGGCCCCAAGAACCCCCAGCUUGUUUACACCCAGCCCAGGUAUCUGCCUGAAACUCCAGCCCACUCAUCCUCAUCUGGUGUCUAGCAAGCCCCUCAAACUUAGCGUGUCCAAAUCCACUGUCCCCCUAUUCUGCCACCAUAUUCAGGGGUCGACUGUACACCCGCAAUAUGACCCUUUCUCACCUGUCCCUGCUACCAGGUGGCUCGAGCCCCAUCACCUCUGAACUUCUGCAAGUGUGUCCUAACUGGUCUGCCUCUGUCUCCUCUGUCUGAUCUCAAGUCAUUAGCUAGAGUGACCCCUGGGGAUUAUUCACUCCCCCGCUCAGAACCCUGCUCAGAAAUCCGCUCAGAUGGUUUUCAUCUUAGGCAGCAUAGGGUCCAAGCGCAUGAAAGCCCUCCCAGGCCUGACGAGGCUCUUCUUCCGGGCACAUGAUACAUGUGACUGUGUCACUACCUCCCUUGCGGCUCUCCAGCCACGCCGGCCCCCUUGCUGUUUCUUCCACAUGCCCAGCACACUCCUGCCUCAGGAAUUUUGAACUUGCUGCUCCCUCUGUCUGGAAUGUUCUUCCCCGGGGAUCCACACAGCACACUCCCUCACCACCUCAGGCUUUGCUCAAAGAGCAACUUCCCAGAAAGUUUUUCUCAGAUCUCCACUCUAAAAUUUACCUUGCCUACCGUCUUCCCCUUUCCUGAUUUGUUUUCUCCUUUUUACCACACUAAUAUACAUAUAUGCAUAUGUAAUAUAUGUAAUAUUACAGGUAUGUGUAGGUAGAGGUAAUUACAAUGUGUAUAUAUUAUUGCAUAUAUGCACACGUAACAUACAUAAUAUUGCAUAUGUACAUAGGCAUGUGUAGGUAAUUAUAUAGGUAACACACACACACACCAUUACCAAUAGGCGUAUGUAAUUUGUUUCCCAUGUAUCCCCCACUAGAAGGUAAGCUUCCUUGUGGGAACUUCUGUCCGUUUUCUUCAGGGUAGGAUCUAGAUGAGUGCUUGCUGUGUAGUGGGCAUGCAGUAGCUUUUCUUGAAUUUAUUAACAUUGAUGAAGCCAGGAAUGAGGCAAGAACACAAAACACAUGGUGUGAGGUCUUCAUACUGGUUAGUAUUGGGCCACUGACUUAACCCUCAGCUUUCCGACAGUCAAUACACACAUGAAAGCGGCUUCAGUUGUGUGAGUCAGAGCGCCUGUCUGUCAAAUCACACAGUUUGGGAAAAGCAUAACUCUUCUGAGAGUAGGGCCGGAGAGAAAUUUCUCCCACGGGCCCUUCCGAAGAGAUUAUAUAUUGUGAGCAAGGUCCUCCACCAGAACAUUUAGAGAACUACGGUCAGGCUCGUAAUGUUUCUUAUGACAUUCUCCAAUGGGUCGAUGCAUUAUGCCAGAGCGUAAUUAAGUAAAAGCAAUUGCAUGCAGGGUCAGAACAAUGUGGUCCAGAAGACAGCCUUUUAUUCAUCUGGAUUGUUCCAGGAACAAACCUUCAGUACCCAGGAACAGACAUGCUUCGUGGCUCCUGGGCUGCUGCUCUCAGUCAAGCUCUUGCUGAGCUCUAACUGGCAGAGUUCAAGCAUACACCUGCUGAGAAAUUUGUGGAUAAUCUAUUAGAUGAGGCUUUCUUGAAGUAUUAUGGAGGUUGUUACCAGUAUAGCUUUGGAGGGGCCAUGAUGGUCCAUGCAAGUAACACACCUCGGGGCCAUGCAGUGCACAACCUGCACAACCGUAUGAGACUUUCCUGUUUAUUAGGCUGGGUAAGUGUAGAGUCAUAGGCUUUAACCUGUAGCCAAAGCAGAUAUAUUUAUAAAAAUAUAACAAGUGCAGCACAUAUUUAUAAAAGUUCCAGUUCCAAAAAAGAACACAUAUCAUCUCACUUACUACAGAAAUGAGCUAAAGGAGCAGCAGCGGGCAGGACCAAGAUGCUCCAUUAGAAAUAACUUAGAGUUGGAUCUAACACAGAGAAUGGCCACAAGAAUGUUGGUCUGAACAUUUUCAAAGCAGGUAAAACAAACUGUGUCCUUCCCACCCACCCCUACCCCAUGCCAGCUAUAAAGUAUCUCAGUAGAACUCCCAUUGAUCUGCUCACUUGGGAGGGUGGUUUCCAGUUCAGUGCACAAACUGUGAAGGAAACAUUGAGGUAGAUGACUGAAUUACCUUGCUCUCUGAGAUUGCUAGUCAUUAGCCACUCAAAUCGGAGCAGUUACCCAAACUCAUGACUAUGGUAAGCUUUUCCACUCAGAAAGAAUGAUUCUAUAAAAUUUACGUUAAUACAAACAUUCACUCUUCCACACAAGGGCUCUGAACUUGCACAGCAUAGGAAAAUUUAUAUUUCCCUGUAUCCAUGUGUAAGCAGCACAUUUCUUGCAUUUUUGUAGUGAGUCAAGGACUUUCAUGAGAAUUAAUUUCACACAUCCUCCCUCUCCCAAAGAUAUGCAUUUUUUGUCUUUCGUUUAUUGGAGGAUGUGAAGAAAUCGCAUGGUAAUUAAGUUGAAAAGUAUGUAAGUCGGUGAUGACUAAGCAAACACCUCAGCUUUCAUAAUCACGGCUGGCCGAAGUCUCCAGGAAUGCACUCACUGGGGGAGGUGGGGGAGGGGUUAGAAAUCAAACCCUCCCGGAGAACUGACCAUGUGCCAAGCGCUAAACUAGGCACUUCCCUGAAGUUGAGUAGAGAGUGGGGUGGACGUGACCCUUGACCUUAAAGGAGCUCCCAGUCUGGUGGUGCAAAGUUACCUAGCACGGGGAGGCAGUGCAUGCUGAGUCCACUGAGCGGAGCUGACCACGCGUGAUGCCUGUGGAUGAGAGGGCUCUGGAGCCUCUGAGGGAAGUAGGCUCUGAGUUGGUCCUAAAGAAGAACAGGAUGUGGAAAGUUGGGGUCUUAUAGAGGAGAGGGGCUCACCACCCUCCUACCUGUGACUUCUUAUGAUCUCUGUUAAUAAGAGGGAAGUUAAACUUGGACAUGUUCAGGCCACUGUAUUUGUGGGUCUCUUUGCUAUAGCAGCUUCACCUAGAGCCUAAGUGAGACACCUGUGGAGUUUUUCUUUGGCUCACUUCUUCCUAAUACAUCCAGCCCAAUAUGACUCAGCAAGAAGGAAGCAAGGGGGCCAAUGACAAGUGGAUCCAUCAUUCUAAAAAACAAACAAACAAACAAACGAUAACUUCCCACUGACUCUGCCAGGCAGGGGCUAUCACUCACUUCUAGAGAUAAAGGACCAGAGGUGCCAAGAUUUUCCAAGGUCACUAACAGCUAGUAAGCAGCAAAGACCAAGAACGCACAUAGAUGUUACUUCCUGUGACUCACGGGUAAUUGAGUGUAGACAGGGAAAGCCUCAAAGUACCAUAUCAGGUGUCACCCUGGGUCUCUCUUCACUCCAGGAGGGCAAGGGUAGGAUCCCUGAUGUGCUACUGAAUCAGACAGGUGCAGGUGGCCUGGGGAAUGGAGGAGCAACAUUCUUUUAGAACUAGAAAGGCACUUGAAAAUUUCCAGUUUAACCACCUCAUUUUACAGAUGAGAAAACUGAUGAUGUGGAGGUUAAGUGGUUUGUCCAAAACAAAAUGAUGCCUAGAUAGUUCAUGGCUCUAUUCAGCACAGCAUGCUGUGAACAUCAUACCCACGAUCUUCAUGGACAAAAGGCAAAUUAGGGUAUAUGUUUUCUUGUAGACCUUUCUCCUGUGUUUCUGCGUUCAAGAAGCAGAUAAUGAGGGAGGGUGUUCUAUGUUGAUGGAGAAGCCAAGGACGGAAAUAUGCUUCAGUUAUGGUGGUACAGAGCUGACCCUUGACCAUGUAUGUUUAUUUCGGCUGUCUCUUUAAUGACCAAUGAAAAACGUGGUCCUCAUCAAAGAGAGUCCAGGCCCGGCCAGCAAGUAGAGAGGGAUCUGGGGGGAGGGGCAGGGCUGUGGGUGAGCAUAGGAGGAAGGAGGGCCAUUGGGAAAAUCUGAUAAUGGGGAGGCCAUCAAUGCAAGCACCCUGGGACCCUGAGGAUUGGAGGCACGCUGGUUUGCGUGUUGGAGCUCAGCAUUGCCUUCCAGAAAAGAUAUUUCGGUGAUGAAAUAAGAGCUUUUGUAUCUGUUUAGGGAGCUCACUACAUUCCCUGAAGGCCCCUGAUUUGAGCAGGCUGAGUCAGGAACUGGCCCAUUUGUUAGAUAAACGCAAGAGAUUUAUUGGUUUCUCAAGACUUUGUUAACUGGUCCUGUAUGGGAGUAUUUCCCUUUCCUUAAAUGGAUCAUUAGGAAAUAUUGGACACAAAUCAGGAAUUCAAUUCCUAAAUAAACACACGUCUACCCACACAGAUAACUUGACUCAUUCUAGUACAGGCAACUUCUAAUAAAGAAAAGGUUUUCUUCAUUUCCGAGACUGACUUUGGACUGGAACCUAGGUGAGUGCCUACAGGGGUCCCUUAAGAGUCUCUGCCUCGGCUGCUGUAAUCCGACAUGUCACAGACAAAACACACCAUAUACGUGAAAGUUUUUAAACCUACGUGUUUUCAUAUGCUGGUCACUCAGGAUGAUGUCUGUAGAUCAUAUUCUUAUUCCCACUUGAUAGAUAGGGUAAACUGAGGCCCAGAGUAACAGAGAACUGGCCCAAAUUCACACAGCAAGAAACCAUCCCCAGUGCCUUUUUCCACCUUCACACAGCACAUGCGCUCUUGGCACGUAAGUGAAAUGGCCCAGGUUAAAAGAGAGGGGGUGAGCCACCAAGAACCGAUGGAAUUUGUUCAUUCAUUUAAAAAAGUUUUACUGAGUGCCAGCUGUAUGCCAGGCACCAUUCUAGUUGCCAGGGAUUCAGCAGUAAAUGAAGCAGAGAAGAAUCCCAUGGCUGGCUCUUCUGGUCCUUUGAUUCCUGUCCCUUUCUGGCUACUCACACCUGAUAUUAGAGCUUACUGGUUUACACUGUGCUUUCCCACGCGCUGUCCCCUGGGCCCCUCGCAGCCAUGCUCAGCUAGGCUAAGUGCGUUGCCCAGAGGCUCACGGUAGGGCUACAGGCAUGUUCCUACUGAGCUUUUCUGACAGAGCUCUCUCCAGUGGCCCUGAGGCUAUAGGCAGUCUCUCCACAACCAGCCAAGGGUCAGAGCUACUGUUGGGAGCCUCCAGGAAGGAGCCCUCCCAGCUGCUCCACCGCUACUCCCACCCUCCAUGCCUUACACAGUCUAGCGGGUUUCUCAAGAGCCAAGUGGUGGGGAAGAGAGUCCCCCCAACACCUGGUAAGUUCAACUGUCAAAGCCAAAGGGUAUGACUGCAGGCAGAGAAAAGACACAGGUAUUGGUGCCCUUUCCUUGUGACCUGUGUGUGGCUUGGAAGAGACCAGGGCUUGGUGGAGGGUCCACAGGAGCUAGAGAAAGAGGCUAUGCCAUGUUAGGUUGGGGCGUAUGCACAUCCAUGAUUCAUACUUAUUUGCUCUAAAAGCAGCAUUGGGCCUCCUGCUGGCAGGGAGCUUCCAAGGAGGCAGGAGGCAGGGUCCCUCUGACCCAGGGUGGGCUCAGCCUGUAGGAGGCAGGAAGUGGGGAGUGAGUGCCAAACUAUACAAGGGAAGGUAAGCUGGUUGUGCCUGAGAUGUUCUGAUUAGACAGGUGUGCUGUCAGAUCCUGGACCAUCCGUGAGAGCUGUGUGACCUCGGAUAAUGUGCUUAACUGCCUGAGACUUGAUAUCUUCUAGAUCUAGAAAACAAGGACACCGAUACCUAUCCCAGUCCUGUUGUAAGGACACACAUGAUACUUGAGAUGCAUGUAAACUUAUCUGCACACAGUCACUCCUCUGUUUUAUGUGUAUUUUAAAUUUUUGUAAUGUUUACUUAUUUUUGAGAGAGAAAGAGACAGAGUGUGAGCGGGGGAGGGGCAGAGAGAGAGGGAGACACAGAAUCCGAAGCAGGCUCCAGGCUCUGAGCUGUCAGCACAGAGCCCAAUGCGGAGCUUGAAUCUACAAACUGCGAGAUCAUGACCUGAGCCAAAGUCAGACACUCAACCGACUGAGCCACCCAGGUGCCCCUGUUUUAUGCUUUUAAUGGUUAUAUGAGGAAAUUUUCUACAUAUGCUUUUCUCUUUUUCCAUAUCUUUAGGCUAUUUUUUUUCACUUCAGUGUGAAAUGCAUUGAUAAGGUUUCAUUAGUGGGCUCUUUAUGUGGCUUUUUUUUUUUUUUUACAAGAUCAAAGAUGGUUUUAAUUUCUUCCAGAGUCCCAAAUUCUCAGAUGAGGCAUGUUUCUGGAAGUCAUAUAGUUCAUGGAUGUUUCAAAUAACAACACACUCUUUAGUAGAUGAAGUCUCCAAAUGAGGCUGUAAUAAAUAAGUGUCUAUGUCCUCAGCUUAUACUACCAGUACAUCUUGAAACCAAAAGUAAGAUGAUUUUCCUGUUCCCACAGUCUAUUUAAUUCUUGUUUUAAAAUAUGAAUAUUUCUACCAUUUAUAAUUUUCUGUUUUGAAGGAUUAUUCUGACCACCACCUUUAUGCUGUUUUCUAAUUUGCUUCUAAGUAGUGACUUUACUAGAGGCAACAAGUCUACCCAGUAGUCCAGUGAGAUGUAUUUUCCCUCCUGUGAGUUCUUGGUGACCAUAGGAGGGCUCCUAUCAUCACCAAAAGCUACAGGUUCACCUGUACUUCUCAUUCUUCAGAAAGUUAAAGCCAUUCAGUCUUAAAUUCCUGCUAAACAAAACGUGAGCCAUUGUCUCACGGUUCUGAAAAGCCUCAGGGGAAAACAUCCACUGUAUUUUGAUGAUGGGCUUUCUGUCCAUGAAGAAUCUCUGAAAUUAACCAAAUCUGUGGACUCUCAUGGGGGUAAUUAAUUGUUCAGGCAGGUGGCCGGCUCAAGACAGUUCCUUUUCUCUGCCCCAUCACAGCCCCCAGUUCUAGGAGACUGUUUUCUGUGACAAGGAUUUGGAAGAGGAUGAGCUUUUUUCUGCCACAGAUCACCUUGUGUAGUUUAUUUGGGCAUUCUGUAGCUGGUCUAACUGUUCUAUCUAUGUACACAGCCAACGCUUUUGGAGAUCUCUUAACUUACCAUCCUGUUCUUAUUAGUGAGAUUAGACAUUGUUUUUUGUUUUUUCUAGGAACCUCAUUGGAGUGAUCCUCCAUAUUACUACAAAAGUUCUGUGUUUGUUUGCUUGUUUGUUUUUAUAAUUUAUUGUCAAGUUAGCUAACAUACAGUGUAUACAGUAUGCUCUUGGUUUUGGGGGUAGAUUCCCAUGAUUCAUCGCUUACAUACAACACUCAGUGCUCAUCCCAACAACUGCCCUUCUCAGUGACCAUAACCCACUUUCCCCUCCUCCCGGCCCCCCCAUCAACCCUCAAUUUGUUCUCUGUAUUUAAGAGUCUUGUCAUUUUUUUUUUAAAUGUUUAUUUAUUUAUUUAAGAGAGAGAGGGAGAGAGAGAAUCCCAAGCAGGCUCUGCACUGGCCCUGCCCUUCUCAGAGCACAAAGAACCUGAUGGAACAGAAAGAGCUAAAACACAUGAAACUUCCAAGGCAAUACUACCAAUUUCCUGCCCAGAAAAGUUGCACUGAUUUAUUUUUUUAUCAGCAGGUGCCAAAAGGAAAGAUUUGGGAACCUUUGUGAAUUCCUCAAGCCUGUUAUUACUGUUACAGCAAUUAACAAUAAAACCUAUAAAAGACAAGGAGGUCUUUAAAAGACAUCCCCACAAAGGGGACAUUGAGAAGUUGGUCUGAGUUCCCAGGGUGUGGAAAAGUGACAGCAGGAAAUUGAUAAGACAAAGCUUUAAAAAGUCCAAGGGAUGAGGGUGCCUAGGUGGCUCAGUCAGUUAAGAGUCUGACUCCUGGGGCGCCUGGGUGGCACAGUCGGUUAAGUGUCCGACUUCAGCCAGGUCACGAUCUCGCGGUCCGUGAGUUCGAGCCCUGCGUCGGGCUCUGGGCUGAUGGCUCAGAGCCUGGAGCCUGUUUCCGAUUCUGUGUCUCCCUCUCUCUCUGCCCCUCCCCCGUUCAUGCUCUGUCUCUCUCUGUCCCAAAAAUAAAUAAAAACGUUGAAAGAGUCUGACUCCUGCUCAGGUUACGAUCUCACAGUUGGUGAGUUUGAGCACCACGUCAGGCUUUGUGCUGACAGCUUGAAGCCUGGAGCCUGUUUCAGAUUCUGUGUCUCCCUCACUCUCUGCUCCACCCUGGCUCACACUCUGUCUCUCAAAAAUAAAUAAACAUUAAAAUAAGUCAAUAAAUAAGUCCAAGGGAUAGAAGGAAGGCCGAUGUGGGGGAAGGGUGCCUGUGGAGGUACUCCCCAUGUGUGUUUUCAUGCCUGAACUACACAGAAACCUCCUGGGGGCAGGAUGGUAGCUCUACUUUACCCUUGCACUGAUGUCUGGGUCAGUGCUGGGCACACAGUGGGGCUGGCUCCCACUUGGAGGAGGAUCUGAAAGUGGAUUUAAAAAUGGCUGCCCGCAGGAGGAAGGGACAGUGGAAUGCUGGUGCCGGGUCCGCCCCAGGCAUAACUAGGAGCAAGUAUCAGGUGGAAGAGACCUAAAUGCCUUCAGAUAACCAGCUCUCAACAACUUUGGCCACAUUCUCAACAAAGCAUUGAAAGGAGAGUAUCAUCCAGGCUUUAUGGGCCCUGUAACCUAAUCAACUCACCAUCAACCAGCUUGCACCCAGCACCUAUUUAAAUGCCUAGCCCUUGAAUUGGGCCCUGAGGGGCUGCAGAUGGGGUGCAAGCUGUGUAUCUGCUUAAGAAGAGCCUGUGGUCUUGGUGGGGAGGCGAGACCGGUGUGCCCAGGAAAGCACCACAACCCACACAAGCUUGUGCAAUGUCAGACCAUGCACUGGGUGCAAGAUGGUGUGGUGGAACCCUGAGGAUAGGAGAGGGAUGGACAGGACGGGGGCUUUGGCGAGGAAGCGAGGCUCGAGGCUUGGAGACCCCAGGGUGGCUGCCUUAUGUCCUUGCUUCUUGUGAGGUGUGAAGAGCUGACCCUUCUGACAGGAGGAAAAGCAGCACCCACCACUUUCUAGGCUCCCUGCUCCUCCCAGCAGCCCCCGGCUCCACACAUCAAUGCUCAAGGACUACUGGCAAAGGGAGAAGGCAGAAGGAGCAAAGAGGGGUGAUCACAGAGCAGAGCCCCAGCUCCUUCAACCGGGCCAACUUUGCAGCUGGCUCUCUGGCUGCAAAAGUGGAUCUUCAGGGUCGCUUGCCUCUGGCAGGGAGGGGUUGGGGAUGCAUCUAAGUACGUCUUCUGAGAGUCCCCCGGAUCUGAUAAAAGCCCCAAAACCCAGCUCUGCAGCAAGGAUCUGUCAACAUCCUCACAAUUGGAUAUCUGAAGUGCUGGUGUAUUCACCCUGCUUAAUCACCGCCCCACCCCUCUGAGGAAAAAAGCUGAUUUCAGUCCCUUGAGGAGAGAGAAAUAGCAGCGACCUUUCUGCAGGACUGAUAACUCGCUCCUUAUAAGGAGUGGACAAACAAAAGCCCCAUGCUCAUGGCUCAGGAAUGCACGUCUCUGUGUGUGUUCUUUCUAACAUUACCUGGUAAUAAGCCACCACACCUGAGCCCGGCAUUUCCAGGACAGCGGAAUGGAGUGGACCUGCCUUCUCCUGGAGCCAAGAGAGUAUUGAUUGCUGUGGAUAAUCCCAACCAUGAAGUUUCUCAAUCAGGGCUGUAAUUGGAUUUAAUGUGACCAACGAGCUGUUAAGAGGGGGAAAAAAUGUUUUCUAAAUUUGAGAAGCAAACUUUCUAACAGUUAUAUAAACUCCUGCCUCAGGGUGGAUUAUUAUAUAACCCCUGAUAAAAAGAAGGGUCAAAAUUCACAGCAAUCAAAACUAAACGUCCCUCCAGGACCUAACAGAGUAAUAAACUGUCAAUAAUUUUAGCUAUUCUUUAUUUAUAGUGUCUCCCCUGCAUCACACACCUGGCUUAGAUUGGUUAAUUCCUCCGGUAACCCAAGGAUCAUGUCCGUUUUACUGAUAAAGUCUACUGAAGUUCAAGGAGAGGUUAAGUCAUUUGCCUCAGUUCACACGGUUAGCGAGUGGAAGCAGAGAACUUAAACCCAAGUAUUUUUGACGCCAAAGCCAGAAGAGUUCUUUCAGUGGGAGCCUCAAAUACUUUCAUGACUCUUCUCCCACCCCCAAAUGACCAGGGUCCCUUCUGGGCUAUGCACAGUGAAAAAUGAGUUUGGCCACUCCAACUUGUCCUGUUCCUCAUGAGGACUUCCCAGACUUUCAAGGAAUAAAAGAAUGUUGUGUUUCUUCCUAAACUGUUUUUUCCUCCAGUCUUGUGCUGCUCAGAAAAAAAAAACCAUGGAACCAGGAAGACAAAUCCCAGAGUGCUCUCUCUGCUCAACAUUGGAGGCGCCCAGCCGGCAGGGCAGCCUGAGGUCUUUUUGUGAAAUACUUAAUGGCUGAACUGCCCUGUCCCUAUCCUCUGGCCACCACCAACACCCACCCAGGCUUCGUGUCUCUGGCUCCUGGAGCUAGUCAGCUGGGCCAAACUCACCCCAAUAUUUGGUGUGGCUGCACAGACAUUCUGACACCUCGACCCCUCAUUAUUCAUUCAAACAAAUACUUUGUACUCAUUAUAUAUGCAAGGCACAGUCCUAAGUUCUUGUGGGAUAAGGCAGAGAUGGUCACUGCCCUCUGGGAGCUGACAUUCAGCAAUGUGGAGUAAAUCACCAACUAGUUAAUUGCUUGACUGCAAUUAUGUAAGUCCUGUAGGGAUUGCUAAGUUGCUAGAAGAGUCCGUAACUGGGGCAGGGAUGAAGGUCCUGCUAGGACUGAGGGAUCAGGAAGUCUCCCCAGGAAGAAGACAAGAUGGCUGGAUGCACAGAAAGAGGGGUCAGUGGUACAGAGGGGUAAGUAGGAUCUGAACCUGAGGGCCCUGUGUAGAUCUGGGCUUGAUCUUUGAAAUGAUGAGACUCAUGUGUAGGGUUUAGGUGGUGACUUAUAUGUGCAUGUAAAUCAGGGAAGAAAGAAAUGAUUUGUAUGUCAACAAAUUCUAGAUCAUGCUGAGAAUUAACAAUUGCUUUCUGGCUUUUGGUCCCCCUGAAACAGUAAAUUUCUAGUCAGUUAAAUGCUAUUAUUCAGAAGGGGGUCAUAAUGUUCGCUCUUGACAAUGGUGAUUUAUGCUCAGGAAGUGGAAGCAUUCCCUCGCCCGUGCCCCAGUCUGGACCUGGAAUGGUCUUCUCCCAUAGCCACACUCAGAGGUAGGCCCCUUGAGGCCAAUUCAGAGAGGUGGAUCUGGGAGCGGAGGGUGGGGGGAGAGGUAAGACAAAGAGUAGCGUGGUGCUGGGACCUGGUCCCUUUUGUCAGGAUGUCCUUUCCCACAAACCCAAACAGCAUUCUCAGAGUCUGCCCUGACAUGUCACCACUGACGCCUUUGACUCUGGAGCCUUUUUCCAUGGCAAUAAUUAAGGCCUUGCCCCAGAGGACCCAAUGAAGUCCCCUCUCACCCUACCAUCCUGGGUCUUAAGUGCCUAGAAGGAGACGCGCUGUUCCCAACUGAAUCCCUAGGAGGAAUGUUUAUAGUGGACAACUCUGAGAGCUAGUUGGGGCCUAGGGAGGGGAUGGAAAGGAAAAGUUCGGGUAUCAGGAAGGAUUUUUUGAUCAAUCGAAUGGUGGGGAGGCAGCAGGCAAAAAACCUCUGUGACUAUAGCAUGACGCACCAAAAGAUAUUUGAAAGCUUUGAAAGCUCGACUUGUCCAGAACCGAGGAAGAUUGAAACACACACACACACACACACACACACACACUCCAUAUGCUUCUUACAUAAGGGAAUGUUAACCUUUCUUUAAAGUAUUGUUCUUGGGGCGCCUGAGUGGCUCAGUCGGUUAAGCGUCCAACUGUGGCUCAGGUCAUGAUCUCAUGGUUUGUGGUUUUGAGCCCCACAUUGGGCUCCGUGCUGACAGCUCAGAGCCUGGAGCCUGAUUCAGAUUCUGUGUCUCCCUCUCUCUCUGCCCCUCCCCCACGCGCUCUCUCUCUCUCUCUCUCUUAAAUAUAAACAUUAAAAAAAUGUUCUUAAUGUUCUUAAAAUUAUAUUGGGAGACCACAUUUUUUUAACUUGUGAGAAGGUAUCUCCCAAUCUCAAUAAAACGUAACUAAAAAAAUCACAAACAUCCCCUAACCAUGACUGUAUUUAGUGUCAGUGACCAAAACGCAUGCCGACUUGCAGUAUCAGCAACCUAGUGGCAAUGCCUCUUCUGCCAGCCCCUUUUCCUAGUAUUUCGUACAUUAUCACACAUCUGAAAAUUUUCCAUGGAGCUUGUCCCCUCCAGAAAAGUGCUGGGAGCGAGUUCCCAGGCAGUGCUGCUAUCAUGUGCUGAAAAGAAUGUGAGAAAAAGGAGAUAACAUUUGAAAUGGGGAAAAAAAAAAAAAAGGUGGGAAUUUCUAAACCACAUGUUGUUAGUUCUGCUUCACAGCUAUGAUGAAUUGACAACCAAUUAGCAAAAGGCCAAAUUUAUGUGUGUGGCAUUGUCUUGGGUGGUGGCUGGAUCCCAGAAUGUCACGUCACCAGUUCCACAUUGCGUGGCUUACGAGCCAAGGCGUUGUAGAGUCUUUGCCCCAUGCUGGGGCUCUGUUCCCAGCAGAGGAGGAAAUGUUUCCUUGUUCUCCAGCUUGAUAUAGUGGCUUGUGCCUUGGCUGAGGCAUCAGGAGACUGUUCUAGAAGCAGUCAGCUCUGCUUAUUAUCAGCUGUGUGCUUUGGCCUAGUAUUGUAACCUCCUGGAAUCUCUAUUUCUGUAUCUCUAAAAUGACAGCAACAACUCAACAGCAUUUGACUGACGACAGACUAUGUUAAGAUUUAUUUUUUAAAUGAGUUUAUUUAUUUCGAGACAGAGAGAGAGAGAGAGAGAGAGAGAGAGAUGAGGGAGGGGUAGAGAGAGAGGGAGAGAGAGAGAAUCCCAAGCAGGCUCCACACCAUCAGCAGAGAGGCCAAUGUGGGGCUCCAGCUCACAAACCCUGAGAUCACGAGCUGAGCUGAAACCAAGAGUUGGAUGCCUAACAGACUGAGCCACCCAGGCGCCCCUGUAUGCUAGGCUUAAGUGUGUAUGAGUUAGGGUGAAGUCAUGGAUAUAAGACGUUGAAUGAUUACUGCAUGUAAGAUGACUCCAAAUAUUAGAGCAUCCCCAUUUAUCCAAUGAGAGUUUAAUAGAGGAUUCUGUUGAUACGAAUAUAAAAAUAUAUAUAUGUAUGAAUAGAGGAUUCAUAUUUAUAUCAAUAGACAUAAAUGAAUGAGACAAUUAUCUGUGUAUAAUAGUUAACAUAUUUUAAUUACCUAUAUAUAAAAUCACAAAUGCUGUUUAUUAAUUUAUAAACACUGAUUGAUAUGUUAAUAGUUUAAGUGAUAUAAGUAAAAUCUUGGAUUGCAAGUAACUUAUUCUGCAAGUGUUCUGCAAGAUGAACAAACAUUUCUGAUUUUAACUUGAUAAACGAGUGAUGUCUUCAAUACAAGUAGUAUGUGAUACCAACCAUCACGUGAUCAACUGAGCCAAUGGUUCUUGAAAUUCGCUUUGAUAUCCAAGUGCUUUGGAUUGUAAGCAUGUUUCUGGAAUGAAUCAUGCUCACAAACUAAGGUUUUACUCUAUUUAAAAAUCACAUCAUGUUAACAAUGUAGACAUGUAGUCUUUACCCACUCUCAAUGCAAUGCUUUUAAUCAGACUCUUCCAAGGUGCCUUAUGCAUAAAUGUCUUGGUCUUCAGGCCAGUUUUCUGGAGCACAUCAUCUGCAUAUCCACCCAGGUUGCUUGACAUUCAGCACUUUUUGAAUCUAAGUACAAUGUUGUCAUUGGAAAAUUUACCCCAAGCUACAAGAAUCCUUUCCUUAUUUGUGAUCUCAUAAGAUAACCACUUAUUUUUAAACUAUAGCAUGGAGUAGUAUUGAUUUUUAACAUGAUCUUUAUAUGGUUUGUUUACUGUGGCCUCUAACACUCAAUAGUCAGGGGUCAGAUCCCCAGGAAUAAGUGUGUCAGAUUCCUCUUUCCCCUACCUUCCUGUAUUGCCAGGAAUCUUCCAUAGGAUCCCACAUUAGCAUUGCUUUAGAUGGCUUAAGACUAAGAUGUCUUCAUUUUGUUGUUCAAAAUAAAGUGAUUAAAGAAGUUUCUUGUAUUCUGUAAGGAUUCUAACAUAAGAUGACUCCGAGGUAUGAUUUUGGAGGUAAAAGUCAUGAUCAUAUUUGACAAUUGCAAUAGAAGUUAGAGGGUAUUCAAAAUCCCAGCUGCCAUCCUCCUGACAAGACAUUAAUAAAAUAUCCUUGCCUUUUGUUCAGUUGAGACAGAUUAGAGUUUUUCCCAAGGAGCCUUACCAAGAACCGAAGGAAAUCUAAGAACUAAAGAUAGAGACCUCCGAGGGUCUCAGUGUUACUGUUCCAUUCUGCAUUCUGCAGGCUGCAGGCAUUGUCUGUCCUGUGCUUGUCUCAGCUUUCCCCCCUCUACAUCACUGUGGGAUUGGGGUCGGUGUGGGGAUGAUAAUAGAAAGCCACUGGGAUUUGGAGGAAGGCGAACAGAAUUCAAACCAACAUCUACCUCUCACUGGCUUGAAGACUUUGGAUACAUCGCUUCACCUGUCCAAGCCUUGAUUUCUUCAUCCAUAUAAUGGUGAGAAAUCUCUUAGAGAAUCUUUGAAGAUUCUCUCUGAAGAUUAACUGGGAUUGUGUAUCCAAGGUUCUCAGCCCAGGGCCAGUCUGCUGAGGUAAGAGUUGUUGGACCCAUUGACAACCAUCAAGUCCAUUUUGUUCUCUUGUGUUUCCUGGGGUGGACAGUGAAUGGGCAGGGGGAGAUGGCCCAUUUCCCCUUUCUAGGGAUGGCUUAAUAAUAUGGUAGCCCUAGCAAUGACUCUGAACCACUCUAUUACCUUUUUUCCAGUGAGGGUUAAAGUUUUAUUUGAUAUUUACUAAAUGGAAUACCUUUGUCAGGGGCGACCUCCAGGUGUCAAGUUAGCUUUUUUGAUUUAGCAUCUGAUCUAGAAAGAGCACCCACCACCAUGGUCCAAAGUUAUUCCUUGAUCUUUGGAGAGGAAGCAAGUUUGUAAUGUUUCCCACCUGCACAGGGAAUGUUCCCCAGGCAGAGGAAGGAGAGGCACUUGUCAAUGCACCUUUGCCUCCUGAACCAGCCACACAUAUUUCACAGGGCCUAAGAAGUCUUAGCUCUUCCAUGGCCCCCCAAAAAGUAGCAUCCUUCCGCUUCUGUGGUCUCCCCUCAGUCAGGCCUAGCUAGGCAAGACAAAAAAUUAGUUUAACUCUCUCUUAGAUGGGCCUAUCUUUAUUGAAGAACAGACCUUGAUAAGUAUCUAGAGAAAGAAGGUGAGAUCCUGAAUCAUGCCUUAGCUGAGGACAAGCACAUUAAAAAUUAAAUUGAUUUAAUUGGGGUGCUGGGUGGCUCAGUCAGUUGAGUGACUCUUGGUUUUGGCUCAGGUCACAAUCUCACAUUCAUAAGUUGGAGCCCUGUGUCAGGCUUUGUUCUGACAGUGUGGAACCUGCUUGGGAUUUCCUCUCUCUCUCUCUCUUUCCCUCUCUCUCUCUCUCAAAAUAAAGUUAAAAAAAAUUUUAAAUUGAUUUCAUUAACAACUAAAUUUUUCUGAAUUAGAAUUUAAUGGGAGCUCAGAGGUAGGGGAGAGCAGAUAAAGGUUAGUUGUGGAGGGAUUGAUGAGAAAAGAAAGAUGACAAGCUGCAUGGUUGGGGGUAAAACAAACUGGUAAGAACAAGGAAGUCUACUUGAUGAUCUGCAAUCAUCUGCUCUGUGCUGGCAUGAUCUGCCCCCAUGCUUCCUUGCCCCUCCAGGAAAACCCAUUUCACAUGCAUUCACACAGGCUUGGUGGGAAUCUAGGGAAAGUGCCGAGUUCCACAUAGGUCGCCCUGGCGUGAAACUGGGACAGCAUCUACAGAACAGGGAGCAGAGGUAGAAACUGAAUUCAAUGGGAAGUCAGCCUCAAGGCUGACUAUGAAGAAGACUCCUCAGAAUUUGUGGAUGUCUGAGGGGGUGAUUUGCAGUUCUGAUAAGUCUGUAUUUGAGCCAAGUUGAUGUAUCUUAAGGGACAAGAUGUAUUCUCUGGGUGUCGUGCACAUGAUGCAUCUUGGACAAACUCGGCCAGUUUAUCCCAGCAUCUUUGGGGCAGACCUGCUGGGGCCUCAGGGGUGUGUGGCUCUAGAGCAGGGAACUCUGUACUGUAUAAUCUCAGAGAUAACCACAAUCUUCCUAGCCUGUCUCUCUCCCAGAGCAGAAUCAGGACCUGCGGGCAGAAUUCUUCGGCAUUCCCUCCUUCCCUUGUUCUGGGUCUCCAGUCUUCAUUGGGUUUACAUCUACCAUGUCCCUCUGAGAUGGAGGUGGGCAGGUGGUGGGUCCUCACCUUCAAGAUAUACAGAAAGAGUUCCAGAGAAGUUUAACUGCAGGUUCCAGUAUCAAAGGGAGGCUCUUCCCAUGAAUCACAGUAUCCUCCCCAUCCUAGCCCUGACUCCUGUGUUCCAGGAACGAGCUGGCCAAAAGAAGCCUGUGGGACAUCUUUAGGGGAUUCACUCCCCUUCUCUGCCAGACACAGAAUUAUCUGGUCUCUCUGUAUCACCCAGAUGUCUGAUUCCCAGCCAGGGUCUCUCCCUUCUCCAGACAUUCCAGUGGGUUUAUAGAAGUGGCCAUGUUGACUGUGGAACCCCUCGGCCUUAGACCUGGCAUUUUCCCCUCCUUCAAAUUCUUAUCAGCUGCUUCCUCAAGGAAUAUUUAAUAGAGAAGAGCCAGGGACUGACAGGCUCACAGGCUCUGAUUUGUCCUCUCAAAGCCUCAGCAGACUCCCUGGCUGAUGGUUUGCCCUUAUCAGGAUCCUGCAAGAUUUCUGCCACAUAGAUCUUCUGAUCUGCCCCCUCUGUUCUUCCUGGGGACAUUCUCCCAUCCCCUGGCUUUUCCUGACAGGAUGCUUUUUGGCAGAACUGUUGGCUUGAACUGUUGCUGGACCUCUGGGAAUAUGAAGACAAACAUAUUAAGAAAACCUUAGGUUUUAACUUACUCCUCUCUGGGGCACCUGGAUGGCUCAGUCAGUUAAGCGUCCAACUCUUGAUUUUGGCCCAGGUCAUGAUUUCAUGGAUUAUAAGUUUGAGCCCUGCGUUGGGCUCUGCACUGACAGUGCAUAGCCUCCUUGAUAUUAUCUCUCUCUCCUCUUUCUGUUCCUCCCACAUCUCUCUCUCUCUAUCAAAAUAAGUAAACUUGAAAAAAAUUUUACAAAUUUAACUUAACCCUCUCUUCACCAAUCAACUUGCUCCCUCCAUGCCCAUGGCUGGGGCAUUUGUAAAGUAUCCCCAGAGCCUGGUCAUGACCUCUGACACAUCUUUCUGCCCCUUAGGAAACUCCCCCUUCUCACUACCUUUUAGACUCUACAGAAUUCACUGGGUCUUCCUACUUUGAAAAAUACUAGCUAAAAUUUAUUGAACACAUUAUAUAUUCCAGGCACUGUACUAAACACUUUAUAGUCAUUGUUUAUUCAGUUCUUGCAGCAAGCCAGUAGAAUAGGAGCUAUUAUUGUUCCUUCAUUUUACAGAGGAGGGAACUGAGGCACCCAAAGGCUAGAUAACUUUCCUACAUGGUCAGAAAGGGACUGCUAACUCCAGAGUCUGUGCUCUUUUUUUUUUUUUUAAUGUUUAUUUAUUUUUGAGAGAGCCAAGUAGCAGAGGGGCAGAGAGGGGGGAACAGAGGAUCUAAAGUGGGCUCUGCACUGACAGCAGUGAGCCCAGCCUGAUGUGGGGCUUGAACUCACGAACUGAGAGAUCAUGACCUGAGCUAAAGUCAAAUGUUCAACCAACUGACCCACCCAGGUGUCCCCAGAGUCUGUGCUCUUUAUGUCUGUCUUACUGGGCCUUAUUAUGUCUGUCAGUUAUUUCCUUUGCUAAAAGAAAAGAACUGCCUACUUCCUGCCCACACAGUGAGUACAUGAGUAUAUGUGGCUGGUUGUCCUUUGCCUCAUAUAUGUAAUGGGUAACAAGUAGUGUUGGAUGGGUGGAAGAAUGGAUGAGUGGAUAUGUGGAUAGAUGGGUGGGCAGAUAGACAAUAGGUGGGUAGGUGGGAGAUGGAUGGAUGGAUGGAUGGAUGGACAGACGGACAGACAGAUGGGUGGAUAAGUGAAUGAUGGGUGGAUGGAUGGAUGGGUGGAUGGAUAAUGGGUAGAUAGACACAUGCAUGGAUGGAUGGACUGCCAUGUGAUCUAAGAUCUUUUGUAUAGAAAAACAUUUUGGAAUACAAGGGAUGCAGAUAAUCCAGAGAUGCACCCUCUCUGGCUGCUUUGUUGCUUUUUUGUCCAAAUCCUACAGGCUGUUAUGUUUGCAAGAAGAGGGCUUUCUCCAGGUACCUAAGCCCACAGAACAAACAGAGCGGCUUUGUUCCUACUAAUAGUUAUUUCCGCCUGCAUUUAUUUUCUUAGAUGCUUCAUGCUAACUUUGGAAUUCGAAACAUAUUUGCUUAGGGAGGCUCAGUUUUUAGGAAGGCUAGCUGUUCUCUGAUCCCAGUGGGGGCCUGUGGCCCAAACCUAGCUCAGGAGCAUCAGGCUGUGGGAUUUGUUGUUUAUGUCUGCAAGUCUGAGGCACCCCUGUUGUGCGGAAACAAGGAAAUACACGUGUCCCAAUAUACUGCUACAAAACAGAGGCUAGAACUGGGUAUAGCCCUUCCUUUUAACCCAGAACAAGUUCUGGAAAAGGUGAGCUUGCAGGAUGAGAACAAACUUACCAUCAGGCCUCCCUGCCCCUUCACUUCCAGAUUCCCACCUAUCUUCACUCUGUUUAUACAGCUCUCAGAUUUGUCUUCUUUUUCUGUUCGUUCCAUAUGACAAACUCACUCUUGCUAAAGUAGUAGUGAGUUACCACUUUCCUUUCCUGUUAGAAAGAUGCCCCUCAGUAAAAGCCAUGUUAAACUCAAAGGAAGACUUGCUCAAAUUAUACCAAGCAAGUGGCCCAGGCCACUGGGCCUGUCAUUCAGGCUAGCCUGUUCAUUUGUGAUUUAGCUUUAUGUAUUCUUUUAUUAACCUGAAGUCAGACAGGUCUGGAGAACAACUCAAGGCCAAGUCUUUUUCUCCUUGACUCUGGUAUCUCUAGAGAGGCUCUUCCUGUCUUAUUCAGGACCAGGAUUUGGGCACAAAUAUGCGAACUGCUCUCACCAACCCCAGCACCCUCAUUCCAUGUCUCACUGGCAGGUCUGUAACUUACCAGAAAUGGCCUGCCCUGCCCCGUACAUGGGGUCCAUCUGCCUUUUCAGAGUGACCAACAGGCCCUGCUUAUGAGGCCUGGGCUGCCGUGUGCCUCUGGCAAGACCUGACAUUCAUCUUCAGGUACUUGUGGUGCAAGAAGGUAGAGUUACCUCCAUGUAAAGUUUCCAAGAUAUUGACUAAUACAUACAUUUUGGCCUGGACAUAAAAAAAAAAAAAAAAAAAAAGGAAAGAAAAAUUGUAUUUUCCCAUCUUUGGUCUCACUCUAAGCUUUUCGAUAAAAUCCACAUGCCCAGCUCUAAUCGUUUUGUCUGGGUAUGUGCUAAGAUUACAAGUAAUCUUAUUGAACUCUCUGCAUGAAAAUCAUCUUUCCAAAAAAAAUAAAUAAAUACGAGUUCUUUAUUUAGUAAAGUGAGUUCUUUCCCUAGUGCUCCAAAUCCUUUUUGUUAUUGAAAUGACAAUGAGAGAUUUAGUUGUCAUAUCCAAUCAGCUGAUUUAAUGUGAAAACGAAUUAAGUCUUUAUGCCCCAUGAACUGUGAACAAACCUGCCCAUUACAGGUAUUCCCUAGUCCCUGGCAAUCAUUUAUGCCAGGUUCCGGAAUUUCUUUUUAAUUCAGAUGGGAGAAUGAUUAGAGGGAGGGAAGAUAUGCUCCUGGCAGAGGGAAAGUUGCCAGUGUGGUGCCUGUGUGAAAUUGGGAGAAAGGCAUCCUGUCUUCUGGGCGGAUGCAGUGUCUCCUGGUCCCAGGGCUCGGGGAGCAGAGUGCAGACUGAUUUCAGCCCUCAGCCCCUCAGCAGGUGAUAUGUGAGGCAGCCCCAGCCCCUGGCCACACAGCCUUGUGAGAGGGUCUCUGUCCUGCUCUGGAGAGGGUUAGUCCAACCUCAGCUCUUGGAAUGCCUGCUUUAGAUUUGCCCACCAGAGACCUGAGGACAGUGAACAAGUCAGUGACAGAGUGAUGAGGGUGAGAGAGUUCCCAGGCUGGCCAAAGGCUGCAUUAUCCCUGCUUAUUCAGAGGCUUUCAUCGACCAUGUCUACUCAGCAAAAACGACAUUGGAUCUCAACCCAUGUGAACUGCAAAUUUCUCUGAAAUCAUCUAUUCAAGAUAGCUCUUAGCUAUGUAAAGCAUAAUUGAUAGCAAAGCUGGAAGCAUCCUUGAGAGGCAGUCUAGGUCACUCCCAGCCUUUAGGCAAAACCACCUCUAAAAUGUCCUAGAAUUCCUGGCAGCUGAUGGAGAGGUCACUGGUUUGAGCCUUCCUUGGAAAAAACAUUAAAAAAACUUUUUUUUAAUGUUUAUUAAUUUUUGAGAGACAGUGACAGAGUGUGAACAGGGGAGGGGCAGAGAGAGAGGGAGAUGCAGAAUUCAAAGCAGGCUCCAGGCUCUGAGCUGUCAGCACAGAGCCCGACGCGGGGCUCAACCUCACGAAUUGUGAGAUCAUAACCUGAGCACAAGUUGGAUGCUCAACCGACUGAGCCACCCAGGCACCCCAGAAAAAGAUUUCAGAUGGACUCUGAAGGCUUCCUGAAUGCUUAUAUUUUUAUUUGUAAUUAUACCAUGCAAUAGAAGGAAAAUUCGCUAUUAAGUCAGAUAUCAGCAUCCUACCCCCACCACAAUUCUCUUCGUCCUCCUCCUCCUUCUCCUCCCUUUCCUCCUUUUCCUCCUUUUUUUCUGGUCUGUUCCCUGGGAGACCACUCUGAAAAAGUUAUUAACAAGUUGGAAGUUGUUUGAGCGAGUGCUCAGGCACCACAUCUGUGACGGAGUAGAGGAAGCAGGACCAGGCAGAGGUAGAGGCAAUUGUCACUGUAACCACCCUAGUCCCAGCUUAACCCAGCAGAACACGCUCCUCGCUCCCAGCAUCAAAGGCAUCUGUCUCGAGAAAGGACUGUGAUGGGUGCAGGAAGGUCCUAUGCCCACUCCUUGGUCCAAUCAGUAUGGGCCAGCAGGGGAUGAGCAAUUAUGAUUGGCCAGUCCUUGGUCACAUGGCCACUGAUAUCAGGAUAAUGGGGAAGCUUCCUGCACAGACAACAAUAUCUACCACACACCUCUAAUGCUAUAUAUCUCUGAAAAUUGCUGAAAAUAUUAGUGCCUUAAUACAGUGACUAAUAGGAGACACUCAGUAGAUGCUCAUCUUCAUUUCUUUUAUCGGCAUCAUUAGAACGAAUACAAACAAUGUUUUCUCUAGUCUUGGGGCAAAUGGGUGCUGAUAAAAUCAACAUUGGCUCAAAUCUCAGCCCCAAAUUUGAACUGAGCCUGAACUUUUCUGAACCGAGAAUGUUUAGCAAACAUGUUACUCUAACAAAUUUGAUCUUUGUGUGUCCUUAUACUUUAUGAGCCAGAAUGGGCCUGAAUCAUGGCAACCAUCAUAAGGAUGCUUAUCUCUCUAACAGCUUCAGUGCUCUGAAAGUAUUUCCCAACAAAGAUAGUCACCAGUGUUUUUCUGACCUUUUCAUAGAGCCAAAGCAUUUGGAUAAAAUGUAGAAAAUUCCUGUCUCUGAACUGAGUGUCCGCUUCUUUCAGGGUCUCAUUCCUAAGGAUGGAUCUUAUAUGUCCUUCCCCACCUCAAAACCUUAGGCCUCUCCAGAGCCUCAUGAAGAAUUAAGGACAGAGAGGUAUGGGCCUUCAGUGACAAUCCCACCACCCCUACUCCCCUGCAUAGUGCUAUACUGUGCCAACUGGAUAUCUGGACAUUCCCCAAACUCCCGGCACCCUGCCCUUUGCAUCUGUAACAUGCCAUUCCCUCUGCAGAAACACAUUCUUUCCACUUCCUACCCACCCCUCAAAAUCCUAUCCAUUUUCAAGCCCCACCUCAAUGAUCUCUCCUCCAGGAAGGCUCUCCUACCCUUUCAACCAGCUGUGAUUUUGACUACCUUUUAAUCUUUUUAUGGAAUAUACAUUGUGCCUUAUGCUGUGUUCACCUGAAUGAUGAGUUUUGUAAUUCAACUCAAGGACGUUUUUUGAGAACCUACUAUGUGCUGUGCCAACCAACAGGGGGCUCUUAGUAGCCUAGGUAUUGCAUAUUUCAACAGAUGAAUUUCCAGGAUUUUAAAAAAGAUUUACUUCUAGCUCAUGUUUCAGAUAAUACUGUCACUGCCUGCUCAGAGCUUUGCUGUCCUCAACUACAGAAUGAGCUUUGGGCUACAUGGUCACCAAAGAUCCUUUCUCACUCAGCAAUGAAUCUUUUUAUAUUCCUUUUUUCCCCUGUUUAUUUAUUUUUGAGAGAGACAGGGGGAGCAUGAGCAGGGGACAGGCAGAGAGAGGGGGAGACACAGAAUCCGAAGCAGGCUCCAGGCUCUGAGCUGUCAGCACAGAGCCCAUGUGGGGCUCGAACUCAAGGACUGUGAGAUCAUGACCUGAGCUGAGGUCAGAUGCUUUAGGCGGCCUGAAUCUUUCUUAUAUUCUAUAUUCACCUUGUCAGCACUUCCAGUGAUCAAUUCUGCUCCUCUUAUUAUCAUCCAGUGAUACAGUGUCCCUCUGAGCUUCAGAGAAUGUGGGCAGAAGUUUGAAAUUAAUAUGUAAUUAGCAUAUCUGUGUUUCCUGAACAUGGUCAACCUCGUGGUUAAGUCAAUGACAAGCCACCCUGUCUAUCUAGACCUCAGUCACCUCAUCUGUAAAGUGGGAUGGUUGCAAUAGAGGCCACUAUGGCCCCUUCCAACUCUGAUGUUCCUUGAUUGAUUAUCAUUCUCUGUCUCUCUCUUCCCACAAAGAACUCAUUGCACUCUUUAAAGACAUUGCUGCCAAGCACCGAAACACAUACUCAGCCACUCCCAACCUCACUGAGGGAGAUGAGUCAGUUUUAAAGUGGCUGCAACUUGGUCUAGAAGGCUUGAAGUUCAGUCACCAGCCACCAUUCUCAAUGCAAAUUUGCUGUGGGAAUCAGUGGAUCAAAUUUAAUCUCUGGAGAGGAAAGGACAGUAGCCAACACUACUUCAUUGAAAAACUCCCCCAUCUUACCUCAUCUCCCACCUCCCUUUGCCCUCUUUGCUGCCUCCACUCCUGGCCACGUUCCCCUGUGUGGAAUGAAGCUUUGUCUGUGGUGCCAUGUUGACUCUUCAUCGGACUCAGCCUGCUUCUUGGCCAGCUACCCAUCACUCAAAGAAUAUGAUGUUCAAUGAAAAUUUCAGUCCGUUAAUUCCAAUUUUUCUAAGUAGAAAAGAAGGGUUUUUUUUUUAACUGACUUCCUUUUAGACUACUAUAUUAGCCAUGAUUUCCAUCUUCCUGUCAAAUAUGCCGGUGGGAUGCCCCACAUGAGAAGUCUGCACCAUGUGCUUAAAUGCUCCCACCAGCUGAGCUCUGUGUUUACCAAGAAUCAGCCACGCUCGUCCCCCAGCCUGUUUAUAGGAGUCCUUGUGACUGUGGUGAUGUACUUUACUUGAAUAUUAUAUAAAUCAAUUAAGUAUGAGUACAAAGAGAGUUGUUUGUUAUCUAAAAACCAAAGGAAAUGCUCAGUAAAGAGUAGACAAAAUUAAAUUCCUAAAAAUAUUUGCAGUCAGUUUUGCUGUAUGGCAUAAGUGUUGCUGUUGUGUGACAAACAAUGAAAAUACAGAAACAUCCUACAUUCAGGUUGUUAUGCAGUGUCUAUGUCUUCUUGUUCCACUUUGAAGAAGCUAUAAUUAAAAAUUGUAGAUGAGAUCUUAUGGUGGUAGCCGAUGCAAAAGCGACAACACAAAUGCCAAUCAAAAGGCCCCAACUCAAAAGAAAAAAGUCUUAGCCCAAUCAAAACAUUGACUGACACAGUAAGUUUUAAGUUAAAACACAAUACAUAAGCUGUGUUUGAAUCAAUUGUUUCAUGUAUUACAUCUAAGAAGAUUUCAACUGAACAUAGAUGAACACCAUUCUGCAAUGUAGGACCCAAGUAUUUUACAGAACUUUUCACUUCACAGUUUACAUUCAGAUCUUAGAGUGUCUCCAUAAUUUUUAUUAUUAUUAUUAAAAGUUUUAAGCACGUACAAAAGUCGAGAGAAAAGUAGAGUGAACCUCCGUAUCCCAUCAUCCAAAUUUGCCAUCCAUGUUUCAUGUACUUCUUUUUUUCCUUUCUGAUAUAUUUUCAGCACACUUUAGAUAUUGUGUCAUUUUUAUCCCCACUUACUUUAUUGGAUAUCUCUAAAAAAUAUAAAAUUAAAAAAUAAACAAUGUCUUUUCUAACUACAGCACCAUCAUCAUGCUUAACAUAACUAGCAGCAAUUCUAUGGAUUCCUUUGCUACUUUGCACAUACUCCAUUUUCUCAGAAUGCCCCUAAAAUGCCUUUGUACUGUUAGUUUGUUCAAAUCAUGAUACAAAUACAAUGUACACGUUAGGCUUGGUUAUGUCUCUUUGGUGUUUUUAAAUUCAGAACACUAUUUUCUCAUUUUUUGUUUCUGCUCUUACUGUUGAAGAAUUCUUACUUUUAUUAAGAGAGAUGUGAGAAGUUCAAAGUAAUUGACAAGGGUUAGUGUAAUGGCAAGGAAUCUCAAAAAAUGCCAGAAUGAGCCCAAAGUCUUUCAAGGUGGUCAGUGAGCUGAUGCUCUUAUGGCCCACAGAAGAGAUUUUACUCCUCUCUGACAAAAUAAGCAGAGAUCUGGAGUCUGGAUUUAAAGGUGAAAGGUUUAAAGUUCUAAAACAGGUUCAUUCUAUCAACAACAAAGGCUUAAGCCAUCAAGGAAAUGCAAAUCAAGACCACAGUGAGAGACCACUUCGUACCCACUAGGCUGGCUAUAACACAUAUAUAUAACGUAUGAUAAUACAUGACCCACUAGAAAUGCAAGGUGGUAUGCUGAAAUGGUGCCUUGGAAAAACAUUCUAGAAGUUUCUCAAAAGGCUAAACAGAGCUUACCACAUGAUCUAGCAAUUCUACUCCUAGGUUUAUACCCAACAGAACUGAAAACAUGUCCACACAAAACUUAUACAUAAAUGUUCCUAGCAGAUAAGUGGAAACAACCCAAAUGUGCACAAUGAAUGGCUACAUUCCUGUGCUACAUCCACAAAAUGAAAUGUUAUUCACCAUAAGGAGGAAUGCAGUAUUGAUACAUGCUACAACAUGGAUGAACCUUAAAAGUACACUAAGUGAAAGAAGACAGUCCAAAAAGACAUGUAUAUGAGUGCAUUGAUAUGAAAUGUUUAGAAUUGGCAAGUCUGCGAGAAAGAAAACAGGUUCGAGGUUGUCUAGACUAGGGAGAUGGGGGAAUGUUAGAGGGGGUGGUGGCUGAGGGGCGUAGGAUUUCUUCUGAGGGUGAUGAAGAUGUUCGGAAUUAGUGGUAAUAGUUGCACCCCGCUGUGAACAUACCACAAGUCAUGGACUUGAUACUGCCAAGGGUGAAUUGUGUGGCAUAUGAAUUGUAUCUCAGCAACACUGCUAAAGCAUACACACACACACACACACACACACACACGCACACACACACAAAGGUUUGAGUCCAUUUUUAGCCAGCUUUGAGCAUGCAGAAGGACCCUGCUGGGAGGGUCCACCUCCAGAGAGGACAGGAGGCCUGCCUGUUGCUGUCACAAAGUAUGAUUCAGUGCCAGUGCAGGCCACCAAGGGAGAGUACAUGGUCUCCUCUAUUGGUCCCUACCAUCUUCUGGAGUGGGUUGGUCCUGGGUUAUGAACUAGACAACCUCCUGACCUUGGUUUCAGUAAGACCAUGAAAGGAAACCCAAGAGGGUCAUAAAGGAAAAUUCAUUUUCAUUUUCGCCCACCUGAUUUCCCGCCGGACUGACCACAUUUCCUCUGAGGCCUGCGCUAACCCUUGUUUCCUGCCUGCCUUCGUGGAAGACAGUGCAGUUCGGGUCCAGAUGCUUCACACUCAGGGAAGUAGAAAGAGAGGGAGAAGCUGUGGGUCAGCCACACCACCUUGACAGCCUCCUUGCCCCCUGAGAAAGUUGGAAAUACCCAGACAGGAGGUCAAAAGUGGGCUUUUCUAGGCAGUCAAUGAAGAUAAGACUCCAUUGCCACAUGGGUUCAGCCUGGGCUUCUGUGUGAUUGGCGGGACUGUUGAGCAAUGCCUAGCAUGAGAUUAUAGCCAGGGAGCAGUGGGAUGUUGGUACAGACAUUUCCUUGCCUGAUUUUGAAAUCUUCAGGCUGUUCAAACUGUUGCUCUUGUCAGAAAUGGAAUCUGCCUGGCCCACGCAUCUCCAAUUAUCCCUCAGGCCACAGGAUCCUAUGCCCAUUUGGCAAAGGCACAGGCCUCAGGAGAAGCAUGUGAGCCCCCUGAAAUUGCAGGGCAAGUGGGUCUUCAGAAAGGCCUCCAGGUCUGCUGUUUAUAAGGAAAGCUCCAUUGACGGAAGGGCAGCUGUGGGUGGGCCAAAUUCCCAUGAGGCUUUGAGGACUCUCCUGGGACAGCAGAGACCUUACAAUGCCCUCCAUCCUUGCUCCCACUGCUUCCCAUUCCUUAUCCCACUCAGAGGAAGAGAAGUCACAGGCCACAGCCCUUCCUAGCAGCUCCAAGGGAACAGGUAAAUAAACAGAAGACAAACAUCAGUAAGAAAGAGGGAAACUCACAAAGCAGGUGUAUCCAGGGAGAAGAAUCCGGAGAAAACAUUAAGUGGUUGUUUGGAGCCUCGAUGCUAAAGUAGUGCCCUCUCUACCCCUGCCACUCCAUCCCCUUGCUCUUGUCCCCAGCCCUGGACCCCAGGAACCCGCACCAGGAGCUGGUUGUUCUGUGUACCUGGCCUUCAACAUGUCCUCUGUCCCCCCACCUCUUCUCCUUCCUCUCCACCAGCGCCCAGGCCCUGCAGUCGGGCAGGUGGGAGUUAGAAUCCUUGCUGGGUGAUCGUGGCCGAGAGACCAGCCUCAUGCUUCCCACUUAGGCUGUGCCUGUCCCAGGAGCACUACCAGUGUGCACCUCCUGGGGCCAUCUGUGGUAAGGGUUGAAUGAGAGAUGUUAAGCGUAGGAAGUUUUUUCUUUUUUUUAAUUCUCUUUUCUCUCUCUUCUUCCACUCUUUUCAUUCCUUCCCCUAAAGUUAACCUUUGGCAGGCUCAAGCAUCAAUUGUAAGCUGGGAGUGCCCCAUUUAUAGCUGGUUUUCAGGGUGCCGUGCAGCACCCUCUGACCCCCUGUGCCUGGCUCUGGAGUCCCCUGAGCUGUUCCCUCAAGCCCUGUCUCAUGCACAGGAAAGGGGUCCCAGCAAGGUUCAGCACAUCGUCAAUGGCAGCCCCACGUUGUGACUUGCAGUAAUUCUGUGUUAGAUGACAUUCAAUCCUGUGUCUGAUAUGGAAACAAGGGGCUUUUUAGCUGUUGCCCUUUGAGGGCCUGAACAUCAUCCUCCCAAGACUGGAGGCUCCUGUGAGGGGCACAGCUCUGGUUUGCUUCCUUUUCAACUUCGGCAGGCCCUUUGUGCAACAACACCGUCCACACGUGCUGUGGCUGCUACCUGGACCCAUUUCAGUCCUAUGGAGGAAGCACCCGAGCAAGCAUGAAAGGAUUGAGGGGAGGGGGUGUUUGGUUCAAUUCUAGAACUCUAUAAAUAAGGAUUCAACCUUUCACUUUGGGGCUCACACAUCACCCUGUAACAUUGAAGCCUUGUAACUCCCCUCCAGUGGGAGCAGAGUCCCUGGGUAGGGGGAGAGGGCAGUGAUCAACCCCUCCCCCCCCCACACCCUGUGCCUAGAGAAGCCUAGGCUCUGUAGGGAGCACCCACCAGGAAGGUUUUAUGCACCGAGACUCCUGCCUGUCACCAUGAGGUCUCCUGACUAUAUGGCAAAUGUCUGUCCAGCUGCUGGGAGGUCAGCCUGCCCUGCCUUGGCCCCACUCCUGAAGCAAGGGCCUCAGUAGUUGCUGGAGGUCAGCAGUAUUAGUCAGGGUUCUCCAGAGAGACAGAACCAAUAGGGUGCAUAGACAGAUGACGGAUAGAUGGAAGAGAAAGAAGAAUUUUCCUUCUACCUUUCUAAAGUCUCAGCUGAGGUCUCUGUAACAAAAGACAGAUUAACAAAAGAAAAAUGAAGUUUAUUGACAUGUAUAUUUCAUGCAUAUAUGGAAGAAAUUCAGAGAUGAGUAAUUCAAAGGUGGCUAGAAUUCAGAAUUAAAUACCAUCUUCAGCUAAAACAGAGGAAGAAGGGUGUGGGAAGGCCAGAUAAGGGGUGGCCAGGAAAAGAACAGUAAGCAAAAGUAGUUUGUUAUACAGAUUUAAGUUGGUCCUUUCUCCAUUGAUGAGUCUCCAGUGAUUUAGUCACCCUUCUCUUUCUGGUACAGAGGAGAUACCCUUAGAAGUGGAGAUCUCCUUAUCAAUGUAAAUUUCCCUUACAAAAGCUCAGUUUUUAGAGCUUCUCCUGUGUAUGCUGUUUUUCAAAAUAAUCAACUCAAAAUAAUCCUGAUGCCAAAGAGGGAUUAUUUUGGAGUGGCAUCUUCUGGUCUCCUACAAUAGAUAGAAAGAGGUUCAUUAUAAGGAAUUGGCUCAGGAGAUUAUGAAGGCUGACAAGUCCCAAGAUCCAUAGGAUGAGUUGACAAACUAGAGACCCAGGACACCCAAUGAUGUAGUUCCAGUCUGAAGGCCAACUGGUUCAAGACCCAGGAAAAGCUGAUGUUUCGAUUUAAGUCUGAAGACAGGAUAAAAGCUGAUGUCCCAGUUUGAAUGCAGUGGCUCAGAAGGGAGCUGGGAGUAGAUAAAGACCCGACCUUCCUCUCCUCCACUCUUCCAAUCUCUUGUUAGAACCUCCUUGGGAAACCCAACCAGAGGUCAGAGGACAAAGGAGACUGCCGAUACAAAUCUUCAGCCUCCUGGAGCAUAGAGCAUGGUGGGAAGAUAGGAAAAUCCAUCUGAAGGGGCAAGUGGAAAAUAUCCAGUGCAUCAGCCCUUGAUUAAAAAAUAAAAAUCACAUUCUUUUAUUUAAUGUCCAAAUCACAGCAAUUCUGAGCCCCUCCCUCCCCCAGUUAUAAUCUAUUCUCCUCAACCCUUAUAGAGGGUACGUGCACCCAACUUUUCCUACCAGUAGCACACAAGUCCUGGGACAUUGCCUGCUGUUGGCUUUGGCAGGAUCCAUGCUCUUGUAUGAUAUAUGCUCUUUUUAAGUCCUAGGUCACAUGGGUUAAGGGAGGAUAAUUUUAGAGAUUUUCAGAACUUCGUGGGUACCUUAUCUAUAAAAGUCACAGAUCUGGCUAUCUUCUAAAGUAAAACUACCUCUAGGUCAUGAGUUUAAUAUACUAGAUUUCUGGGUCAUGUUAUUGGACAUGAAAUUAGGAAAUAUGUCUUUAUCUUCUAGUCAGGGGACGAUGGGGACGAUGAUGUAUCAGAUAUCUAGGUUUCAUAUGAAUUAAAUAUAAGGAAGAUGAAGAAGUUUGAAGGUUAAUAUGAUUCUAAGUCAUGGGAAAACUCUGCUUUCAAAAUUUCUUGAUCAUUUUGGAUAAAACUUGGGCCAUGUCUGAAUCCAAAUGGCAUUGCCCAUUUUCAAAUGGAACUGGUUUUGUGACUUUGUGAGCUUUAGAGCCGGAUUAUUCACUUACAGCUACUAUUACAAAUCUUUUCUUGAGCUAAAAUGCUACAUACUAUUGUAAUGAACUUAUGAAAUUCAUUGGCAACUUCCCGGCACCCCUAGACUGGGACAGAUUGGUGCCCAGAAACAUUUGGUAUGCCAAAAAUUAUCAUUCUUAAAGGCUUACUACCAACAUUUUAAGUCUAGAGUCCAGAAUCCUUCUUUUAAGAAUUGUGGUUCUGUAGUCACUGGUGACAGUUCUUAGAACUACUUUGGUGACUUGGGAGUGUGUAUCAAUCAAUGUCAACCUCUUUCACCUCCAAUAGGGAGUGAUGAAAUUCUGUCUAAUCUGUACUCAUAGCCAGGACGCCUUUUUCUUUUUAAGUUUUUGAAAUUAAAUCCAGUUGAUUUUUUUUUUAAAUAAACUCUAUGUGUAUUGUGGGGCUUGAACUCAUGACACUGAGAUCAAGAGUCACAUGCUCUAUUGACUUGAGUCAGCCAGGUGCCCCACCAGGAUGCCAUUUGGAAUGUUUUUCCUGGAAGAGAGGAAGGUGGAGAGUAGAUGCUAGAUGUUUCUAUCAUCACCUAGUGCUGGUUAGAAACUUUGGGGAUAUGAAAACAUUAGGGGAUUGUAUGAGAAUAUUUUUGGUUACAAGGAACUGAAAAUCUCAGCUCAAAAAGCUGUAUACAACCAAGAAAAUUUCUUAUUUUACCAAACAAAAAGCUCUGUGAUAAAAUGGCUCCCAAAUUAAUGACUUUCCUGCAAAUCCUUAUGGCAAAUCUUCUGGCUUGUCCUCAGAUUAUCAAUUUGUAGUUAUAAAAUGGCAGCCACUGCUAUAAGUAUCACAUGAAAACACAACAAUGUCAAAUAAGAGAAAUAUCCCUUUGCCUCUUUCUCAGAACCCUCCAGCAGGAUACUCUUAUUUCCUAUCGGUUAGAAUUUAAUCACAUAUUCAGGCUUUAAUCUAUUACUAGCAAAAUAAUCAACCGGACUGGCUAAAUUUCAUCAAGACCCAACUUCUGGAAGCUGGAGGUGGCCUCAGUCCACCCCAAAGCACAACGUCCUCACCGAGGAGGGGACACUGAAUUGAAUGGUGGUUUAGUUAAGAAGGAGGGUGGGCACAAGGCCCAUGGUAGACAGCAAUCUCACAGUGCCCACUGCAAACAUCUAGCCAUAUGCCUGAAAAAGUGCUGCAGGUUUGAAGACCCAGGUAGGAUGGAAGUGAUGGACAAGUCAAUAAACUCAGGGUGAGAUGUUUUCUCAGGGAUGCUGCCAUCUGGUACUCAUUCUCUACAUAGGUAAAAAGAGCUCUGUUCUAGGAAACUGGGUGGAAAACAAAAACCUAGUAGAUAUCCUUUCAGCAUAUGCUUGCAAAUGUAAAAUAAUUUUAUACUUUUAACUGGAUAAGUGUCUUAAUGUAUAGCUCUCAAGUGGAUUUUAAAAGAUCGAGGGGUAGAAUUCUCAGUGUCAAACACUUGAGUACUCUCAAGUACUGGUUUCCCCAAGAAUGGUCCUCUACUCUGACUCAUUAGACAACAAUAUGUUGGACCCCUGUACCAAUUGUUAAUUGGGAACAUGUGGUCCCUGGACCUAUGAGGAAGCUAAAAACUUUCAGGUGGAGUUUUCACAUCAUCAUAAACUGCCUACAGGUGAAAGGAAAUGUUUGCUUUUCUGGGUCACACCUAGUCUUUCUACCGCUGAUGACUGGAGGACUGUUAUUUCAUAAGGUCUAGACUUUUUAUCCUGCCCCAAGCACACACCUGUCUAUGUGUGACUCAGCCACCGGAGAGCCAGCUGAUAGCCACUUAGCCUCUCCAAACAGGCUGUUUUUUGAAAGCCCCUCAAACAGCCUCAAAAAGCCUCCCUUUUCCCAAUUUUGUCCCUUCUAUCAACCUGAGGUAAAAUUUAUAAGCAUUAUGUUGAAAAUUUAAGGGUGAGUUUUUAUACUAUUUAGGCACAGGCUGGUAAUUUUCCAGAAACAUGGGUUACUGAGACAAAUGAGUCAUCUCUCCAGCCAAAUUACCAAUCCUUUCAUGACUAAAGGCAACAUUUUCUCAACCAAGGAGCUGUUGGCUGGGCUCAGAAAGGGAGAAAGAAAAUUCUAUCUUGAAAGGGUAAAAAAUGAAAUGUCUUUGCUCCAUGUAAAGUCACCAGUGGGGGACAUUAUUGUUCAUUGGUGUCCCCCAUGAUGUCAAAUAAAUAUGUCCACCAAUAGCAAGUGGUCUGUCUUCUGGUAGCACGUGGCCUAUUGGGUUAAAGUCCUGCUUGUGGAAGGCUGUCCUUCCUUCAAGCCCUAAUAUGUUCCACUCUUUUAUAAAUAUGUCUUCCGACUCUCUCAGGAAGGCAGGAUUGUGUAGAAGUUAAGGGCUCCAAGCUAGAGUUUCUGCAUUCAAAUCCUAGUUCUGCCACUUACCAUCUGUGGGAUCUUAGGCAAGUUAUUUCAUGUUUCCUUACCUGUCAAAUGGUACAAGGGUGUCUACUUCACAUGUGUGUUGUGACUCUUAUGUGUAAAGUAAUUGGGAUACAGCAAGUGCUCAAUAAAUGUCAACUUAUUAUUAUUUUUUAAGUGAUUAUGCCCUCUAACCCAGAAAUUCUGCUUCUAGGAAUUCAUUCUAGGGAAUUUAUCAUGGAUUUGUAUUAAGAAAACUAUUCCUUUAGCAUUUUUAAUAACAUCAAAAACUAGGUACAACCAAUAGGGAAUUGGUUGAAUAAAUUAUACUACACCCAUAAAAUGAAACACUAUUCAAUAAUUAAAUACCAGUAUAUUUCUAGUUAUGAUGUGAAAUGAUAUUCAUGAGUUAUGGUCAAUAAGUGAUAUACAUAUAAAAUAAUAUGCAUAGUGAUACAGUAUUUUAUAAAAAGGAUGAGAAUAUGUAUAUGCAAGGAAAGGGCAUACCAGAUGUUAAUAAUGUCUAGGAUUUUAGACUUUUUUUCUUACAUAUAUAUAUAUAUUUUUUAACGUUUUAUUUUAUUUUUGGGACAGAGAGAGACAGACCAUGAACGGGGGAGGGGCAGAGAGAGAGGGAGACACAGAAUCGGAAACAGGCUCCAGGCUCUGAGCCAUCAGCCCAGAGCCUGACGCGGGGCUCGAACUCACGGACCGCGAGAUCGUGACCUGGCUGAAGUCGGACGCUUAACCGACUGCGCCACCCAGGCGCCCCUCUUACAUAUAUUCUUAACUUUUCUGAUAUUAUAAGUAAUCAUGUAAAAAUUCAGUGAAUUCCAAACUGCCUUUUAUUAUUUAUUUCUUCAACUUGGCUGACUGCCCUGAACCUGGGUCCCUCUCAGGGAACUAGAAGAAGGCUGUUCUAAGAAUGGGUACCUGGUCAAGGAAAGCUCACCUUUGGGUGGGCCCGGUGACCCAUGAGGUGUGAGAGGCUCUGCCCUACAUGGAGAUAGUGAACAUCAGGCAGAAUGGCUCUUUUGGGAUCUAGACAAGAGAGUCAGGAAUAGGGUGGGCAACUGGCAGGUGAAGAGAACAAACCAGGGACUGGAAGAUGGGCCAGAAACACUACCAUAGAGAGAAACCAUGGGAGAAAAGAAAAAGAAGGAGGUUCCCUGUGCUGCCUUUGGCUUGCUUGUUCUUGGACCCAUUUGGUUAAAACCAACUUCAGUUUAUGAGACCAUUUUUGAGUGAAUCUUUGCAUCUCAUGGCAAAAACAACUGAACUACCAGCUGUCUUAGCACCGUCUUUCAAGAUGGAUUCUGAAUUUCUUCAGGGCAGGCAGCAUGCCUUCUUUAUCAUGCACAUGGAGCUCAAGUCUUGGCAUAUUAGUUGUUCAUUUAAGCUUCAUUCAUUCAUAUCUUCACUCAACAAAUAUGUAAUAUGCAUUUAGGGUGUGCUAAGUAUGCUUUUAAGCACCAGGGUUACAACCAUGAAAAAAAACAGACCCCAAAUCCUGGCUCUAUGGAUUGGUAAAACACAAUAAAUAAAAUGUAUGGUGUGUUAGGUCAUGACACAUGCUAGUGAAAAAAAUAUAUCAAGAACAGCAGUACCAAGGGUGGAGGGAGAGUGGGAAGAAGGAGUUGCAAUUGUAAAUAGCACAUCCAGGGAAGGCCUCCCAAGAAAGAAGCACUUUAGCAGAAUCCUAAAGGAGAUGAGGGGGCAUGCCAUGCUAUUAUUUGGGCCAAGAGCAUUCCAGGCAGAAAAAACAGCAAGUGCAAAUGCCACGGGGCACAGAGAGCCUGAUAUGUUAGAGAAAAAGCAAUGGCACCAAUGUGUCAGGAGGAAAGUGAGCAAGGGGGAGAGAAGGGAGAUUGGGAAGCAGGUUUUUGCGGUAACCCAGGGGAAAGGUAAUGGUCAUGCAGAGGAGUGUGGUAGUGAUAGCAGUGGUAGGAAGAGGCAAAACGAUGUUCUAGAUGUAAUUUGAAGGUGGAACACUGCAGGAGACAUGAUAUCCUAAAGAGAUAUGACCCCAAACAAAGGUUGUGGAUUCACUUUCCAGUUUUAGAUUGAAGGCCAAGGUUACCCCUCAACAUGUCCCUGCCUGGAAAAACUAUUGACCUUUCUGGCAUAACAUGACUCAUGUUGGUUUUAAACAAUAGGACAUUUCCCUGGCCCUCUGCCUGGAUGAAUAUUCGUUCUCAAACUACUCCCACCUUUCUGCCUUUCUGACUAUUCACUAAUAGCCUGAAAUAAUUGAAUUGUCCUCUUCGACAUCUACUUAUCAAGUUUUUGGCAAGCUCAGAUGAAAUAGCAAAAUUCCCCUUUAUUUUUUUUUUAAUUUUUAAGUUUAUUUAUUUUGAGAGAGAGCAUGUGCGCACCGAGAGAGAGGGAGAGAGAAUCCCAAGCAACCCCUGAUGUGGGGCUCAAACUCACAAACCUGUGAGAUCAUGACCUGAGCCGAAAUCAAUAGUCAGAUGCUUAACCAACUGAGCCACCCAUGAACCCCAAAAAAGUCCCUUUAAAAAUAAUCCACAUAUUUAUUUUUUGAAGAUGGAAAACAGACUCCCCAUAGCCUUGGAAGGGAGUAGAACAAGGUGGAAUGGAAGGGAGAUGGUAAGGAAUGCUCAGGUUCAAUGUUCCUGGUGUAUAGUAGCCCUUGGCUUGAAAGCUGGGAAGACCCUUGGGAAAGUGAUUAAGGUUCCUCUUAAUAUGCUGUGAAUCACUGCUGAGGAACAUCAAACAGCAUCAUGUGACCUCCAAGACUUAACACACUUCCAAAUAUAGCUAAUAAGUUACUAGGAAGAAUCUUAGCCCCUUAAAAAACAUCUCACUGAGGCUGAACAACAUAGCUUCUGUGAAAUCAAUAACCAACCCUUCUCCUCCAUCUCCGUCCCCCACCAACUGAACACUGUUAAUCAUAGGAUGACCAGACAGCUCUGAAACAUACAUUGUCCCCAUCUUCCCAGCUCCUAACAAAGUGUUCUGAAUAUGAGUUAAUAACAGGGAGAAAAUUAUGCUCGAAAGCAUGCCAGGAACAGGGCUAUUGAGUUUCUGACUCAACUAGAACUAGAGCUAGUAUCUGCUAGAAUGUGUGGUUUAAUUGCUCAAGGUCAUUUUCAAGGAACUGUACUAGAGGCUGACAAGCUUUAUUGGAAUUAUUGGAAUUUUUUCAAGCUUGGUCUUGUUGGCCCUCUCUCAUGUAGGCGUCAGAUAAAAUAUCAGAAGUCUGACUGACCAAACUUCAAGUCACAUAUUUUCUUCCUUGCCUGUGCUCACUAGUUUUUCCUAAAUCCAUUAGUUCUAGUGUCAAAUGAUCUGGUUUUGAGAUUUCACUUUACCACUAACUGGUUGUAUGGUCUUUAACAAGAAGCUUAACAACACUCAACAAAUAUUUAUUGAAUACCUACUGUGUUCAGGUUCUGUAAAUAUUGAAGAGUAUAUAGUUGUUUGAGCCUUGGUUUUCUCAUAUGUAGAUGGCACUAAUGUCUCCUCCCUUGAUAGUACACUCAGCAGGGAGUAAGAUUAGGGGGAGAAUUAAGUCAGAUGCUUGCUCAGCAGCCGGCACAUAGUAGGUGCACAGUGAAUGAUAUCCAUUACUGUAAUUUUAAGAAAAGAUGUAGAUUUUAAAAAGGGGUAAGGAACAUUUUCUCAAUCUACCACCCCUUGAACAGGCAGGUAAGAAAAUCUGGUCCUCUCUGAGAAAGUAAGAAAAAGUUGACUCUAGUGCUUUACAAUCUUUUGAAAUGGCCUCUCACUGGUUCGUGCCUAUGUUUCUUUGAUGAUUAAUUUUACGUGUCAACUUGACUGGGCCAUAAAGUGCCCAGAUAUUUGGCCAAACAUUAUCCUGGGUGUUUCUGUGAGGGUGUUCUUAGAUAAGGUUAACAUUUAAACUGGUAAACUGAGUAAAAGCAGAUUGCCCUCUCUAGUGUGGGUGGGCCUUAUUCAAUCAGUUGAAGUCCUGAAUAGAACAAAAAGGCUGAUCCUCCUCCAGGUAAGAGAGAAUUCUUUCCUGCCUGACUGCUUUCCAAACAGGACAUCAGCCUUCUUUCCUGCCUUUAGUUGUGAGCUGAAACCUCAACUCUUUCUGGGUCUUGAGCCUGCCAGCCUUCGGACACAGACAGCAUCACUAGUUCCCCUGGUUCUCAGGCCUUUGAACUUGGACUGAAAGUAAACAUUAGCUCUCCUGGGUCUUGCUGGCUCACCCAACAGGUCUUGGGACUUUCAAGCCUCAUAAUCACAUGAGCCAAUUUCUUAUCCUAAAUCUCUUUAUAUAUAUAUAUAUAUACACACACACACACAUUUACAUUUAUAUAUAAAUGUAUUUAUAUAUACAUAUAUAUAAAUAUAUAUGGUGUAUAUAUAUUAUAUAUAUAUAGUCUCCAAUAGACUAUAUAUAUACACAAAUAAAGAUAUAUACAUACAUGUACAUGUAUGUACACAGAGAUAGAUAUAUACAUAUCUAUAGCAUAUGUAUGUAUAUAUCCUAUUGGUCUUUUUCUAGAGAAACUUUUUUUUUUUUUUAGAGAGAGAGCAUGCACAUGUGAGCUGGGGAGAGGCAGAGAGAGAGGGGGAGAGAGAGAGAGAGAGAGAGAGAGAGAGAGAGAGAGAGAGAAUCCCAAGCAGACUCUGCAUUGUUGUGCAAAGCCCAAUGUGGGGCUCAAACUCACCAACCAUGAGAUCAUGCCCUGAGCUGAAAUCAAGAGUUGGAUGCUCAACCAACUGAGCCACCCAGGUUCCCCUAGAGAAAGGUUUCUAAUACAGUUCCUCAACUGAUUUUCUAACACUCCCCAUAAUCUAUCCUGUACUCCAGCUGGGCUAAACCCAUAAAUCUCCUUGGCCUCCCAUGCUCUCAUGUGUCUGCCUUUGUCCAAACUUUGCCUUUGCCCUAAAGCCCUCCUCCACCCUAAUCUUCGGGGUCAACUCCUGCUCACUUGUCAAGACUCAACCUUAGUUUCACCUCACUCAGAAUGUAAUGCUUUUGAAUUGGGGCCUUCUCUGACAACUCCCAAUGCUUACUUCAUUCCAGCACCUAUAUCCUGUCAUUUAUUGUGACUGUGACUUUAUCUGGCUCCAACAAUAGAAGGUGCACCCCUUGAUGACAUGGGUGGGGACCUAUUAUUCAUGGUAUCUAGCGCUACGUUAGUUGCAUAGGAGAGAACCAAUAAGUGUUUGUUGCAAGAAUAAAGGAGUAAAUGAUUGAGCAAAUGAACAAAAGCAUCUCUUUCCCCAUUGAGAUAUAAAAUGCAAAGGUUAAGAGAAAAGUUAUCCUAGAAUCAUUCAGCCAAAUCAAUGGAUUCACGUGGUCACUAGCCACUGGCUUCAAAACCCUAUUGAACAAGGGCUUCACAAAGAGCAGUACAGGUUUGGAGUAGAUGUUGAGGAGAGAAUUAUCCCUUUCACAAGCCAAGAAAGCAUAUGGGCAUAUUUCCUUUAGUUUUGACUGAGGUAAUAUUUCUAGAGUGAUUCAGGAUAGUCCUCCUUCAAGAUUUUUGAAAUUGAAUAACCAUGGCCAAUUCUAUGAGUGAAGGAGGUUCAUAAGCCUCAAUAAAAGAAUGCAAUGCGACUUCAGAUCCCCCACUGAACAUGAGAUUUCUUCCACGAAGGAGGUUCAUAAGCCCCAAUAAAAGAAUGCAAUGCAACUUCAGAUCCCCCACUGAACAUGAGAUUUCUUCCACGUUAGAUACUUACUACUAUAACGAGCCCACCUGUGAAUGCCCUUUUGUAAUUCAAGAUGAAAACUCCACCCUUCCACAGAGGCAGUCCUAGCUAGAGAGGAUGGAAGGCAAGGCCCACACAAAGUGAUGCAAAGGGUUCAUUGCUAAUCAAAUCUUCCAUGGGCUGCUGCUCUUUGUCCUGAGAUCCAAAGGGAGAUGUUGGCAGAUCCGGGUCAUCUGUGACCCGUCACGCUGAGAUUCAGAGGGCAGCUGCCAUGGAUUCUUACUUCAGAAGCACCAUUAAUGGCAUCACAGGCAACCAUGUCCUGUUGGUGCCUAGGAGGUCUCAGUGAGACGAAUAAUCCAGAAGACAAGAGAUAACAGAAUUGCAAAGUUGAGAGUUAGGGGCAGGUAUAUUUCCUGAGGGGUCAGGGACUUGUAGGGAAAAGAGAAGAGAGUCCAGCAGUCCUGGGCAGGUCAGGUUGGGCUAAGGAAGAGCCUGGGAUAGAAGACUGCCCUCUUAUCCUAGACAUCUGGAGUUCUUGUGUCUCAUCCUAGUGUCUGCAAACCCAGAGAGGUUUCCUAGAGAUGAGGAGUCUCCUCUUGACAUCCAAGGGUCAGAACUGGGGAGAGCAGUGAAAAGAGGUUAGUGUGCUGUGGACAGAUGAGUGGAGAACUAGAAGAAAUUGGAAUCCACGUGGAGUAUAAGGAGGUAGCCUUGCACAUGAAGAGGAUAAAGCACCGACUUCAUUUGAUUUGAAAAGUCUCAUACUGCCAGGAUCUGGAUCUCAGAGAUAAAACUCUCUUGGCUACUCCCAGUCACUUUCGAAGCUGUUAAAACAGUGUUGUCAUAACACCACUCUAAGAGCCAUUAAGUUGUGUAUGGUGUGGUCCAGACCACAGAAGCAAUAAGAAUUUAGUACCCUCUAUUAACUAAAUUUUGCCUUUAAAUUUUCUUCCAAUUUAUCAUUUUCAAGAUACCUUUAGCUUUAAAAAAAUAUAUUGUCAUCUCUUGCUUUCCAGAAAGUGGAUGAAAAUAUCUUACUAUUCCAGAUGAAAUAAAAAUCUCUACAGCCAAGCAUGUGCCAGGGAGAACUGGGCUCACUUUUUUUUUUUCACCUCCUUAAACAUAUCUACCUUUAACAAAUGUGUUGAUUAAGCAUUGCACACCGUAUAUUUUAGUAUAUUCGAGCCAUGAAUUGCCCAACAUUUUACCCAAGAAGUAAAUGUCACUGUGAUUAACAAAACCCUGAGUAGUUUGGGUAAACACAGAUUUCAUUGUACAGAAUCCCUUUGCUCACAUGGCAUUGUUUAUACAUUGCCAUGGUCAGUUCCAGUGUCCGUACGUUCAUCCCUGGCUCUGGCUUUCCAGGUGAUGUUGCAGGAUUUUUUGCCACAAUAUCCAGGAUUCAUUGUCUCACCACUUCGAAGAAUGAAGAGGUGGACACAAAAUGAGCAGCAGGCAAAAGUUUAUCAGAAUAUAAGAUUAGAAAGGAAGAAUAGUAGGAAAGCUCUCUUUACAGACAGGGAGGGGGGACACCCGAAAGUGAAUGCCCGAGGACUACAGGCAAGGCUCCUUGUUUUAUAAGGUUCCGGUCAGCCCUGCCCCUCCCCUUCCCCUUGUUCCUUCUCAGGUUCUACCCUUAUUGGCUGGAUAGCUCUGGGUGCUGGGUUGUCCAUUCUUGACUAGCUGGACUCCAUUAUAUGAGGGGUGGUCUAUGGCCAUACUUAGGUCUUUUGUCAAAUUCCUGAGCGGAUACCUGAGGAGGAGUAGGUGGGGUCUGUUAGAUUCUUAAGAGGAACCUUAUGCCUGAGAGGGUUUGCUGUGGUCAGACACUCCCAGCAUUGUUCCAAAAUAUGUGUUUUUCCAUACCCAGGGACCUCAGGUCCUAUGCUUUCCCUCUCUGCCUAUUUUAUCUUAUCUUUCCCUAUCACAGUGGUGUCAGGGACACAGUUCUCCUUGCUCUGCCCAGAUUCGUUACCACUGAGAACAAGAGCAUUAUCUGGUUUUCCUGGUCUCCAACUACACCUAAACCCACAUCCUGCAGGACCCCUGUGUCUCAGCUCAGAGGGAGAGGAAACAGUAGUGCCCCACACAUGCCCCUGGAAACCCAUCUGGAUCUCAGGUGAGAGGAGACCCUCCUCAGAUUUCCGAAGGGCUCCCCCCACCCUCUGCCCAGACCAGAAGUGAGCCCUGCUCCCGGCCCACCUUCAGGAGGCCUCAAUCUAUCCCAGUCCUGGAAGAAAGGUUGCUUAUCUCCCAGGGUGGGCUUUGAGAAAGCCUACCCAAGGCCUGGGUGGCCCUCACCUCAGGGAACAAACAGUACCCAGAGUCACCCUUCAAUGACCCUGGCUCAUGGAGGAGGCAUGAUGUGAAAAGUCCCCAAAUCCUCCCUCUUUGGCUUUACAAUGCAUUGUCUUAUUACUUCCAGAUGUUUUUACUAAUAACAUUUGCUUGAUCUAAUGUAACAGUGAGUUUGUGUUCCCCGAACAUCCAGUGGAUGUGGGGAAAUAAUCUAGAAGCGAGUGAGAAAAUUGAGUAUUUUAGACUAAAUACAUUUUUUGCCCAGAUGAUUCUCACAGUUGAUAAUCCACCCACGACAGCAUACAGAUCGGAAAGGAACAAAUAAAACGAUCUUCAUUUUUAGAUAACAUAAUGACUAGUGUAGAAAAUCCCAAGGAAUCUAAGAACAAACAAACAAAUCCCUCUUGGAACUAAUCGUUUAGCUACGUUGCAGGAUACAAGAUCAACAUUCACAGAUCAAUCAUAGUUAUAUAUCAUAUCAAUGACCCUAUGGAAAUCAAAAUUUAAGACAGUACUUGGGGCGCCUGGGUGGCGCAGUCGGUUAAGCGUCCGACUUCAGCCAGGUCACGAUCUCGCGGUCCGUGAGUUCGAGACCCGCGUCGGGCUCUGGGCUGAUGGCUCAGAGCCUGGAGCCUGUUUCCGAUUCUGUGUCUCCCUCUCUCUCUGCCCCUCCCCCGUUCAUGCUCUGUCUCUCUCUGUCCCAAAAAAAAUAAAUAAACGUUGAAAAAAAAUUAAAAAAAAAAAUUUAAGACAGUACCAUUUCUAGGGUCCAUCCUACACCUUCCAAGGGAGUGCAAGCUCUUUGAGGAGGGGUCUGCUUCUGUUGUGUACACGUCUGUAUCCCCAUCCCCUAGAAUAGUGCCAACAGAUUGUAGGGACUUAGAAAAUAUUUAUGGACCAAGUGACUGACGGUUGAUUAAACAAAUAAUGAAAAAGAACAGAAACAAUCUUGCAUACAAGCAAAGAACAGGUCCGAGCUCCUGGUAAGAACAAGGCAGCGAUGUUUACAUGUGCAUGUUUUAUACAAGGUCCACCUCACAGACCUUCAUGGGCUACCCCAUAAGCAGCCAUUUGUCCUUCUUCAGAAUUCCUACAAAUAAUGCAAAAAGGGUCACUGUGCAGUACCCUCCAUUCAACUCUAGUUAAAGCAUUUCCUGAGCCAUACUGUGUGGCUGGCACUGUGCUGACAAUGGGGCUUCGGAGAUGAGCAAAGCCCGCUUCCUACCUAGAAGAAGCUCCUGAUGCGGCUGGGUGAGACAGACAGGCAAGAGGAUGUUCCCAUCGGUGAGGACAGUGAGCAGAGCAGAACCCCAGUCCGGCCUGAGGGUGACGCAGAAGGCUCCCCAAGCCAUUAGAUAGAUGGGGAGAUGGGCAGACGGGCAGAUAAUCACUCCUGAGAGUGUAGAUUCUGUCACACAGCCUGCUGAACACUACUUGCAGGGUCGUCUCAGUGAUCCUUCUACUGCCCUGAGAGGUUAAGUUUAUUCUUCCACAAACGUGAACCUGAGAGAACAAGCAGCAUUAGGCAGGUAAGAGGAAGGGAGAAGGUGCUCCCAGGUCAAGAGAGGAUUAUGGCCAAAAGCAGGGGUGUGUGCCCUGCCUGGGAUGUCUGAGGGUUUUCCAGCACAGAUCCUUUGUAUUACUGUGGAAAACUAGACCAAGACUGAGGUGGGAAAGGAACCAGAAGUAGUUUAUGGGAGCCAGACCCUGGAAGGCUUUGUUCACAAUGCCAGAGACUGUCAGUGACCUUCAGACGGGGCUCUGUGGAAGCCUGGCACUCACAGGGCUCGGCCACGGUGCUGCAAAUGUUUUGGUUCAAAUUUCCCUCAAGAGGUUUUAGAAGAAUGUUCGUGCUUUGCCCAUACAUCCUGCUCCUUAACGCUUGAGUGCACACCUGCUUGCACUAAGCUCCCAGCCCUUGCGUUCCUUGAGAUCUUGCUCUGACCGCCUGAGUCCACUGUGCCUGGCCACGUAGCUGGUUGCCCACACCCCAUAGCCCUCAAAUAAUACAAUUGGGUCUAAAACCCCAGCUUCAUUUCCCCUCGGGAGAAAUAACACUGAGCCACGUGGCCUGUGCUGGCUCCCAGAGCUCCCCGGUGGAACCAAGCUCUGGUUGUCCACGGAGCAAUUGAUUCCAUCUCCCCCUCCCUCCGCCCCCAUUCCCAGUAUCACAUCCCUAGCCCCUCUAGGGGUUUUGCAGGAGCUCCUCCCAGAGAAACAGCUGCAUUUAAAUCCUUGUAUCAAGGUCUGUUUCUAGGGCAGCCCAAGCUAAGACACGUGUGCACACACACAGUAUCUCUGGGAGGACUCAAAGAAACAGAACAGUGAGGAAAAGCAGUGGUUGGGUAUGAGGUGGAGGGAAGUUUAUUAAUCACUAAAUAUUAUUUUUUGCCUUUUGGCUUUUGGACUAUAUCUAUGGAUUUUCUAUUUAAAAAUACUUAAAAAAAAAAAAAGGCUACCCAAAAGGUGCUUGUGUGGUUCAUUCAGUUGAGCAUCCAACUCUUGAUUUCAGCUCAGGUCAUAAUCUCAGGGUCGUGGGAUUAUGCUCAGCAUGGAACCUGUUUAAGAUUCUCUCUCUCUCUCUCUCUCUCUCUCUCUCUUUCCCCCUCUCCCUCUGACCCUUUCUCCACUCGUGCACUCCCUCUCUCUAAAAUAAUAGUAAUAAUAAAAUAAAUAAAUAAAUAAAUAAAUAAAUAAAUAAAUAAAUAAAUAAAAGGUACCCAAAAUAUGUACCUUAAAUUGUUAAAAAAUCAACGGUAAUUUUAAAUCAAUAAAAUCAUAUGUGCUGUGUAUCAAAUGUUUACCUAUUGGUGACUGCCAGUGCAUUAAUUCAUGCUGCCAGGCAAAUGCUCUUUGAUAUGCUCAGAAGAAUUGACCUUUUCUGCUAAUUUGAUUAAUGAUUUUGAAUAUUCAGUAAAGCUAUCAGUGAGGAGAAAGACUAUCUCUGGGUGAUUUCUUAAAAUUAAGGUCUGUUGGGGUGCCUGGGUGGCUCACUCGGUUAAGUUUUCGACUUCGGCUCGGGUCAUGAUCUCGCGAUCUGUGAGUUCAAGGUCCCCGUCGGGCUCUGUGCCGACAGCUCGGAGCCUGGAGCCCGUUUCAGAUUCUGUAUCUCCCUCUCUCUCUGCCCCACCCCACCAUCGUGCUUGCUCUCUCUCUCUCUCAAAAUAAAUAAAUAAGCAAAAAAUAAAUUAAUUAAAUUAAAUAAGUCUGCACACACCCUCUCCCCUCAAUGUGUACAAACGCACUGAUGGGAAACUGAGUAACCAAACGCAGGCCGACAAAGCCUAGGUGAUCACGUUCACGCCCUGCCACAUAACUGGUUAGCUGUGCAGUCAGGAUAAUAUUGUACAAGCACCUACCUGUCCUAAGUUUGGGCUACUUUUGAUGUGACUUUUUACGUUUAACCUAAAUAAUGAAAGCCAUUAGACACUGUGAAUGAUUCAACAUUAAACUCAAUGUUUCCUCCUACUCCGCACUCAAGAUCUUGGGUUUGUUUAAUUGAGAGCAGCCUGAGGUGGCAAGGCCAGCUGUGCGAAAAUAAAAAGUUCUGUUCCUAGUUUGAUUACUUAUCUCUGUGAGUCAACCUUUCUCCAUCUCGACUGAUAGAAACCAAUGCAGGAAUAAAUUGGAUACCGAGGCAGAUCUAAAACUGUAAAUGCUGUUUUCUCUCUCUCUCUCAAAAAUGAAUACACGUUAAAAAAUUUUUUUCAACGUAAAUGUAUUCAUGACCAUGAAUGUGGAAAGUGCAUGCUUUUCGAAAUAGCCUGACGUUCAGAGUGGUUGGCUUUCUAACAAGCAAAUGUUAUAAAUGAAUGGCUAUGAAGUACGUGUCUACCAGUGAAACCACUCAUCUGCUUCUUCUAUAGGCGUUCAAUGCAAUGUUUUCUUUGGAAAGUGAGUUACCGUCCCCAUUGUUCGGACCUGUGGUCUGGAAGAUGGUCAGCACGCAGGCUCCUACAGAGACUGGCACUCUGGUCGGAUGCAUGAGUCGGGCAGGCCACUCUGAGCUGGGAGGGGAGGGGACUGCAAGGAGGGAGAUAGAAGUUCCUCUGUGGCUCUGGAAACCAACUUCGGAAAGUCAGGCUGGAGACAAAGAUCGGGCACUGAAAGCUUACUAGGAAGGAGGUGGCUGUUGUUUUGGGUGUAGGUGCAAGAGUCCAGGGAACACUAUAAAAUAAGAAGAGCCGUAGGUCCGGAGUGCAGCCUGAGGAGUGAGGCCAUUCUCACCAACCAUUCUUCUUACAGGCGUGAGCGUUAACUUCAUAACCUGACCAAAGACUCCUCGAGGAGUCUGACUUUGGGUUCAAGGCCCUUGAAUACCCCCACAGGGACCAGAAUAAAACUCUACAGACAGCAGGUGCACUGUAUUUAUUGCUCAGUUGACUGAUUCAUCUCAGAAGGUGAAGGAUUGUAUUACAACAAGAAUCCCAUUUAAACAAAUUUAUCAAAAUUCCCACAUGAUAACCAAACUUGUUUAAAUGUCUCCACCUAGAUAGGGCUUCUGGGUGGCUCAGUCGGUUAAGCAUCUGACUUUGGCUCAAGUCAUGAUCUCACAGUCCAUGAGUUUGAGCCCCAAGUCAGACUCUAUGCUGACCGCUCAGAGCCUGGAGCUACUCAGAUCCUGUGUAGCUCUUUCUCUGCCCCUCCCCCACUCACGCUCUGUUUCUCUCUCUCAAAACUAAAUAAACAUUUUUUAAAAAUUAAAAGAAAGGGGCGCCUGGGUGGCUCAGUGGGUUGAGCAUCUAACUUUGGCUCAGGUCAUGAUCUCAUGGCUUGUGGGUUCAAGCCCUGCGUCGGGCUCUGCGCUGACAGCUCAGAGCCUGGAUCCUGCUUCAGAUUCUGUGUCUCCCUCUCUCUCUGCCCCUCCCCUGCUCAUGCUCUAUCUCUCAAAAAUAAAUAAACAUUAAAAAAAUUAAAAGAAAAAAUGUCUCCACGUUGACAGAAAUAGCAGCUAGCAACUUUAUUACGAGAUUUUUUAAUUGGAAAAAAUGUACACACACUGGCUACUUUUAGAUGGCAUCCUUUCCCAGGAGCAAAAGAGAGAGAAAAGAGUGAUGGAGAAAGUAGGAGGGAGGGAGGAAGAGAAGGAAGAAGAAAGGGGGAAGAAAGCAAGGCAUACGAGGCCCCUCAGCAGCCACAUCUUGUGGAAGUAAGGCUGUUGGUCUGCACGCUGCUUCCCUGCCUCUGGUAAGGUAGUGAGGACUGUACAUAAUGCCUGCCCUUACCUCUCCGGCCUGCUCCACUCGGCCCCCCGGCCCCUUCCAGCUUUCCAAAGCAGACUCUGGGCCCCUGGGGUGGGGCUCAUGCAGCCAGCUCAAGAGAGUCCCACGCUCAGGUCUGUGGGGCCCGGCCCCUCCCUGCCACCCCAAAAGCUCACAGUGGGGGGCCUGGAGGGGGACCCCCAGCCUCCUUUCCGGGUGUAUGCCUUGUCCUCCUGAUUUCUCUUCCUGGGUGGGGGCAGAACCACUAAAAUCAGAGAACUGUUCUCUUUGGAGAAGAGAGUCCUUCACCUCUGAGGAGGGACUUAUGUGCCUACCCUCACUGUUGGUGUUGUCCCUGUGGGCUGGCCAGGCUGGGACACGCUGUGGACUCGACUCCUCUCCGUCCCGAUUUCUAUGUAGGCAAUCUCUGGUUGAGAUGGAAGGCCAGUAAGUCUGGAACGGGAAAAAAGUCACAGAAGGGCAGCACUGUAGGGGAGGAAAGGGGGGUGGGAGGGAUGCUACCUUGGGGUGAGUGGGAUGCUCUGGGGUGAUCCCAAGCCCAAGCCCCACGUCCUCUGCUUCAUCAGCAGGAAGCUAAGGAGUCCAAGCUUCAGGGUCCCUUGCUUGCCUUUCCAAAACCCCGUGCUUUAAUUUCAUAUUUGUAAUUUUAUUUUAUUUCUUCCUUAAAGAAGACAUUCCUAAACUAUAAGGGCUUCAAGGACCCAAACAAAAGCCAGCCCUUAUCACCAGCUGGUUUGGAGCCACUCUCCUCCUGUUAUCACUUGCCAGGACGACUCCACACCUGGCCUGCUGGUCUCCCUAAUUACUACUUCCCUGACUCACCGGUCUCAGGCCACGGGUCCCCUUGUUCCUCAAACACACCAGGUGGUGGCCAAGGUGUCACUCUCUGCCCUGGCUGUUCCCCCUGACCAGAAUGUUCCUUUCCUGAUGCUCACCUCCUAUAUCAGCUCUGGUGGCACCUUCUCCAUGAGCCUUCCUGGAGCUCCCUAGUUAAGGUGAAAUUCCCUGCCCCCUCCACCCUGCAGCACCCCACCCUCCAGAUCCUACUAACUUCCACGUCAUUUAUCAUUUAAGAUACCUCGCAACCUAGCUACUGAUUGUUUCUUUUCUGUACCUCACCCCACACCAUGAGAACGUAAGUCCCAUGAAGAAAGGGAAAUUCAAAAUCUGUUUUGUUCACUGAUGUCUUCCUGGCGUCUAAUACAUAGUGCGAUAGGCAUUUGGUUAAUAUUUGCCUCAUUAAUGCAUGAAGUUGCAACACCUGAGGCAGGGACCCUGCCGGCUGCAGUGUGGACACAAGUCUGGCCAAUGAAUAUCCAAAUGAGAGAAAACAAAGUUCCUUCUCAGACGUGACUCGGCUUUACAGGCUGGGGAGGUCCCUGGACCACAGGCUGAGGACACAGGCGCCAGGACAUCCUGGCCCUGCCUGUCUGCCUCAGGAUGCAUCAUCUCGUCCCUGGACAGUGCUGCUACCCAAGAAGUAUCCAGAACUGCUGAGCCUGGGAUAAGAGAGGGGCUGAAGCCUGCUGUCUGUCUCGAGGGUUGGUGGCAGGGACCGUGGGACUUUUCAUGUAUGUGUCCAAUCCUAGGAGAGCAUAGCCAAUUAGUAAUACGGCCAAGAGCAGAGAUGUUUACUCAGAGCCGGGGCUGAUUUCCUGCCUUUGCACAUCUGGCAGACACACACCCGCUGGCCUGACCUGGGGAUGCGGUGGCGGAGCUCCCUGGUAUGAGGGCCUCGUGUCAUUUUAACCCCAUGGGGACACAUCUCUGAGUGGGAUUUGUCCUGGCGCCGGGAAGAGGGUGUGUGUCUGUGAAGUGCAGGGUGUGGGGGACACCGAGAUGUCCACGAGACACCCCCUUCCUGGAGCCGGUGAUCCAUAGUCAGCCGAUCAGGACCCCUCCCCCCUGCAGACAAUGCUGAUGACAUCAUGGUGACCCCGGGCUUUAUGUAGUCAUGUAGGGUUGCCAAAACUCUUGGUCAUGCAGCUUUCAUUUCAUGGUCAUCCAAACCUGCGAGGAAGACAGACCAGGAAAUAUCAUCCCAUUUUCCACAGGAAGAAUGUGAGGCCGAGUGGCUAAGGGAUGCACAGGGUCACAGAGACAGCACAGGUCAAGGAGAGACUGGCUUCUGCAGUCACAGCCAUGCCCUGUUUCGUCUGCUCAGCGACAUGGGCCCUUUACAUCCAGGUUUAACACUUGCCGCUUCAACUCUUUCCUAGAAGCCUCCAAGCCCCCAGGUGCAGUGACUUAUUCCCGCGCAGUGGUUAGAAUCAGUCGCUUAGCUGGCAGAACAGUGCCCCUGGCCUUGGUGCCCCCAGCACACUUAGCUUGCUAUCCUCUAAUCACUGUCGGGACACCGUAAAUGUCCUGCCAUGAUUACAAAAUAAGAACAAAUAGAAAAAGACAUUUCUUUUUGAAAAAUGCUCUGAGAGUCAGUAAAAAUUGAAGGGGCCAUGGCUGGGUAAAUUUCAUGAUGGGAGGAACGAGGCUGUGUACGGAAGUAACAUUCACAGCUGUCUUCUCCUACAAGCUUGCAGGUGUCAGAUGUCGUGUUGAGUGCUUUGCACGCUAUCUCAUUUACGCCUCCCGGCUGCUCUAUGAUGUAGGUGAUACUGUUAUGCCUAUCUAACAGGUAGGGAAACUGAGGCCUAGAGUUUCAUUCAGUGCUUAAAGCCUUACUGCUGGUUAGCAGUGAAGCCCAGAGUCCUAUCUGGGGUCUGUGUGGUACAGCCCAAGUUCUGAACGUCUACACUGUACUGCUCCCCCACCCCCACCUCCCGUACGAAUGCAGUUCAGCAGCCUGUGAGGAGUCCUACACGAGUCUGAACCCACCCGUCUCUUCAUUCAUCCUCUGGCUCUCUGUCCCCUCUUUCUCCCCCUUAUCUCAGGGUCUCUUUCUUGGGCUGACCUGGAAACUCAAAAUCCGUCUCUUUUGGUCAUGCAAACGAUCUAUUUGUUUAACACAUGGUUUCGGGCGACUAUCCUGUGCCGAGCUCUGUUCUAGACGCUGGGGAAAUGGCAGCGAACAAAACAGACAAGAACCCCUGACUUCACAAGGUGAUCAUGCUAGCGGAGAGAUAGCCACGAGCCCAUGUACAAGGUAAAGUCAGGGAGAAGGCUGUGGGGGAAAUAGGGCGAGAUGAGGUGGGAUAGAGAAGGAUGGGGCGCUGCUGCUCUUUGAGAUGUGGGGUCAGGGAAGCUCUCCCUAAAGAGGAGGCUUUUGGGCAGAAACCAGAGUCUGGCAAGGAGGAAGUCACACCGCUGUCAGGGGAAGAACUUCCCAGUGACAGGAAGGAGCUUGGCAUUAUCUCCAGAUUUAGCAAAAUAAUAGUAAUAAUGAUAUAAAGAAAUAAUGAUAUAAAGAAAUAAGGAAAAAUUGGGCACCUGUUAAAUUUCAGGUAAACAGUUUAAUUUGAGACAUUCAUACUAAAAUAAAUAUUUGUUGUUGAUCUGAAAUUUAAACUUAACUGGGAAUCCUCUUGCUUUAUCUGGCAACCCUCGCCUCGCGUGAGUUUAUGGAACGGCAAGAAGACCGAUGUGGCCGAAGCGGAGGCAGCAAGAAGGUGGAGGGAGACGAGGAGGGGAACUUGCGGACGGGAGGGAGGCUGACAUUUCAGACCUGGAGAAACCAUCUAAAUGUGCUUCCAGUUGUCCCGGUGGAAUUUCCUCUGGGUUGUCCAAGAGAGAACCGUGUCCUAGGAGCUAUAAAAGAGGAGAUAGGAAAGCAGGCGCCACAGGAGGAAUUAUCUAAUCUGGGUCACAGAGACGUUUGGGACUGCAUCAUCUCUUCUCCAAAGGCGAAGCUCUAGGAAACCUCCUGACGUCAAUGUGACCCUGUGUCUUUGACCCAUCAAAGAAGCUGGACCCCGAGCAGACAGAAUGAAGGAGGUGGCAUGGAGCGUGAACCAUUAGCCCAGGGAUUAAGCUGUAGGAAGUGCAGGGCUGGCGGUGGGGGAAGGGCAUCUCCUCUCUUGAUGGAGUAAGGAGGCGUGUGGAGUCAGAGAUCAGCAAGGUGUUUGGGUUCCAGGAUUCCCGGCGGCUGUAACGCGCAGAGGGGAUCGAGCAACUGCCAGAAAGAAACCGCAGUGACACUUCCAAGCUGUAAGUAUUAAGGUUGAAAUAGAAAACACCCUUUGAGGGGCGCCUGGGUGGCUCAGUCGGUUAAGCGUCUGAUUCUUAAUUUCAGCUCAGGUCAUGGUCUCACAGUUCAUAAGAUAGAGCCCCGUGUCGGGCUCUGUGCUGACAGUGCAGAGCCUGCUUGGGGUUCUCUCUCUCCCUCUCUCUCUCUCUCCCUGCCCCUCCCCUGCACUCUCUCUCUCUCAAAAUAAACAAACAUUAAAAAAAAAAUCACCCUUUGAGGUUAAAAUGUAAAUAAUCCAAUGAGUCUCCUCCUGGCUGACUUCGGAAUCUCCAAACAAGCAAGAUAAACCAGAGUAGACAUUUCAGGGAAACUUUCCGCUAUAACCCCAAACACCUACUUCAUAGGUCACCUCAAGGAUUAGAUGGGGAAACAUAGGUAAAGCCCUGUGCUUGGUAUGUAUGACUUUAAAUGUUCUACAUCUCUACCCUAUCCUACCCUCCCUUCCCAAGUUCUGGGACCCGGAUGGACCUUGAGUGCCUCACAGAAAUUAAAAAAAGAAACGGUAAUGUCAGAUCCUGGACAGCCUGAUGCUCAGCACUGCAACUAGACCUCUUCCCUUUCUGUAAGCGGUAACCCCACGGGGUUCGUGAGCCUGGCACACAGCAGUGACCCAGAACGUGCUGCUGCAUGCGUAGCAUGGAAAUCAUUGGCUCAUCCUUAUGGGCCUCCUGGAGUCAGAUUUCUCACAUUCAAACUGACAGAAAAGGAAGUAGGGCUGCCAGACUGGGGCUCCAGAGAGUCAGGAGCAGGCUGUUCCCCACCCUUCCCAGGCCCAGGCGGUUGCCUCAUAGCCCUACCGAAACGCAGGCCAGAGAAGCAGCCGGCGCCCAGCACAGCAUCUGCCUUAUAAGGACAUUGGCCAGGCCUGCCAGGUGUGUCAUCCCCGGGUCCACCAGGAGGCCGGUGACGUCCCCAGUGAGUCAAGGCCGGGUGGGUGAAGCGGCCUCGGAAAGCCGCAUGGGUGGCAAGUGAGAGUUUUCUCACUUCCCUCUCCCCUACAUCUUUCCAUGUGUUUUAGAUUAUUAUCUCAUUUACCUUAGCAAUUGGAGGAACAGAGAAAAGGAUUUUUGAAUGGAAAAAAAAAAAAUACCCAUGAGUAUUACUUCAGGAACAAACGAAAGGCUCUCUGUACUUUUUUUUUUUUUUUUCUUCCUGGCAGGGUGGGUGGGGAGAUGAAACGAAGAACAUGUAGUUCUGUGGACACAUCCCCUCGAGAAUUAACACAUGGGCAGCUCCUGUCCAAGCCCAGGCAACGUCCACAGUGAGGGCCAGACUGUGGCCCUCGACCGAGGGGCGGCCUCCGGGAGACCUGAGCUCCUCCUAUGGUCUCCCAAGGAAGACAAGCCAGGAUUGGGCAAGGAGCCUUGGGGGAAAGCACCCUUCUGAAUUAUAUGAAGGCAAAGCAAGGGCUGUCGGCCUGUCCAGAGACAGUGUGGAAUUGAAGUUAAGUGAUAAGGUUUUGAAAUCAUACAGAUCUGGGUUCGAAUCCUCAAUGUGCCACUUCCACUGGGUGAACUUGAGCAAGUCAAUUAGUCUUUGUUAAGUCUUUUUUUUUAUGUUUAUUUAUUUAUUUUUGAGAGAGAGAGAGAGAGAGAGCGCACAGCGGAAAAGGGGCAGAGAGAGAGACACAGAAUCCGAAGCAGGCUCCAGGUUCUGAGCUGUCAGCACAGAGCCUGACACGGGGCUCAAACCCAGGAGCCGUGAGAUCAUGACCUCAGCUGAAGUCAGAUGCUCAACCAACUGAGCCAUCCAGGUGCCCCAGUCUUUGUUAAAUCUUGACUGCCCCUUGUGUGAAGUAAUCGUUCAUUUAACAAAUACCUACAGAGCACUUUCCAGUGCUUUACUCGCAUUAACUCUUCAAAUAUUCAUAACCAACCUAUGAAGCAGACUCUAUUAUCCCCAUUUCACAGGUGAGGAAAGUAACUUGCCCACGGUCACUCAGCUGGUCAUCGACGGUAUCAAAAUUCCACCCCAGAUUGGACCCCCUCUGGGGCCUGUGCCCCAAAAUGCUAAGCUGUGCCGCUGAGAGUUUAUAAUUGUGCCCACUUCACCUGAUAGGAUUAAGUGGACCAGAGCACAUAAAAGCUCCUACCACCGAAGCACGCAUGUGGUAAAUGUUCAAUGGACGUGACCUGUUGGUGCCCAUUAUCUAAGACGUGGGGGAUUACUUGGAAGCAGACCUUGAGAGGAAGGUGCCAGUGCAGGUGACCGAGAAAAGUCACCCCUGGAAGAAACUGGUGCAGGAGUGGGGGAAGCAAGCAGGGAACUGGAAGGAGACACAGUUGUGAGAUUUUAGGCAAAGUAUCGCAAGGGAAGGAUUUGUGAGUUUAUCCCCAUCAAGGUGGUGUCGGGGUUUGUGCUCCCAAAGGCUGUCGGGCCCUGGCUGAGGGGUGCCCUGAGGAAAUGGAAACACCCAGGCCCUCUGGGCUCUGCUCUCCAGUCAUCCGCAGGCAGUCUUCCAAAGGGAGUUGAAGGCAUGGGGCUGUUAGAAGAAAUGCAGCAGAAGGCAGCUCCCCCUACCCCACUCCUGCAGCUUGGCCCCAGGCUGGACUGAUUUUCACCAUCUCCCUCCCCUCCCACUCUUUCUAGAUUCCCCUCACUCUUCACCAGCACUCCCGCUGGUCUGGGUGGCCUUCUGGCUGGGCUGACAUAGAUCACCGGAGGUUCUGAACCCCCUGUUACCAAGCCCUUGGCAGGUGUGUUUGCUAGAAUUGCCCAUCUACAACAAGAACUGGGCACCAACAGAUGUCCCAACGGAUCCCCUAAGUUCCAGGCCUGUUUCUCCUCAUCCCCAUGAUGCGGCAGCAAACCCACCUCCUCAUGAUGAUCAGAUGCAAUUGCUCUGCCAUGUCAGGUGUGUGCCUUGUCCCCCUCUCUGCCACCACGACGACAACUCUGUUCACAGACCAGUGGUGUCAGCAUGGGGGCGGCUAAGAGCAGGGCGCCUGAUGUCUCCAGGUCAAGUCACUCUUUUCGCCUGGUUGUGGAGUCUCUGAUUCUACAGUGGAUUCUCUGUGCGUCAUGUAUGAUAUAACAAGCCCUACACUUCAGGCUUCCUCUGUAUACCCUUCUCCCAUAUCACCUCAUCCCCAAUCUUCUGAUCUUGCUCUUUCCAGACCCCUGACCAGGUGGCCAAACCACUUGUCACAGCUCAGGACUCACAGUAUAGUCUUACCUAAAGCCAUUUCUCUCUUCACAAUCUGGAUGACUAGGUACACUGCCUGAAUCUCUGCCCAUCUGGAGGAUUUUCUCCCACCCUCCUACUCUUCAUAGGUCCCUUGAGCAGAGCUGUGAUUCAGUACGGUCUAUUCUCAGCUCAUACCAACAUAUCUAGUCAAGCCCUUCAUGAGCUGGGCCUGGAUUUUCUGUUUCUCCUCUGCCAAGGGGCCCCAAAGCAAUGGAAAUGACCAGACAUGCGAGUCUGGUCAACUUGAUCAGUUAACUUACUCCUGCUCUCUGGACCUGCUCAGGCCCAGUCCUGGUCGUGCCAGGAUCACUCUAAGACAGAUACUGCUGGCCCUCUCCAACCUCAUGACUUGGUGGGAAUGGCAGCACUCAGUCCAUGAUGGGUAGCUCUAGAUGCAAAAAUAUCUGAGGACUUCUGGCAAGAUGUUCAGUCUCUUCCCAUAUUCAGUAGCCUGCCAAGACUUCCCUUUCAAAAAGUGCGUCCUUUUUUGCUGCAGAUAGCAUACCCCGGCUCCAGAACUUAGAGAAACUCUCCAAAUACAACUUGCCAGAUGCGCAUGGUGCUUUUGAUUAUCACAGAUACCUCCUGCAUCAUGGGAUUUUUCCAGUUUAUGGAGCCCAAGGACUGCAUGUACUAUAGCCUGGACCUCCCUCAGAGACCUCUCUUGCUCUGGGACCAAAUCAAAAUUGCCAGCCAUUCGAGUCCUCAGAUAAAUGGGAUGGAGCCGUGUUCUCAAGUCCUAGCUCCUAGCAAGACUUCUAGAGAUGAGAGCAGCAGCCUGUUCUGAACACUGAAACCUUGGAAAUGGAUAGCAUCACCCCUUGUAAUGUUAGAAUGAGCAAUAGAGCUGGCAUGGAACCCUAGGGAAAAUCAAGAGAGGAAGAGAGGGGAUGGGAGAGAGGGUGGGAGACUGAGAAUCCAAGUACACGUGCUGCCUCUCCACAGGCUCUGAGAUAUCACAGUAGUGAGUCAAAACCGAUCUAAGUCUCACUCUUUAGCUCACUUAGUGAGCCAAGCUCAACACUUGACUGUCACUGUAGUUUGCAAUGCUGAUUUAAAGUCACUAGUGUAGGGAAUUCAAUGUUUCUGUUUCCCGUGUCAUGACCCCAACCCAGUCAAAUGUGUUUCUGCUCGCGUUAGUUCUUUAUGGUCAGAGCAACCAGCCUCCACACGGGUGGUAUUUCUGCCCUUGUAUUCACACAGUGACUUUUGCACAAUCCCAAGUAGCUCUCUAUGCCCCCCGGCUCUGCUUCCUCACCAUCUACCCUCUUCAUCCCAGGCAUAGCCCCUUGGAGAAGAUAUUUCAACACAAGGAAGUAGAUUAUUGUGAAGGAAAAGAAAACACACCCUUUAAGUGUCCAUGCUGUCUUGGAAAUGAGGCACAUCCCUCAGCUGCCCAAGAUUCCCAGCUGAGGGUCGGGCAGGUUGGGCUGACCGGGAGCCAGACUUGUCCACCAGACACGUGUGUUUGGCACUUGCCUAAAAGAGAAGUAAUUUUCAGCAAAUGUUAAAGGGUGUUUACUCUUUCUUUAAGAUGAUCCAUUUUCCACUAAUUCAGCUGCCUUCCCAGAGCUCUCGUACCCUGGCCCAAAUCACACUUUGGGAAUUAACUACUCAUUCUCUUUACCAUCAGUUGUGUCCCCGGUUACAUUAGAAACUGCCUGAGGAGGCCAGAGGCUAUGAUGGAGCCCACAAGUGCCCAGGCCUGGGUUGCAUCCAUUGGAGACCCAUAGGGAAACGAAGUGAAUCCAGGAAUGCGGCCCACUGGGACCCAUGGGCCUCGUCCAGUGUUUCACCCAUAGCAGCCUGUCUAGCCACACAACCUGUUGAUGACGGUACCAGGACUCUUGCACAAGGAAGCAAGGAGACACAAAAGAGUGGCUGGACAAGAGCAUGGCCUUGGCCAGGCCUCCUUCUCUUACCAGCCAUGUGAGCUUGAGCAAAUCGCCAUGCCUCUGUUUCCUUGUCUGUAAGACAGAGAUAGCUGAGGAGCCAUAGCUCAGAGCUGACAAGAAGACCAAGAAGGCAGACCGGUGGAAAGCUCAUGGCAAAAGUCUGGAGUAGAAUAAGUACUCGAUGAACAUUUAGCAAACGGAAAACAGAACUUCAAAAGAAAACCAUAUAAACUCAAUGAAGCAUUUGGUACUUCUAAGCAUGUUAGCACAAUUUUGUUAAAUAUCUUGACAUUUCCAAUUUAACUCUACCCAGAAUGCAGUUGGGAAUUGGGGCUCUUGGUUCCCUAAGCACAAGACCGUUCCUUUCUGAGAGAAGGGCCCACGUGGCUUUGAACACUGUCCAGGCUGUACUGAAACAUGCAUUGUCCAUGCAGUGACCUGCACCCAACCCGGAAGCCAGAAAUGGAAAUGUGGAGUUAUACAACCAGAGGCAAAAUGGGGAAGUGGUCAGCAUUCUGUGGAGGAAGUGGAGUGAGGUUCAUAAAAGCAAAGGUUUUCUCUGUUCACAAACACUGUCCUCCUGUGGCCUCACUUGCUGUAGGUUGGUAGGAAGAGAGGGGAGAGGUGACCUCAACCCCCCAGAACCCCUCCCAUGCCUUGGCUCAUGCUGUGUCCUCUCAGUCACACUACUCUGUUGAGAUCCUCAUUACCUGUUUAUGCCACUUCCGUGUGUCUGCCUGCCUGCCCAUCAUGACAGGUUUCUCUGGUUUCUAGAACCUCAGCAACUGGCACAUUUUUUUUUUCUUUCAUCCCCAUUGCUGUUUUCACCAAACAGGCUCUGUGCACCUCUCUGUUUGUUCACCUGCUGGGUGGUUUUAUGCUACGAUUCCAUGAAUUCAGAGUUCAAUGUCUAGCCAACUGGACCAUAUUCGCUCAGUGUUGUGGAUUUAGGUGGCAUGCUAUGAGAAGCAUCUAAGGUUUCACAUUCUAAGCACUUCACAUGUAUCAGCUCAUGUGUCAUCUUUCAGACAACUCCCUCAGCUUGCAUUCAAUAAUUAUCCUCACAUCAUGGGUACGGAAAGCAAGCACAGAGAGGUGAAAUAGUCUGCCCAAGGAUACAAGGUAGGGAGAGGAACCAAUAUGCAAACCUCCUGGCUCCAGAAUCCGUUUGUACCACUGCACCAUGCUGCAAAAACAAAACAAACAAAAACAUGGAAAUGAUUGUUCUCAAAGGCAGCGUAGUAAUUACCUUUACGGGGAGGCAAGGGAUAGAAAUAAGAAACGGGUGAGGGAGAGAUACCUGGGUACCGGCAGUGGUCCCCCCAUGACCUAGGUGGUGGUGACAUAGGAGUUCACUUUUUGAUGAUUUGUUGAACUGCAAGUAUCUCUCAUGCAACACCUCUUAUCAAGAGGCAGGGAGGUAGGAGGGCACUGAGCCUUGUGAUUGUGCCUAUACUCUAGGGUUUGACUUCUCAGCCCAUUCUAUUCCAUGAUGCAGUGGGGUCCCCAACUUUGUGUUGUGGAGACUCUGGCACCACAAAACCUUCCAAGGGGAAAUACCUCCUGGGCACUGAAGGAGCCAGAGUACCUGAGGGGCUCAUGUCAUUUAAAUAACUGUUAUCCUGGGCUCCCUAAUCCCUGGGGCCUGGAUCUGAAAGUAAAAGCAGGGGCUUCUACCAAACUUCCUGUCAGGCAGCUGAGAGGCCCCUGGGAAGUCUUUCAGAAAAAUCAUCCAGAAAGGCCAGGGCAAGGCACAGCCCAGGACAGCAAGGGCCGGAGCCAUGCCUGGGCCUCCAGUCCUCCAUGCUCUCGUCUUGCCUGACCUGUGACCUCCCAGUGCCUCGACCCUCAUCUCUGCACCAUCUGAGACCCCCAUGGGAACAGCAGCCUCAGACCUCUGCCUCCUCAGAGCUCUCUGGCUGGUGACAAAGAGCCAUUUUCCACUUCUGCCCAGAAUGAGGUUCUAGCUCUUUCAUGGAAUUUCCAAGUAGUGAGGCACAUCUGAACCCAGUCUGAGGUAGGUGGGACCCUGCCACAUUACUGUGUUCUUCUCAUGGCCCCUUGCUCCUUGCGGGGGGCCCCCACAGUGUCAUACCUCCUGGGAGGAAUGACUUGUGGCUUUAGGGAGAGUCAGUCUCUACAGUGCUUUAGGGUUCUGGCACUGGUAUGCUGAUGAUGACACCAGAAUUCCCCUUCCACCCCCUAAAAAGCCUUUAAAGUCCAGCAUGCUUCCCAGCUCCCCUUCAUGGUUCCAUUCCUAUGAACUCAGCAAUCAGUAGAGUCCUGUCUUCCCCCCGCACCCCGCCCCAGCUCCCGCAACCCCUCUCCACCUCCCACUCCUAGGCCAGCUCAGCCUCUCCCAGGACACUCACCCCCAGAUCAGCAUCCCACAGCCCUGUCUGCUGACUGCCUAAUGUUCCCUCUUCUGCUAAUACUCAGUAAACAGUAACAUCUACAGAGGGUUUACAAUAUGGCAGACACAAUGUCCAAGGCUUCUACACAUUAUCUCAUUGAAUUCCCAUUAAACAAAGCUCCUGGCACAUGGGAGGGGUUCCAUAAAUAUUUCUUGACUGGAUGCAUCCUCAUGACAAUCUUUUGUGGGAGGUACUAUUAAUCUCAUUUCACAGGUGAGUAAAUUAAGGUUAAGAGAUGUUAAAUAACCAGCCCAAGGUCACAAUGACAAGUGUCAGAGCUGGGAUUCCAAAGCAUGUCUGUUUCUAGAACUUAUGUACUCACCCCCAUUGAUUUACUGCAGUUUAUUGGUUCAUUCAACAAAUAUUAAUCCAGUAUCUACUAUAUGCUAGGAACUAUUCCAUAUACAGCGGAUACAGCAAAGAAUAAAACAGACAGAAUUUCAGCCUUAUGGAGCUUACAUUCUAAUAAGGGAGACAUACAUUAAGCAUAAUAGAUAAGCAACAUUUAUAGUAUGAGAUUAAUUGUGGUAAGAGCUAAUGAAAAGGAAGGGGUGGAAAGAGUAGGGGUGUCAUUUUAGAUGGAGUGAGCAGGAAGUCCUCACAGAGAAGGGGAUAGCUGAAUAAAGACCUAAAGGAGGUUAGGAAGACAGCUCUUCACAAAUGCAAGAGAAGAGUGACAGGUGCGAAGGCUCUGAGGCAGGAAGGUUCUUGGUGAGUUCUAGAAACACUGAGGAAGUCAGUGUUGUUACAGCAGAAUCACUGAUGGAAAGAAUACUGGGAGCCCAGAGAGUAGUGGGGUUAGCUCAUAUUGGGCCUUAGGUCAUUGUACAGAGUAGUAUGACCGCUGAAUGCCAUGGAAUCCAGUGGAAGAUUAUGAGUGGAGGUGUGCCAUGUUCUGAUGUGGCUUUUAACAUGAUUACUCUGGCCGUUGAUGGAGGCUUGAGACAAAGCAAGGCAAAUGUAUCAGCAAGGAUACCAGUUGGGAGGCUAUGGCAAAAACCCAGAUAAGAUAUUACAGUGGCUUGGAUUGGGGUGGUAGCAAUAGAGCUAGGAGGAGACACUUGGUUUGGGAUGUGGCUCUAAGAUGGUGCCAACAGGAUUUCAGACCCUCUGCGCCCAGCUGCAAGUCCCCUAGCCCCUCGGACACAGCACUCCUGAAACUGAACUCAUUCUCUUGCCUUAGGAAAUUUUCAUCCCUCCUAUACUUUUAUUUCUGUUUAUACAACUCCCAUCCAGUUGCCCAGGCAAGAAACCUAGGCAUCACCCUUGAUUCCUCCCUCUGUCCACCUCCCACAUCCAGCUGGCCACCCUGUCCCGUCCCAUGUGUUCUCUCCUUCUUUAUCCCCACCUCCUCUGCCUUCAUGCAGUCCCACAUCCCUCAGGCCUGGCCUCUGUCAAGUUCCUCUCCUCUGGCUUGGCCUCAGCAGACUCCACACGCACCAGAUGGAUCUUUAAUGGGAAGCAGACCACAUCCAUUUAAAACUCUGCUAAGACUGUGUUGAAUAAAGCCCAAGUCCUCUGGCCCAAAGCUGUCUAAAAGAAAUGCAAUGCAAGCCACAUACGUAGUUUGGAAUUUUCUGGUAGCUGCAUUUUUAUGAGUAAAAAAAAAAAUAGAUGAUAUUCAUUAUAAAUAUAUGAUUAACCCAACAGCAUGAAAAAUAUUAAGGAGAUAUUUUAUAUUCUUUUUUCACUGAGUCUUCAGAACCCAGUGUAUAGUUUACACUUACAGCCCAUCUCAGUGUGGACCAACCAUGUGUCAAGCGCUCAGUAGUAAUGAGUGGGCACCGGAUUGGAUAAUGUGGCUCUAGCUAUUCAGCCAGAGCCCCUUUCCUCAUGGCCUUUUCUACUGCACUGCAGUCUCCUCCCUGUUCCCACCUAUCACCUUCCUCCAUUACUUGUUCCUUGUGCUCUGGCAGAUCUCAUCACCUUGUAGUGCCACAAACAUGCCACGCUGCUAACAACGCCCUGCCCUUGCACGUAAGUUCAGUGGCGUCCCUACUGGCUCUUGCGGACCAACUGUGCACAUCUCUUCCCCACUUCCCAUCCAGGGAUGCCAUAUCAGUGGCUGAUAUCCUCCAUGGUGGGAGUACGUUCACCACAGAAAUUGACAAACACUACAAAUCAGGGCUGUGGGGGCGCCUGGAAGACCAUUUGUUAAACAUUUAGCAGCAAAUCACUGCACAUAAUGUUUCCCUUUCAUAGUGUUCCUCUCUCACCCUUAGUUCAUCUAUAAAGCUUUCAUCGUCCGCGGUCUGUGUAUAUUUGCACCCCUACUAGACUUCCAGUUCAGAAAAUAGAGCCUAGUUUUCUCUAUGCAAUUCUUGGCACAUGGUAGUUACUCUCUUCUCCUCUGCUUUUUGGUUCCCUGAACACCUGAUCAAAAUGGCUAGUGUAUAGAAGAGGACGUAAAGAGAAGUUUAAUACAUAAGCUUAAAAAUGAAACCUAUCUGGGUUUAAAUCACACUUCCUCUACUUACUAGUGAUGUGGGCCCAGGCAGCAUACGUAACCCUAAAGAACAUUGAUCUACAUGCCUGCAAAGAGGUUUAAAAACAUAUUCACCUCAAGAUUAUUGAGAUGAUUAAAUCAUAUAAACUGGUCUAAGAACUGGCAUGUACCAAAAACUUGAAAAGGUUUAGAUAUUAUUAUUAAGCCCUUCAGUUUUAUCACUUGUAGAAAGUAGUUGCUCAAAACCUUUUUGUUAAAGUAAAUGUUGAAUGAAAUUUCAGAAGUUCCUCGUGUCUGAUUCAUAGUGUGUAUGAGUCAGAAUUCCAGCUGGAGACAGAUGGCAUGUAUACUCAAAGGGCUGACUAAGGAGAGUUUAUUGAAGGACUGUUUACAAAGGUCUGAGCAGGGCUAUGCCUGUUACCACCUUUAGAACUGAAGGUGUGACGGGGGGGCAUCUCCCUGUGCCCAGUGAGAAAUGUAGCUGCAGGAAAGGUCACACAAUGAGAGUUGGCACCCACCCUUUCCUAAAGGAAUCCAGCAGCCAUCAAGCCAUCAGGGAGGGGUUGGAUAGAUAGCCCACCUUGCUUUCCUCCAGCUCUUCUGGAGGACCUUCUGCCAGUGCUUCCUCUUGGCCGAGCCCAACUACAACCCCAAGGGCAGAGAGCCCUUGCACAGUUUCUGAAGGGCAGACUCUUGGACAAUGAACAUGAUGGGGAAGGUGGAAGGUGGGCUGGAGGCCCAAAAGGAGGCUUGAGAUCAGAGUCUUCUAGUGGCCCUAAACCACCCAGCCCCUGGUGCCAGGGCUUGUUUACCCACUGGAGAUGACAAUCAUUGAGACUAGGCAGUGGUUCCUUGGUUUUGGCCUUGAAUGAUAACAUCAGAUAGCAAGCAUUCAUAUGGGCUAAGUUUGGUUACUUAAUCUGUGAGUCUGUUCCCUCAAAUGCAAGAAAGCUGAUUUCAUUUCAUAACCCUCCACUUUGUGGGUAUCCAACCAUUCUAAGAGGAUGUUGCCUACAUCCAACCUAACAGAUUCCCACCACAGCAGACAUAUUUUGUAUCUUCAAUAAUUCUCUGCAGAAAAAGAAAAGAAUUGGUGUAUAUGUACAGCCUUAAUUAAGACACUUCUAUAGCAAUUUUACCUUUAUCAUCCUUAUAGUUCUUAUAAUUUUUCACCUGUGGUCGUCUUCUCUAGUCUUCUUUUUUUUUUUUAAAUUUUAACAUUUAUUUAUUGUUGAGAGAGUGUGAGCAGGGAAGGGGCAGAGAGAGGGGGAGACACAGUAUCUGAAGCAAGUUCCAGGCUCUGGGAUUUCUGCACAGAGCCUGAUGUGGGGCUUGAACUCAUGAACUGUGAGAUCAUGACCUGAGCUGAAGCCAGACACUUAACCGGCUGAGCCACCCAGGUGCUCCAUCUUUUCUCGUCUUCUAAUCAGUCUCUAACACUGGCAAAAGUCUCCUGAUUUCAGAAGAACUCUUAAAAUACUGGUUUAUUUUUGCUAUUGGUGUAAUCCUGGAAAUGAUGUAUGGUUUUCUUGGGAAAGCCUGGAAGGAGGCUGUAAUCAUUUCCUAGCUUUAUUUUGGAACUCUUUAUCUCCUCUGUAAAUCCUUUGUGCUUGCAAGAAUGGUUAGGGCCAGAAGAUCAGUUUCACUUUCCUAUUUGUUCUGAAGUGUGGCAUUUUGAGUCUUCCCUUCCCUGCUAACAAUUUCUAAAAGUACUAGCUGAAGCCUCUUCCACAGGAAACAGGGAGGGGGGGGGAUAGAGACAGGCAGUGAAAGACCCAGAUUCAACCAACAUUUUGAUUGGUCCCAUAGACCAUAAGUAAGCCCCAUCAGGGCGGGGACCACAUCUAAGUGCUCACCUGUGUCCCUGGUGCCUGGCACAUAGCGAGUGCCUGGUAUUUUGUAGAAUUUGACUGAACGAAUGAAUGCACACUACCUGCUAAACACUUACAGGUAGGAGAUGGUGGAGAUCUUGUUUUUCACAGGAGAAAACUGAGGGCCCCAGAAUAUUUAUAAUGUCAGCAGUGGGCAAGGCCUCCAUCUCAAGCCUUCUGGCUUUUGUGGUGCCAACGCACCCCACUGCUUCCCAUCCAGGAUGUGGCCUCUCUUCAUCAAGCCACUUGUUUUACCUUUGCUAUUCCCUCACCCAAGUUCAACUUUUCAGUAAUAAGCCUGGAUGACAGGAGCUUCCAUGAUCAAGAGCCCCUCUCCCCACAGCUCAUUCCCCCAUAUGUGCGGCUGUCUCUUUAAUGUUGACCUUGCCCCAGGGAUCUUCCCCUUCUAAUCUGAAAAUCUGCAGCUCUGUGGGGGGAAUUCUGAGCAUGUCCCAGAGACUUCUCUUCGAGUAAACUGUUGUUGAGAUAUUAGAAACGGUGGCUGCCCUGGAGCCACCACCAGCCGGUAGUGGCCUCUGUGACCCAGUGGCUUGGCAGCUCCUUGCGCUCUCCUGGUCGGGGGGGAAGCCCGGCUACUUUCAGGCUGUCCGAGGGUUGGUCCCCACAUCUAGCCAUGACCUGCUCCCAAACAGUUUCCCCUUCCUGCCUCCAGCUCGUCCCCACAGGCCCCUGAACAGCCCUGGCUGAAGAGCACCGGUGAAUGGUGAAGACAGUGCCUUGUUUGGGUCGCCCUCCACCCUGCCCCCAAGAUCCAGCGCUUCACUGUCCAGGCUGUCUCCCCACCGGCAGCCAGACUGACCAGCUUGGGGACCUUUGCUCAUCCUGGCUCCAUUCUCUGUGACGGAGGCAGCUGUGGAGCCAGCUAGCAAAGCUGUGACUUUGUCUUUCUGCCGGCCCUUCUCCCCCAUUUAUAGGUGCCACUUUGACAAAGCCUGGACUCUUGUGUGUUGGCCUUGGGACCAUGUCACAUUUAAGCACAAUAGCCAAAAUGUAAUUUAAAAGGAAGUUCUUUCUUUGCUCAUCCCUCAUGCAAGUCAUUACAAAAGACGAACACAGAUAGGAACAAACAUUAAAUUUUCUUUUGUGUCUCCUUUGCUCAUAGCUGCUCUGAUGGGGCUGUGCUCAUAUCCCUGAAGAAAAUUCCUCUACUCCCUUGUCCUCAUGACUGCUCUUUCUCCUCCACCCCCAUAUUCCUCCUCCCUUAAGGUUUUAUUGCAUAGCUUGACUUGGCUCCUCUCCCAGCAACAAGGAAUCUUACUUCUUUGGAAGAGCGGAGAAGUCGGGGCUGCGGCAAUGAAAGAGUUCUCUUCAGGGUGCAGUGGGGGAGGGGGUAGCAAAUACACAGAAAUGAGCUUGGACCCAUCACCUCGACAUUUUUCAGAAUACGUACAGCCCCGUUCGUUAUUUUAUUAUUAGUCGCCAACCAUUAGAAAUACAUUUCCAAUUGAUCUUUGUGAUGGUUAAAGUGCCACAUCAACAAUUACCCUUCCAGCUUGGAAACUAACCUACAAGCUGGUGAAGGGCAACUCUGGGCUCGCGUCUGGCUUAGGAAUAGGGCUGGGCUGAGUUCUAGUUGGUCAGCAUAUCUGGUGGAUCAAGUGUGGCCUGUGACUACAUCAUGGCUCUGCCUGGUGUGCAAGAGCCUGUUCACCCAUUCACUCACUCACCUGUCCGUUCGUUCAUUCAUUCAUCAUUCAUUCAUUCAACCGAGAUUUUCUGUGCAGCCAUUAUCAGUCCAGCUCUCUACUAGAUAUGGAAGAGGCAGAGAUGAAUACGCCUCACCUUCAAGGAGCUCACCUCAAGUUGGGCAGACACAUACACGAUCUCAUCAGCUAUAACAGUGGUGUAACAGCAGACACAGAAACAGGGGACCACGGGGCCACUGGAACAGAACAACUAAGUCUGAUGUGGGUCAGGGAUGGAUCAGUCUAGGAAGGCUUCAGAGAGGUGAUAUUUGAGCUGGGUCAAGCAAGAAAAGCAGAAGUGUUUCAGACGAAGACUGGAGUACAGGCAUUCCAGGCAGAAGGCAUAGGAUGGGAUGUGGUGGUGACAGGAAGGAGGGUGCUUCCUUUGGGGAAGAAUGAGAAGUUCAGAAGGCAUGUGGCACAGUAGUAAAGGAGGAUGCACAUGGGGAGUACAGGGGGCAAGACUGGAAAAGACCUUGGAUGUUUAAAAAAAUGUUUUGGUAGAACACAGAAAAAGUUUAAAGUCACCAUACUCUCUGUCAUUUAUUAAAUGUUAUAAAGGUAAGACAUGAUGAAAAUUUCAUCUCUGCCCAUCCAAAACGACCCCACUGAGGAAACCACUGCUAAUGGUUAGAAAAUGUCCCUUCUUUUUCCUCAGUGUAUGCAGGGAUUUUUAUACAUAUUUAAAUCACAUUUUAAAAAGAAAAACCAGGGGCGCCUGAGUGGUUCAGUCAGUUAAGCAUCUGACUUGGGCUCAGGUUGUGGUUUUGCGGUCCGUGAGUUUGAGGCCCGCAUCAGGCUCUGUGCUGACAGCUUGGAGCCUGCUUCCAAGGCUCCCUCUCUCUCUGCCCCUCCCCCACUCAUGCAUUUUCUCUCUCUCCUCUCUCUCUCAAAAAAUAAAUAAACAUUAAAAAUUUAAAAAGAAAAACUGAAGUAUUUUAUACCUAACGAUCUGCAAUUUUUUUCCAGUUAGUAAUACAAUAGAGAUAUUUUUAUAGGUCAAUUUAUACAGGACUAUUUUGUUAUUUUUAACAGACAAUGAGGAAUGAGUAAAGGACUCUAAAUGUGAAGAUGAGUGAAUCGGAUCUAUUUUAUGUGGAAGCUGCAUGAGAGAGAAGAGGCCAGGGAGUUGGCUCAGGGAGGGUAAGAGUAAGAACUUCAUUGAAAAGGCCACAAGGAUGAGAUUUAUGGGCAAUUUCUGAGGUAAAAUCAGCAGUGUUCAGGGACCAGCAAUAGAUGGGCAAUGCAAGGGAUUUGGUGAAGGUUCAUUUUGUUGUAUGUAUAGAAGCUACUCGAAGUAGAUUCCAAAGAAACAUUUGGAAGGGGAGAUUGAAGAGCGGGAGCUACUUGGAACCCAGAACUAGAAAUCUAUCAGGAGUCAAGAUGACCGACUACCCUUUCUUUUUUUUUAAUGUUUAUUUAUUUUUGAGAGAGAGAGAGAGAGCAAGUCGGGGAGGGACAGAGCAGAGAGCCUGAUGCGGGGCUCAAACUCAUGAACUGUGAAAUCAUGACCCGAGCCGAAGUCAGAUGCUCAACUGACUGAGUCACCCAGGCACCCUGACUGACUACCCUUUCUAGAACCUCGGUCUCUCAUUCCAGCCUCUCUCUGUAGGUCCUCCUCAGUGUCCUCUGUCUGCUCUUCCAGGCACUCAUGUCACUCCUAGCUGUACUAGGAGGCACUACAGAGCAGGCUCCAGUAUAGAUAGAUCGUGAAUGUGUGUGUGUGUGUGUGUGUGUGUGUGUGUGUGUGUGUGUGUGUUCAAAAUUCCCUGGACAAUGUUAACACAGAGCAAAGGUGAGAAACUCUAGUUGGCAUGUGUUUGCUGUCUCGAGACACCAUUCCCAAAUUCCCAGGAGAGGAUGUGAUUGGUCCAAACAGGUCAGGGGUCGCUCUGGUCCAGUCAACUGUGUACGUUGCGGAGCAACAUGCAGAAUAAACCUGGUGGUAGCCCAGCCUCCAGAGCAAGGACGGGAAUGGGGAGGCAGGGAGUGGCCUGUGACAACAUCAAGAUUUUGUGGUUCCACACAGCACAGGCAAAGCAGGUUUCAUGUUUACCUCCUGCUGUGCUCCCGAGGGACAGAGCCCUGGCCUCAGUGAAAAAAUGAGUGCUCUGUGUCACUGACAAGGGUCCCAUCACACCCCUCUCUGCCUAAAAGGACAAAGGGAGUGACUUAGUCCCUGGGCUAAGUCAGUCUUCCGGUCUGCUCUCUGGGAGCUGUCCUCCCCAAGGAGCCAGCACGGCCUGAAUCUGCCCCAGUCUCAGAGCCUUUUAUGUCGUAGGGAUGGCAGAACUCAGACCCUGCAUCUCAGACCCUGAGAUGCAGAUCUCAGACCCUGCAUGUCGUAGGGAUGGCAGGAAACACUUCUCCCGAAAAAUGGAAGCAGAAACAAACAGCUGCAAAAUGAUAUUCCAUUAGAAUCAGCUUCUUGUCUGUCAGAAUGAGUAACAGGGAGUGACUUGUGGCUUCAUAUUUCCAUCCAGGUUUGGGGGAGGAAGGGAGACGAGAAAGAACCGACCAGAGGAAUUUGAGUCGUAGAGGAGGCGGCCAUUUGUUGUGUCUUUCCCCGUAUUUACUUGAGGUUGUUAGGUCUCUACUCCCACUCACCUAAGAUACUCUCCUUAAAUGGAUAAUUCCCCACAUGGGGCUUCCACCAGAGGAAGGGGAAGCUUGGUGACAUCUGAGGGGACUUAGCCCAACCACAAGAUAUUUCUGUUUCCUACUCCUCCAACUCAAAGUCACAUCACUCCGGGUGGGACUGCAUCUUAAUAUAGUUUAGCAAACCUCAAGAACAGCCCAGUGGUGGGUCUAAAGCCAGCAGCCUCUUUGUGUUUCUGUUUUGCUAGGUCUUAUCUUCCCUUUUAACAUCCUACCACUCUUUCAACAGCGUUUCAAUGCUUUGCCCACUCCAAAAUUUAUGGAUGUGUUUUCGAAUGAUUUUCUUCAGUUUUGUUUUCACAUCUCUGCAAAAGAUAAGGGAGUUACAUUGUUGUGCCAAGACAGAAAACUUACUUGAGACUCAAAAGACCUUAAGACAAGUUCCAGAUCUGCCAAUUACUAGUUUUGUAACCUCAGGCAAAUGACUUUGGUUUCCUCCCCCGUUCUCCCAUGGCUGUGUUUAUACUUCUAUUAUUAUAUGUAUCACAUCUCCCUGUCCCCUAGGAGAUUUUAAACUUCUUAAGACCAAGCUUUUGUCUGUCUGGGUAACAACCACAAUGCCUAGCACAGUGCCUGACACAGAGCAGAAGUCCAAAAAUGAUUAAAAUUUAACCUCUCAGAAUCUAUGAAAUUAGGAUAAUCAUACUAAAUUGUAAACAUUAAAUAAGGCAGUUUGCAUGAUUUAUAAACUAUAAAUAAUAAUGUCUAAAAGCUGUCAUGAUGUCAUUAUAAAAACUUGUGUAGUUUUUUAAAAACUAUGGUUCUACUUUUUUAACAUUUACUUAUUUAUUUUUGAGAGAGAGAGAGAGAGAGAGAGAAAGCCACAGGGGAUCAGAGAGAGAGGGAGAAUCCCAAGCAGGCUCAGCACUCUCAUCACAGAGCCCUACGUGGGGGUUGAUCCCAUGAUCCAUGAGAUCAUUUCAGAUCAACUCCUGAUCUGAAAUCAGGAGUUGGACACUUGAUCAACUGAGCCACCCAGGCACCCCCAAAAAUAUUAAAUUAAUUAAAUUAAUUUUACUUUAUAAUUGAAAAGUUUAGGGUAAAGGAUUUAUGGGGGAAAGCUAAGAUUUCUCAUUUGUAAUAAUCUUAUUAAUUAUGUAUCUUACUCUGUUUCUAGUAUAAGCCUCUGUUCUCCCCCGUUGUGUUUUUUCAUUCAACUAGUUACAUUGCUUAAUGGCUGAUAUAUUUGGUAUAAAGGAUGAUAGCUAUAAACCAGGGUUUCUAAACCUCCCCAUUAUUGACAUUCUGAGGUAGAUCAUUUUUUUAGUGUUUUUUUAUUUUGAAAGAGAGAGAGAGCAUGAGCAGGGGAGAGGCAGAGAGAGAGAGAGGGAGAGAGAGAAUCCCAAUCAGGCUCCACACUGUCAGCACAGAGCCUGAUGUGGGGCUUGAUCUCAUGAACCAUGAGAUCAGUACCUGAGCUGAAAUCAAGAGUUGGACGCUUAACAGACUGAACCCCCCCCAGGCGCCCUAGAGCGAGAUCCUUCUUUGUUGGGGGUGGAGGGCUGUCCUGUGUAUUGCAGGAUAUUGAGCAGCAUCUCUUCCUGCCUCUACCCACUAGGAGCCAAUAUCACUCCCUCCCAGUUAUAAGAACCCCAGAUAUCUCCAGGCAUCAAAUAUCCUCUGGAAGGAGGUAUAGGGCAAAAUCGUUCCUCCUCCCUUCUCUGUUGAGCACCAUAACUCUGUUGAGCUCUGAGGUUUUGAUUUAUGCUUUUUUCUUCUUUGAUCUUCUAUUAUUAACUUUCUCAAUAUUUAAAUGUAUCAGCUCAGAUUACUCAAGCGCUGAGUUCUACUCAAAGCAUUUUUUUGCUGACUUGGGUUUGAAGAUAUGCAUGUCCUUCCACACAUCUCAUUUGUCAGAGAGAAUUUUCUAGCUUGCCAGAAGAAUUCCCUCUUUCUGCUUCCUUCUUCCAUACCCAGGGUUGGUACAGCCUUAAUAUCUAUCUUUUACUCCAGGACUUUGGAGAUCAAGCCCACAAUUCUAUCCUCAUUUCUUCUAAGAAGGAAGCAGGCUUCUUACCCCUAGGGCCUCUGAAGGCCUGACUUCUCAGAGUUCCCCCAAGUAGACACAUAAUCGAGGCCCCUCUGUGAGUCUCACUGUACUCAGGGACCCUAGGUAUAUGGCAUAUAUACAUGUAGGUGUGAUCACUUCAUAUUACCACAAAGAACAAGUGUCUCUUAAGUGAACUACGCCUAUCUUCCUAUUCACACAUGUACCUUUGUUCUUCACUUCUUUCCUUUCCUCUGCAUUUGGUGUCUUCAUGGACCUACCCCAAUUCACAGGCAAUAACUUAACUUUUCCAUCCCUUUGAUAACUGGAGCCAGUGCCAUAGUCUUCUCAGUAAAGAUGAGAUGCCUACCCUCUGCCCCAUCACCUAUCUACCCACCCUCCUUUGAAUUUUUUUUUUUUCAACGUUUAUUUAUUUUUGGGACAGAGAGAGACAGAGCAUGAACGGGGGGAGGGGCAGAGAGAGAGGGAGACACAGAAUCGGAAACAGGCUCCAGGCUCUGAGCCAUCAGCCCAGAGCCUGACGCGGGGCUCGAACUCCCGGACCGCGAGAUCGUGACCUGGCUGAAGUCGGACGCUUAACCGACUGCGCCACCCAGGCGCCCCUACCCACCCUCCUUUGAAGAGCACAGAAGUUCAUGGUCUUGUCUGACAUUUGUUUUCUCCAACAUGCAAAAUCUGUUAUUAAUAGUCUCCACUUGUUUGCCUAUGAACUUGGAAAGCAUCAAUUUACCAAGUACAAAUGCUACGUACUUCUCUGAACACCCACAAUACUGGCACUCAACAAAUGCCUCUCUCCCUGCUAGAAAGGAUACUGCCCCAUCAAUGGAGAAUGUCCUAUACCAUGCACACAGCUUCCACACCUCCUUGAGAAACCACAUUCGGAAUGGGACUUGCUGUCAUCUGAUUGUGUUACACACAUGUUGGAGGCUCAGUAUCUGAUACAUAACACUUCUAUGGCUGUUUUUGGCAAGACGGUUUGCUAACUCAAAAUUGCAGUCUUAACAAAGUAGUGUGACCAGCUACUUUUUAAGUUAAUAUUGUGAAGAUGAGUUGACAUCUUAGAAGACAGGAGAGCAGUUAAUUAGGAACCCAUCUGAAGAGAUUUGGAAAGGCUGUUUAAUGUCCAAAACGUUUUGAAAUAAUUCUCUUCACAUUGACAACCACCAUCACCACCACCAGCUUGACUCUGACUUAGUUCCUGCUGUAUAUUGAAAAAAUCCUGGUGAGGUUUUACUGGAGAUAAAUAUUAGUAUCUCUUUCUUAAAAAUGAGGAAACUGAAACUCUGAGAGAUUGUGUGAACUUGACCAAGGGCACAAAGUAGUUAAGUAGCAAAUUUGGGAUCUAACCCAAAGCUGGAUAAAGUGAGAUGCUGGAUAUUACCAUAAAGGACACGGUUUUCUACAAAACUUGAAGCAGAGUAAAGAUCCUCUUGUCUAAUGCCGACAACUAUCGCAGUAAGGAGCUCUAAGAAAAAACAUAGACUAGUGUGAAAAAACACAAGAUUAGGAAUCAGAAGACCUAGAUUUUAAUCCCCACUUGAGUACUUUCUAGCAGAAUGAUCGUGGACAAACUUAUUUACCGCGGCUGAGCAUCAAUUUUCUCAUUGAAAAUAGAGAUUAAGGGCUGUUGUGAAUAAUUAUAUUAACUGUUUUCUCAUAAAAUUCUUGUGUGACUGUAAGCAUUUCCCAAGGGGCACAUCAUCAAAUCACGGGAAGAACCUGGCUUCCCUACUCAAGUCAAGCUGGACAGCCAUUGCUGAGGUGGUCAUAAGGCAAUGGUGCUCUCUUUCCCAUAAUAUCAGUGAUGACACAGGCAGAGUGGCCAUGUCAGGCCACGGGGGACGCCUCUCUAAUAGGCUGACCACACUUGGAACACAGGGCCUCUUCUGAGUAACCACAAGGAGAGGACAAACAGACUCAAAGGCACUCUUCCAAGCGGCUGGCCAGCACCCGUAGGCUUUGGAACACUGGUUAACCCCAGACCCUGGCAGGAGGGAAAAGUCCCAGCUCUCCAGUUAGUUGCUUCCACAAAAGUAAACCAAAAUGAGUCAGAUGAGGAUGGAGAAGCCUACAGAGACACAGCCUUCCAUGUAAGGAACAGCAGAAAGAAUUAAAACUGGAGAUGGGAGAACGCGAAGAACCUGGGCAGCUGAUGUUCCUUCCCAGUGAGUCAAUGUGUGAGACACGGGCAGGACGUGAGCAGCUUGUGUGUGUGCAUGUUCACACUCACGUGCAAGGAAGGACCUUUUGUAUUCUUCUGCCUCCUCUUGGUUCGUUUGUCAGCUGCUGCUCACCAUUUUUGUGGAUUGGAAACUUUAAAAUAUUAUUAUUAGAGGGAGAGCCUAGUUCUUUUUUUUUUUUUAAUUUUUUUUUCAACGUUUUUUAUUUAUUUUUGGGACAGAGAGAGACAGAGCAUGAACGGCGGAGGGGCAGAGAGAGAGGAAGACACAGAAUCGGAAACAGGCUCCAGGCUCCGAGCCAUCAGCCCACAGCCUGACGCGGGGCUCGAACUCACGGACCGCGAGAUCGUGACCUGGCUGAAGUCGGAUGCUUAACCGACUGCGCCACCCAGGCGCCCCGCCUAGUUCUUUUUAAUAUUACAAAAUUGCCCUUUGAAAAGUUUGGAUCGGUUCAGUUUUCAUUCUUGAAAAUAGAGUAUAAGAGGGUCUGUUUACUUCACCAGUGGCAACACUCUGGGAUAAUAUUAUUAUCUCCAUUUAUAUAUUUUUUAAAUGUUAAAUGUUUAUUUUUUAUUCUUUUGAGAGAGAAAGCAUGAGCGGGGGAGGGACAGAGAGAGGAGGGGACAGAGGAUCCGAAGCGGGCUCUGUGCUAACAGCAGCAAGCCUUAUGUAGGGCUCAAACCCACGAACCACAAGAUCAUGAUCUGAGUCAAAGUCAGACACUCAACCGACUGGGACACCCAGGUGCCCCUCUCCAUUUAUAUUUUUAAAGUAAUACAUACUUGUGAUGAAAAUUACAUUCAUAUAGUAUAUAACGCUGAAAAAUCUGCAUCUCCCCCUCCUUACCCUGUUCUACUUCCUGUGUUAACCAACUUCAGCCAACCUGAUUUUCGUUCUCCUGAUGAUUGCCACAAAACUAAAUAAUAUGUUUAUACCUCAAUUGCUUGAUUUAUCAACUUUCUAUAGUAUUUAUCGCCUCCUUACUUGAGGAUUUGUGAUAACUUAUCCUCACUAUGUAAAUGAGGAAAUUGUCCCUUUACUCUACCCCCCAUACCCAUUCUCCCUAUUUUCUUCACAUCCUGUCUUCUGCCAUAACUGCCCCAUUCCUUUUAUAAUAUUUAUUGGGUUUGCCGUAGUUAUAUUCCAUUCUGAAACCAAAGUCUUUCAUACUUUUUCUAAAAAUUUAUUCUAAAAUUUGAAAACCAAUAAGACGCUUUUAUAACCGUAAACAUAUAAAAAUUAUUUACUAAAGAAUCAAGGAAGGAAGGAAAUAAUCCAAGCUACUCAAAAGAGAUUGUUCAAAAAUCAAAAUCAGAGAAGUCCUCUUUUCUUACCUUAAUUAGUUUCUCACAUCUAUACCUUAAUUUAGGUUGCUUCUUAUUUUUUUUUAAAGUUUAUUUUUUUACAUUUAUUUAUUUUUGAGAGACAGACUGAGACAGAGCCGUGAGCGGGGGAGGGACAGAGAUAGAGGGAGACACAGAAUCUGAAGCAGGCUCUAGGCUCUGAGCUGUCAGCACAGAGCCCGACACGGGGCUCAAACCCAUGAACUGUGAGAUCAUGACCUGAGCAGAAGUCGGACGCUCAACCGACUGAGCCGCCCAGGCAUCCCUAGGAUUUUACCUCUGAUUUUACACUAGGAUUUUACACUAGGAUUUUACCUCUGAUUUUUUUUUUCUGGGGUUUCUACUUACUUUUUUAAAACUAAUUUACAAUAGAAACAUAUCCUCAUGAUCAUAUCGUUAAGAACAUCCAAUUUCUGGGAGCCUGGGUGGCUCAGUUGGUUAAGCACCUGACUCUUGAUUUUGGCUCGGGUCAUGAUCUCAUGGUUUGUGAGAUCGAGCCCUGCAUGGAGCUCUGCUCUGACUGUGAGGAGCCCGCCUGAGAUUCUCUCUCUCCCUCUCUCUGCCCCUAACCUGCUCAUGUGUGUUCUCUCUCUCAACAUAAAUAAACUUUAAAAAAAAAAUCCUAUUUCUUUUUUUUUUUAAUUUUUUUUAACGUUUAUUUAUUUUUGAGACAGAGAGAGACAGAGCAUGAACAGGGGAGGGUCAGAGAGAGGAAGACACAGAAUCUGAAACAGGCUCCAGGCUCUGAGCUGUCAGCACAGAGCUCGAUGCGGGGCUCGAACUCAUGGAGCGCGAGAUCACGACCUGAGCCGAAGUCGGACGCUCAACCGACUGAGCCACCCAGGCGCCCCAAAAAAAUCCUAUUUCUUAAACAUACCAUUUUGAAUGGCCUAAUUUUAUCUCAUUGUGGUGUAGGUAUAUACCAGUUGCCACCACGUGUUUUUUUUUUUUCAUUUUAAUUAUACCCUUAAGUUAUUUAUAAUAUCUCUUGGAUCCCUUGACUUUCUCUUUCUUGGAUUCUUCUUUCAUCUCAUUGAAGAACACACACAAGUAAUCUUUCAAUGCUAUGGUCUGAAUGUUUGAGUCCUCCCUCCCUCCAAAUUCAUAUGUUGGAAUCCUAAUCUCCAAUGUAAUGGUACUGGAAGGUGGGACCUUUAGGAGCUGCUUAGGUCAUGAGGGUGGAUCCCUUGUGAAUAUAAUUAGCGCCCUUAUAAAAGAGGCUCCAGAGAGUUUAUUUUCUCCUUCUUCCAUGUGAGUUAGUGGCAGUUUGCGCCCCAGAAGAGGGCCUUCACAAACACCUGACCAUGCUGCACCCUGAUCUUGGCCUUCUAGCCCUCAGAACUGUGAAAUAAAAGUUUACAUUAUUUAUAAGCUACCCAGUCUGUGGUAUUUUGUUAUAGUAGCCCCCAAACAAAGACAGUGGAUAAAUGUUUGAGUCUCUGUUUUGUCUAUAGACAUUCUGAAAGUUGAAAAUCAAUAGUCAGUAUUUUGUCAAUCUUAUAAUAUACAAUAUUAUAACUGUAUAAAUACAAUAUUAUAAUAUUAUAACUGUAUAAAUAUUACUAACUGAAAGAUUGAGUAGUGCGGUUCUGAAAAACUCUUUAUGUGCUCUGAUAUUCACUUAGUGAGUAAUUUGGUUGAAUAGAUAAUUCUGGAAAGAAAAAUCACAUUCCUUUGGUAUUUAAAGGCAUUGUUGCACUAGGUUACUCUUCUGGUAUCUGAAAUUACUGACAAGAAGGCCAUGGCCAUGUUAAUUAUUCUUUUAUGAUACUGUAUCUUUACUCCCUGGAGGCAUUGAAAAUCCUCUCUUUGCAUUUCAUGUUCUAAAUUUUAUCACAACAUAUAUGGGUCCUUUUAAAAAUUCUUUUUGUAUAGUCCUCAGCAACUCCUUCCAAUUUGAAAACUCCUUUUUCUUUUGAUAAUGUUUCUCCUUCAUGUUCUCUGUUCUUUCUGGAAUUCCUGCCAGAUAGAUGUUAGACAUUUUUUUUUUUUUGAGAGAAAGAGAGGAGGGGGGAGAAGGGGAGAGGGAGAGAGAGAAUCUUAAGCAGGCUCAAUGCUCAGCAGGGAGCCAGACAUGGAGCUUGAUCCCACAACCCUGGGAUCAUGACCUGAGCCAAAAUCAAGAGUCGGACGCUCAAUCGACAGAGCCACUCGGGCUCCCUAGAUGUUAGACAUUUUGAAUUGAUCCUACAUGCCUUUUAACUUACCCCUCAUAUUUUUCAUCUUUCUCUUUCUAGACUAUAUUCUGGAGUAUUUCUUCAACUUUCUUUCAGCCCUUCUACUGAAGUGUUUAAUUGUCAUGAACUCUGGCUGUCCUUGGUAUAUCCAUUCACAUUUACGAGUAUAUGUUAAUAGUAGAGCAUAUGGCCUUGCACUGCUCACUUUAGAUACAGGGGUAGAAGUCAGGCUGGUGGGAUGCUUCUCACACCCCCGCACAUCCCCUUUUCAUGGCCUUCGCAAGGACAGGCUCACUGUGGAGGGCCCACCGUCCCUCAAGGAGCCCUAGAUCUCCCCGGGCCGACUGUUGAAUUCCCCUAAAGAGCACACUCGUCUCUGAAGGGGGCCAGUACAUGGCCAGCUGCUCUGCACCCGUGGCAGGGAAGCGGUGUGAGUGAAGGUGGCCAACUGGCUCAGCUGCCCACAGCCUGCCCCACAAAUGGUCAUCCUGAUAGCCAACCCGCAUUCCAUUCCUACUUGACCGUUCUGUCAACUCAGAGCUUGGCACCGCUUCUGGAAGAUAGCUCUCCUUCCAGGAGUCCAUCUCUCUCACUGCGGCGUCCUCUCAUACCUCAUAUACAGCUUCCCCCUCUGAGAUUUAUUUGGCAUUUCAAGCCCAAUGACUUUCUAUCUUCUAGAAAAUUAUCAAAAACUCUGCUGAUGUCCCUACCUGCUACAUUCGGCACCACAGUGAAUUUAUUCUCUUGUGUACAUCUUUGCUGCCAUUUCAGUAGAGCUUCUGAGUGGGAGGGAAGGAUCUAGGUGGGCUCACUUCAACUCUCUGAACUAAAACCUAGCGUGGUACUGUUACCCGUUGUAAACUUUGUGUGGGACGUGAAAAAUAUACAUCUCAUCUUUCAUUUGCCUUUCUAUAACUUCUAGUGAGGUCGAGUUGCUCAUACUUGGUUGGUCAUUUUAGCUUCUUCAGUGGGCAGCCUGCUUACAUGAUGCAUGGUUCCAAUAUCAUCCAGGUCCAACAGAUGUUUUUCUCCAGCUCCUUGCACAGGCCACGUGAGGUCACCGAGGCAUGCCGCUCGUGAGCUCUCAGUCCCUGUGUGUCGUAAGUCGUUCUUUAUGAAUUAUUAAUCCACAAAAAUAGAGCUGCCAGUUAAAAGAGCUCAAUGUUCUCCUUUCUCAAUGUUUCCUCCUGCUUCCAUUUCCUGACUUUGUUGAGGAAUGAAGGGAUGUACCACGUCCAGAUGUUCUCUCCUGAAGGCAGGUUUCCAUUGUGCCACCUCCCUGAAUUCUGACUCUCUGCUCUCGGGCCUUGUGGUUGGAGCCCCCUCUUCUUGCCCAUAAAAGGCCUCUGGAACAUGCCAGGCUGGCACCCCUGCCCCAGAUUCCACUCCCCGGCAGGACGUCAGUGUGAGAUGAAAGGCUCUGUGAGUGGCGCCAUUCCUGCAUCUGGUGGUCACAGUGACAGGUACCAAUGCCCAUGAGGUCAACAUCCCGGGACCCCCCCCCCACUUUGGUUUAUAUAAACUGAACGCUCUCUGUCCCCGUAGCUCAGAAUCACAAUGCUACUUGAUUUCAAUAAUCUGAGUACUCUUUGAACAAAGCUCUCUAUUUGGGGAAAGGCAUCAAACCCCUUCUGAAAAUUAACCCUUGGAAAAAAGGCAUGAUAAUCCUGAGAAGACUUGAAGUCAUAUAUGUGCCUCUUAGGACUUUUAUUUUAAGUAAGACAAGGAACUUUAAUACACUCAUGCAGCAAACUGGGAAGAUCUGGGGACUUCAGAACCCACGUUCUCCCUCCCAGCCGCGCAAGGGGCCACGGGACUGUGACUCUACCUGUGGCAGAUAGCCUGUGCCUCAAAGCCUCAAGAAUGAUCCUUCUCCUGCUUACCUCGCAGGUGCACAAACUUCUAAAUUUAGGACAGAUAAAGAGGAGCCAGACAGAAUGGCCUCUAAUGAAAGAUGAGGGGUGGCUUCUCGCAAAACUUCCAGGAAGGCCACAAUUUUAUCUUAAACCAUACUGUCACGGGAAGAAAUGCUGCCUAAGGAGACUCAAAGAAUGGGACUCAAACAGGAACAUCCCAUAGAAACCUUCCAGGGAUCCUCUCUUGCAACUCGUAAAGGCAAAGGACUUUGCAUAUAGUAGAUACUUGUAUCAUUCUGCUAGGGCUGUCCUAACAGAAUACGCAGGCUGGGUGGUGGCUUCAACAGCAGACAUGUGUUUUCUCACGGUUCCUGAAGGUUUGUGGAAGGCUUGGGAGACAGAAGGACUCAGGCAUACUGCCCACACUUGAGGAGCUCAGAGAUCCCUGCAGGCAAUAGACAAUGUCACCAUACCACUCAGUAUGAUAGGUUCUGUGAGAGGAGGGAGCCCUGAGGCAGCCUAUUCUGACUCAGGUGGGACCAGAGUGGUGUCUCCAGGGAGAAUAUGGAUCUCAGUAGGGGCUGGGCAGGCAAAAAAGAGGGUCAGAGAAUACCAGGCAAGGGAGUAGGCCAUUCAAGUCAUAAGAAAGAAAGUCUUGCCCCUUUGUGGCACUCUGAGUAGUUGAGUGUGGUGAGAGGUAGAGCAUAAAGUGGGGGACGGAGGGGCGCCUGGGUAGCUCAGUUGGCUGAGCGUCUGACUCUUGAUUUGGGCUCAGGUUGUCAUCCCAGGGUCAUGGGAUCUAGCCCCGUGUCGGUCUCUGUGCUGAGCAUGGAGUCUGCUUAGGAUUGUCUCUCUCUCCCUCUGCCCCUCUCCUGGCUCACACACUCUCUAAAAAAAAUAAAAGAAAUUAAUUAAUUACUUAAUUAAAGAGUGGGGGAGGGAAGGUAGGCAGGAAAUGAGUCAAGAGGGGAACCAGGACAUAUUAAGGAGUUUGAAUUCUUAGCCCAAAGGAAAUAAAGAGGUAAUCACUAAGGGCGUUAAGUAGGAGAGUCACAACAGCUUUGCAGUUUAGAAAAAGCAAUCGUGUAGCAGGGAUUCCAGACUGAAGGGUGAGACAGGAGGUCAGUGCAUUGGCCCCAGAGAGAGAUGGUACAAUUUCAGUCCAGAGCAGUGGCAGUGAGGAUGGAGAGCAGGAUUGGAUUCAAGAGACAUUUAAGAGCCUGUAUUGGACUUGUGACAGAAUGUUGGAGGUACAGGAGAGGCUGGGGCAAACAUCUAGCUUUCUUUUGGGUACAUGGGUGAAUGACAGUGUCAUUCAUCGCAGUGUAACUAGGAAGAGGAAUAGGUUUGGAAAGAAAGGUGAGCAGGUCGAUGGAGCACACUAAGCUCUGGGGGUCCAUGAAUCCCAAACAGAGAUAUUCAGGAAGAUUGGAUUCAGGGCUCCGGAACUUGGGAGGGGACUGGCUUCGUGCCUGGAAUUUGGGAGACACUGGCAUAUUAGAGUAGGUGCUAUAACAGGAGGGUGUGAGGUCACCCAGCAGAAAGAUGCAGACACCUAUGUCAUUUGAUGGAUGGGGAAACUGAGGCCAACCCAAGCUCUCUCAGCUGAUACAUGGCCGAGCUGGGCCUGGAGUCAAGUCGUCUGCCCUCCAGUUCCACUGCCAUUGCCAAGCUUCUCCAGGGAGCCUGGAAAUGAGCCCAGCCAUACCUGGGAACCAGCAGAUUGUACUUCUGUGGUUCUUCUGCUUUAUCUGUAGUUAGCAGCCCUGGAGCAGCACCUCAGGUGGAAAAGACUUUGCUGUGUUGCUCUUGAGGCUUCUUGGAGGUUAGUGCACAUACCCAUCCUGGAAAUGCCCUUGCAUGGGAUAAGGCAUGAGAUGCACACAUCUGCUGCCAUGUUCAUGCUUGCAUUUGAGGCUUACAGCUGCCCAACAGGCCUCUCACUUCCCUGCCUCCUUCUCUAGACUCUGCCCACAUUAGGCUCUUUGCUUUACCUCUCCUCUCCACCAGACUUUGCCUAUGUUAGUCCCAUUCCAUCUCCACUCUAGAAUCUAGGUUCUCUGCUAGACCAGUGAGAAAGCAAUUCCUGCUAAGAUGAGCGCUAACAGGUUCAUGAGAAAUCCACCCCAUGGUACCUACUCUUUCUAACCAGAGUUCCUGGAGACAUGUAGGCAGUGGUGCUAACGGCAAGAAUUUCAAGUGACUUGGCAGAUUAUUGAGGAAAGGAUAGGAGUGUGAGCAGGAGAGGAAGCAGAGAGAAAGCUGGGAAGUAGAUCUCCAUGAGUAUAUUUCAUAUCACAUUAAGGUGUUCGGAUUUGAGUUUUAUUCAACAUCGUGAGAUAGGAGUCUGCCGGUCCACAAACCCCUUUUUGUAAUGACAGUUGAUGUUCUAUUUUACCACCUGGGAAAACAAUUAUGUGUGCUGACUGUGUACACACACACACACACACACACGCCGCACAAGCAUCUCUCACCUCCUGGUGUGAAAUACAACAGAGGCAGAGUAAGAGCAGUUUUCAAAUCAAGACUGCAAGUUUCAAAUCUACUUUCUCAAGUAUUGUGAGUGAUAUUGGUGGAUCCAGGGCUGGGCCAGCUUUGAAGCCCACUCAGAAAUAGUGUUUACUAAGGGAUGGGUUGAGAAGAAAUCCUCUGCAUGAGGGAUGUUUUUCUCUCUUGGCAAAAUAUAGUUUGCUGCUUUCAAGCUAAUGAAAAGAAGAGUGGAAAAAUAAACAUCUGAAAGGUCCUUUAAAGGAAGUGCAAAUCUGGACAGACUGAGAAACACAAAACAGUCUGUCCUGCUCCUGCUUGUCCUGUUCCAGCCAAGACUCAAGCCACAGUGACCUCAGGGUCACUGAAAUAAAGAGCCCAUUGGGGUUGGGGCUUGGAAUGGAGUAAGGUUGUCUGGCCCAUGAGGCACAGACAGCGGGCUUAUCACAAGGGUCUAAAACUCUAUGCAGGCCCUGGGGCAUCCUGCCUGCCUGCCUGGGUAGCAGAUGGUUGGCGGCCUGACCCUCUGCUGUAACUCCCAGAGAAGCGCUAGACCUCAGGUGGCGGGUCAAGCCCAGCCUUCGUCCCAGCUGCAGACAGGAAAUGCUGAAGCACUGGGAACCAGGGCAAUGGAGUUCAAGAAAUCACAUGCUCUCUGGCUGGAAUAGAAUCUCAAGGCUGUCCAGUCACACUCCCACCAGUUGGCGUCUGAAUUUCCUCUACAACAUUCCCAUCCGGUGGUCAUUAAGCCAGAGCUUGAGGAGCCCCCAUGACAGGACAUGAUUAUCCUUUAAGGAAGGCCGUUUUAUCUUCGCACGGUUCUGACUGGAGGGGCAGUCUUGCUGACACUGAGUCUGAGCGCCUUCCGAAUCUCAACUACCCAGUGCGAGAUGAUCCGCAGUCACAUAGAUGCAAAAAUUCUUAACCAAAAUUUAACAAACAAAACCUACAGCACACAAAAAAAACAAAACAAAAAAACAAUCAGCUGUGACCAAAUGGAGUCCAGCACAGCUAUGCAGGAUGGUUUAAUGUUUGAAUACUAACCAGUAUAAUUCUUCAUAUUAGCAGACUCCAAAGGAAAAACUGUAUGUAUGAUCAAGUCAACCGAUGCAGAAAAAGCAUUUGACAAAAUUCAGUGAUUCCUAAUAAAAACUGACAUCAAAGUAGGAACGGAAUGGAAUUUUCUCAGCUUAAUAUGGAACAUCUACGAAAAACCAACAGCCAGCAUCAUACUUAUUAGUGAAAGACUGAAUUCUUUCUAAGAAUAGAAACAGGAAGGUUAUCUGUUCUCAUCACUCAUAUUUAACAUAAUACUGGAAAUUAUAACCACAGCACUAGGGUAAGAAGAAAGAAAUUAAAAGCAUACAGGUUGGAAAGGAAGAAAUAAAGCUGUCUUUAUUUGCAGAUGUUAUGAUUAUCUACAUAGAAAAUCCCAAGGAAUCUACAAAAGCAAAAAAACACCUCUUUCAAUUUAUAAGUGACUGCAGGAAGAUAGAAUACAAGAAAAACACACACAAAACAAUCACAGUUCUGUGGACACUAAAAUUAAAACCACAAUACCAGGAGCACCUGAGUGGUUCCAUUGGUUCAGUGUCUGACUCUUGAUUUAGGGUCAGGUCAUGAUCUAACAGUUUGUGAGAUUGAGCCCCAUGUCAGGCUCUGUGCUCUCUCUCUCUCAAAAUAAAUAAAUAAACUUAAAAAAACCCACCGUAUCAUUUAUAAUCACUUUAAAGAAAAUGAAAUACUUACAUAUACAGUUAGCAAAACAAUGUAUAGUAUAUAUAGGCUGAAAAUUGCAAAAAGCUAGUGAAAGAAAUUAAAACCUAAAUAAGCGUAGGGGGUGCCUGGGUGGCACAGUCAUUUAAGUGUUUGACUCUUGAUUUCAGCUUAGCUCAUGAUCUCACGGUUUAUGGGAUCAAGCCCUGCAUCUGGCUCUAUGCUGACAACAUGGAGCUUGCUUGGGAUUCUCUCUUUCCCUCUUUCUCUCUGUCCCUGCUCUUGCUCUCCCUCUCUCAAAAUAAAUAAACUUUAGGGGCGCCUGGAUGGCGCAGUCGGUUAAGUGUCCGACUUCAGCCAGGUCACGAUCUCGCGGUCCGUGAGUUCGAGCCCCGCGUCAGGCUCUGGGCUGAUGGCUCAGAGCCUGGAGCUUGUUUCCGAUUCUGUGUCUCCCUCUCUCUCUGCCCCUCCCCCGUUCAUGCUCUGUCUCUCUCUGUCCCAAAAAUAAAUAAACGUUGAAAAAAAAAAUAAAAAAUAAAUUAAAAAAUAAACUUUAAAAGAAAUAAAUAAAACCUAAAUAAAUGAAAAGACAUACCCUAUUUAUGGACUAGAAGGCUCAAUAUAGUUAAAUAUAUCACUUCUCUCCAAAUUGAUCUGUAGGUUUAAUGUAAUUUCUUUUCUUAAUUUUAAUUCCAGUAUAAUUAACAUGCAGUGUCAUGUCAGCUUCAGGUGUAUAAUAUAGUGAUUCAAAAUUCUGUAUGUUACCCAGUGCUCAUCAUGACUGAGUGUACUCUUAAUCCCUUUCACCUAUUUCACCCAUCCCCUCAUCCACAACUCCUCUGGUAACCAUCUCUUUGUUCUCUAUAGUUAAGAAUCUGUUUUUUGGUCUGUCUCUGUUUUUUUUUUUUUUGUUGUUGUUGUUCAUUUGUUUUGUUUCUUUUUUUAAAGUUUAUUUAUUUUAAGAGAGAGAAAGCGGGGAAUGGGCAGAGAGAGGAGAGAGAGAAUCCCAAGCAGGCUCAGUGCUGUCAGUGCAGAGCCCAACACGGGGCUCGAACUCACAAACCAUGAGAUCAUUACCUGAGCUGAAAUCAAGAGUUGGUCACUUAACCGAUUGAGCCAUCCAGGCUCCCUGUUUUGUUUUUUAAUUUCACAUAUGAGUGAAAUCAUAUGGUAUUUGUCUUUCUUUGACUGACUUAUUUCACUUAGCAUUUUACUCUCUAGAUCCAUCCAUGUUGUUGAAAAUGGCAAGGCUUCAUUCUUUCCAUGGUUGAGCAACAUUCCAUUUUGUAUAUACACCACAUAUUCUUUAUCCUGCAUCUAUCUAUAGGCACUUGGGAUGCUUCCAUACCUUGGCUAUUGUAAAUAAUGCUGCAAUAAACAAGAGUACAUAUAUCUUUUUGGACUAGUGUUUUUGUAUUCUUUGGGUAAAUACCCAGUAGUGGAAUUACUAGGUCAUAUGGGAAUUCCUAUUUUUAACUUUUUGAGGAACCUCCAUACUGUUUUCCACAGUGGCUGCCCCAGUUUGCAUUCACACCAGUAGUGCGCAAGUGUUGCUUUUUCUUCACAUCCUUGCCAACACUUGUAGAUUCUUGCAGUUUUGUUUUUAGCCAUUCUGACAGGUGUGAAGGAUACUCAUUGUGCUUUUGACUUGCAUUUCCCUGAUGAUGAGUGAGGCUGAGCAUCUUUUCAUGUGUCUUUGGCCAUAUGUCUUUGGCCAUCUGUCUUUGGCCCAUUGGUCUUCUUUGGAGAAAUGUCUAUUCAUGUCUUCUGCCCAUUUUUUAAUUGGGUUAUUUGUUUUUAUGGUGUUGAUUUGUAUAAGUUCUUCAUAUAUUUUGGACACUAACCCAUUAUUGGAUGUGUCAUUUGCAAAUAUCUUCUCUCAUUCAGUAGGUUGUCUUUUUACUUCUGUUGAUUGUUUCCUUUGCUCUGCAGAAGCUUUUUGUUUUGAUCUACUCCCAAUAGUUUAUUUUUGCUUUUGUUUCCCUUACUUCAAGAGACAUAUCUUUUAAAAAUGUUGCUAUGGCCGAUGUCAGAGAAACAAACUGCUGCCUAUUCUCAUCCAGGAUUUUUGAGGUUUUAUGUCUCAUAUUUAAGCCUUUAAUCCAUUUUGAGUUUGUUUUUGUGUAUGGUGUAAGAAUACACAAAAUGUAUGGUCCCAUUUCAUUCUUUUGCAUAUAGCCAUCUAGUUUUCCCAACACCAUUUGUUGAAGAGACUGUCUUUUUCCUGUUGCAUAAUCUUGCCUCCUUCAUCAAAGAUUGACCAUAUAAUCAUGACUAUAUCUCUGGACUCUCUAUUCUGUUCCAUUGAUCUAUGUGUUUAUUUCUGUGUCUGUACCGUACUGUUUUGAUUACCGUAGCUUUGUACUUUAUUUUGAAAUCUGGGAUUGUAAUACCUCCAGUUUUGUUCUUCUUCUUUCAAGUGUGCUUUUGACCAUUCAGGGUCUUUUAUGGUUCCAUAUAAAUUAGGAUUAUUUGUUCUAAUUCUGUGAAAAAUGUUGUUGGUAUUUUCAUAGAGAUUGCAUUAAAUCUGUAGAUUGUUUUGGGUGGUAUAGAUAUUGUAACAACAUUUGUUCUUUUAAUCCAUGACCAUGGAAUGUCUUUCCAUUUGUUUGUGUCAUCUUCAAUUUCUUUCAUCAGUAUUUUAUAGUUUUCAGAGUGCAGGUCUUUCACCUUUUUGGUUAAAUUUAUUUCUAGGUAUUUUAUUAUUUUUGGUGCAGUUGAAAAUGAGAUUGUUUUCUUAAUGUCUCACUUGCCAUUUCAUUAUUAGUGUAUAGAAAUGCAACAGAUUUUUAUAUAUUGAUUUUUUAUCCUGUGACCUUACUGAAUUCAUUGAUUACUUCUAGUAGUUUUUUGGUGGAGUCUUUCGGGUUUUCUAUAUAUAGUGUCAUGUCAUCUGCAAGUAGUUAAAGUUUUACUUCUUCCUUAUUAAUUUGGAUGGCUUCUAUUUCUUUUUCUUGUAUGACUGCUGUGGCUUGGACUUUAGUACUUUGUUGAAUAAAAGUGGUGAGAGUGGGAAUCCUUGCCUCGUACCUGACCUUAGCGGAAAAACUUUCAGUUUUUCACCAUUGAGUAUGAUAUUAGCUGAGGGUUUUUCAUAGGAGGCCUUUAUUAUGUUGAGGUGGUUUUAAUGUAACUUCUAUCAAAAUCUCAGCAAGGUUUUUUGUAGAUAUAUACAAACUUAUUCUAAAAUUUAUAAGGAAAGGCAAAGACUCUAGAAUAAUGAAAACAAUCCUGAAAGGGAAGAAGGUGGGAAGAAUCACUUUCCCCAAUAUUAAGACUUAAUAUACAUUUAAAGUAAUAAAAACAGUGUGGCUUUUAGUAGACGGAUAGACACAUAGAGCAAUAAAACAAAACAGAGGACCAAGAAAGACUCAUACAAUAUGCCUGAUUUUUGACAAAGGUGCAACAGCAAUUCAAAGGAGGAAAGAUCACCUUUUCAACAAAUAUUGCUCAAGCAAUUAGACAUGGAUGGGCAAAAAAAAAAAAAAAGGUUUUUGGCAGGGAGUCCUGCCUUUUGUUUGUGAAAAAACAUGGAUGGACCUUGAGGGCGUUAUGCUAAGUGAAGUAAGUCAGACAGAGAAAGAUGCUGCAUGGUACCACUUAAAUGUGAAAUCUAAAAAAAGUCAAACUCAUAGAAACAGGGGGUAAAGUGGUUAACAGGGCCUGGGGGGAGAGAAAGAAGGAAAGGUUGGUGAAAGGGUCCAGACUGCCAGCUAUAAGAUGAAAAAGUCUGAGGAUCUAAUGUAUAACAUGGUGACUCUUGUUGAUAACAUUGUAUUUUACAAUUGAAAUUUGCUAAGAAAUUAGAACAUUAAGUGUUCUUACCGAAGCAAAACAAAACAAGGCAAGGAUGUAAGGUGAUAGAUAUGUUAAUUAACUCAAGGGAGGGAAUAGGUUAAUAGCAUAUAUGUCUAUCAAAUCAUCAUGAUGUACACUUUAAAUAUUUUAUAAUUUUAUUUUUCAAUUGUACUUCAAUAAGGAUGAAAAGACCCAGAGUGAGUGGCUAAAGAAACUAUGUAUAUCCAUAUCAUAGAAUACUACUUAGCAGUAAAAGGAAAUGAACUAUGGGACCCCUGGGUGGCUCAGUCAGUUAAGCACCCAACUCUUGAAUUCCAGCUCAGGUCAUGAUCUCGCAGUUUGGGAGAUGGAACCCCACUUUGGGCCCACACUUGGGAUUCUCUUUUUCUCUGCCCCUCCCCCACUUGCGCUCUCUCUCUCUCUCUCUCUCUCUCUCUUUCAAAAAUAAAUAAAUAAAUUUUAAAAAAAGAAAUGAACUAUUGAUACGCUUAACUUGUAUGAGUCUCCAGAAAACUGUGUUGUGUGAAAAAAGCCAAUCUCAAAAGAUUAUAGUCUGUGCAAUUCCAUAUGUAUGACAUUUUUGAAAUGACAAAAUAGUAGAAAUGGAGAACAGAUUCAUGGUUGCCAGUGGUCAGAGAUGGGUGGAGAGGAGGGAAGUGGUAUGGCUAUAAAAAGGCAACAGAAGAGAUCUUUGUGGAAAUGGGAAGAUUCUACACCUCGACUGCCCUACCUGGCUGUGAUAUUGUACUAGGUUUUUUAAGAUGUGACCAUUUGGGGAAACUGGAUAAAGAAUACAAUGGAUCUCUGGGGGUGCCUGGGUGGCUCAGUCGGUUAAGCGUCUGACUUUGGCUCAGGUCAUGAUCUCACAGUUUGUGAGUUUGAGCCCCACAUCAAGCUCUGUGCUGACAGCAUGGAGCCUGCUUUGGAUUCUCUGUCCCCCUCUCUCUGCCCCUCCACAGCUCUGUCUCUCUGUCAAAAAUAAAUAAACAUUAUAAAGAAAUUAUGUAUGUAUAUAUAUAUAUAUAUAUACACACACACAUAUAUAUGUGCGUGUGUAUCUACACACACACACACACACACGCACACACACACACACACACACACACAUACACAUACACACAGACUCCCAAGGCCCAGAAUCAGAAUCUUCAGGGGUGAGAUGCAGGUGUCUAAUAUAAAAUCUGCCUGGAUUUGAAACCACUGAGAUGGGGAAUAACAUGAGGUAAGCAAUAAGAAUGAAAUAGGUUGGGAUGGAGUGUGGUGCUAUGUGAUGGAAUGGGCCUUGAAUUUCUUGCUCAAAAGUUUUAAGAUUACGAAAUAGAAAUUUCUGAGAAGGGAAGUGAUGUGAGUAAAACAAAGCUGCCACAACUGAAGAAGUUUCAGAAGUGGUGGUUCCUGUGUAUCCAUAGAAUGGUAACGACUGGUUGACUCUUCCUAAGUUUCAAGAAUGCCAAAGGCUGGUCAAUGCUUUCUUUGCUAACCACAUUAAUAAAUGAUGUAAUUGCAUCAUGUGAUUCUACAAUUCUGGAUGAUGAUUUUCUCAGUGAUUUUUGUGCCAGAAGUUCUUUAUCUUUAUGAACAUAUUCCUAGUCUCUACAUUUCAAAUAUUCUGCCAUGCAGGAUGAGAGGUUUGAUCCUGUCAUGAUUUUUAAAGGGGCAUCAGAAGGUGGCUGUCCAGCUCAUGACACUCUUCCCUGAGAACCGCCCCUGCUCUGUCCAUAGUAGUGCACAACGUUUAGCAGCUAUGCUUGAGCUAUAUGGCCUUGUUCACCUAGGUGAGACAGAGUCCCCAGGAGAUCAGAAUUAAGAUAAAUAGACAUGAACUGGCCUUCUCUGGUCCUGUAACCUGUGCACGGGCCAUUCAGGUGUUGCGGGAUGGGAUGGCUGAAGUGGUGAAGGUCAUCCUGCAGAGAGAGAGAAGGCAGCUGAUUCAGGGAGAGGCAGAAGCCAGGACUGACUGGGGCUCUUGGGGCUCAGUGACUCUCAGCUCUCAGUCACUUCCUGUCUUGGGUGACCCCAAAGCCCCCACAACCUUGCAAUAUGCCCUUUUUCCUGCCACAGCUGCUUUGAAGUGGCAUUCUGUUAUGAGCCAAUUCAGGGACUUGAUUUUGAUAGUGAAUACCGUCAUAAACCCACUUACACCUGUUACUUUCAUUAUGCCGAUUGAAAAUUAACAAAGGAAUUUUGUACAAUUAUCUCCAAAGGUGAAUUCGUAUCCAGUGCUUUUUGCUUUUCCUUAAAGUAACAGUGAUGCUGACUUUUCCGGUCAAAGAGGAAACCACUGACCAAGACAGGACUGAGGUGGUUUUCUGGAAAGGAGAUAGAAGGAGGAACCUCUUCCCAUGUCCAGGCAGUGGCGCAAAGAUUGAAGCUCAGAAACAAAACCAUCCUGAAGUUAAAACACUUCCUGCUAUUGGCCUCUCUUUCUCCAUUUGGAAAUUCUGUCUUAAUAUCUCCUUUAAACUCUCCAGACCUUAACUUGAGGCUUUUUCUGAGGAGACCGGGAAACAGCUGUGAUUGGUGUCUCUCCUGUACAGACAAGCUGUCACUAAAGUGCUGUUCAGCCCUUUUUUUGUAGGCUAACCAACUCCCUUCCCCUCAGCUCUGCAACCUGUGAUCUUUGCCGCUCUACCCAGACUGUUAUUCACUUGCUCUUCCUUUCCUUGCUGCCCCUCCCGGCUCAGUGCCCACAUUGGGGUUGGUGCAGAGAAAUGGAGGUUAAAUCCUCUCUUUCUCCCUCCCAGAGUUUCCAUUAGUGUCUUCUCUUCCUUCCCUUCCAUUCUUUAUGCCAUUUCCAAAGUUCAGGUCUCAUCAACUCUUACCUGCCUUGUGGGACUAAGACCUCUGCCCUCCCCUGCCUUCCUGCUGCCUGCAUUUAUCUGCCCACAGAUUCCUUCCUUGACCAAGUCAUGUUCUAAGGCCUUGCUGUGAUCCUAUCACUCCCUUGCUCCAAAGCCUUUCCUCUUGCAUAUGGAAGAAAGUGUAGACUCUAGGUUCGUGUAUUCACUCCGUUCUCUAUGAGCGGGCCCAACUGAUCUCCCACUGAACCCCCUUUGUGCUUCCUGUGGUCCAAUCCAGUAUGCUGGGUGCCCAACAUGACCCCGUGAACCUGCCUAUGUUUUCUGGCUUCUGCACACCCUCUGUCCAAACUUUCUUCCCCUUUCUCAGCUUGUCCAAGUCCUAUGUGUUCUCCUCUAGCUGGGUGUGCCUUUCUUUGUGAUUCUCCUAGUCAGAAUGAAUUAAUCUGCGCCACCCAGUCACACAGUUUAUGUUUUUGUUCAUAAAACUUUUCAGGGUCUGGCCUGUAGUCCCAGAAUAUGCACCUGUCCUUCCCACUAGAAAGCCAGUGCUUUGAGGACAAGCCGGGCCCUGCUGCUCCCAGUAAGUUCCAGGUCCCUAAUUCAACGCAGGGCACGGCAGUGUGUGAUCUCCGCAUGUUGGUUGGGUUAAGUUUGCAAAACUACGUGCCCAUAGGCAAGCUGUGUGCCCACAGCAGUUUCCUCUGGCCAUGUGACUACUGUUUUAGAAGAUGCAUGAGGUCAAAUGACUCAGCAAAAUUUUGCAGGCCAAAUGACAGGAAGUAAGAGCUUCAGAAGCUGACUCGAUUAACACUGAUCUAAAACACAUGUGUCUGGAGCCCCGGUGCCGGUGUGGGAAGAUUUUCCACGGCAUAUGCCAAGGGUCUGCAGCCUGAUCCUGUGCCCCGGGAGGAGCCAACGCACCACAGGCUCCCCUUGGCAUCUGCUUUCGCAUCGAGGGCACUUAGGAAGCCUGCGGGGCCUUGAGCACACCUGGAGUUACGCCUCCCCUAGCCAAGAAAUCCAUCUGCCCGGAUUUCCCAGAUAAUGGAAACUUGCCCCUAAAGGCACCAAAACUUUUCAAAGUAAAAUCCGUUUUUGAUCAACAGUUUCCAAACAGAAGAACACAUUCCUGUGCUUUCGUGUCUUCUCAAGCUGUCAUGAAUGUUAUUUGACCACCUCUUGAUAGCUCUGGGCUGACCUCAGGUAUAUUAGUUGCCGUUUUUCCCAUGGGUGGCCCACUUCACUGCUACUGUUUUACCUUCAAAUAAUAACAAUUACAACAAAAAUAGCCAGCAUUUAUGAGCCCUUCCUAUGUGUGCGGCUCACGGAGGGACACUGUACGUAAUGAUUUCAUUUUGGCUUCACGACAUCCCUAAAAGGGAGAUGUUAUUUUUCCCAGGUUUGGGGUGUGAAAACUGAGGAGCUGGUUAAGUAACUCGCCCACGGUUACAUGGCAAGUUAAAUAAUGGACAGUGGUCCUAACUCAGGCAGUCAGCUCCAGAGCCCACGCUGGCAAGUCCUUUACUCUGCGGCUUCCAUCGACUCAUCCAGGGACUUUCCUGGGCUUAACACUGAAAACUCUCAGUCCAGGAAAAACCACGGUGGUUGGCCACCCUAGCUUGAAAGCAAGAAAGCUUUCGCUCACCAGAACACCUGGCUUUUGUAAACCAGACCUGUGACUUGCUGUCAUCUACCCCUGACCAUCGACGAUCGGAAAAGAACCUCUGAACCGGGUCAGACCAGGAGGGCCCGACAGAGAAACAGGUCCCUUAAGACAGUUAAUGUUGCUCUCCUUGAAGACAUGUUUGUUCAACACGAGUGGGGGGUGAGAAACUUCCACGAGUAAAAAUCACAUAUUUCUUUCUUUAUAUUCGAAACAGGAAACGGCUACACACAUUUAUUGUGGGCAGUUUUCUACGUCAGACUGUGUUUGCGAGGCAUGUUAAAGAACAUCUCAUUCAGUUAGCGAAAAAUAAAGAACACCUCACUUCCAAGGAACAGUAUCUCAGGCGUUACGCAUUACUCAGCUUCACAGGCCAGCUGACCGUGACUCAUCUCUGCGCGUGCACACAGGUGGCAGGGAGACAGGUCCGCUUGCAGCCGUGCCCCACUGCUUGCACGGAGACAUCGCAAAAAGGAAGGCUUCCCUGGAAAGACCGACAACGGUGAAGUCUGCAUUAAGGAACCUCUUCCAUCCAUAGGAAUAGUUGCAAGUGAAACCCUGAGUUAACUGAUCCCACACUUCUGGUUUAUUCCAGUGGGGUUUUAGCGCUCCUUCAAAACCAGUGGCUGCACCUUUCUGGGGACCUCCUCCUUAAUCUGCCUGGCGCUCUGGCCCAAGGAAAGUGGAUGGGCUUUGUGACUGCCUUUUCCUCAAAGGCCUUUUCCAAAAUCUUUCAUAGCUGGGAAAUCAAGGUCAAUGGCAAUCUGGCCCCCAGAAUGGCAGGGCUGCUGUAUUUGGAGACUGUUGCUUCCACAGGAUAUUAAGUGCUCCUCUGAGAGUUCAAGAUUAAUUUCUAGGCAAAGCAAGUGCAGUGGCUUUCUGCCUCACUUCUCGCAUUUGUGUAAGCCUGGACAUUAUCUUGGCGGGAAGACAACGUUUUAAGGAAAGAGGAGGCAGAGGAAAACUGAUCAGCCUAAUGGCAAGAUGGAUGCUGCCGUCUUCCCCACAGAAGCUCCUGGCUUAUCUUGCAUUUGCUUUGAGGCAGCUUCCGACAGGAACUGCACUCAGAGCCAGGCCCUUGGGGGUGCCCUUGAGCCUCUCCAGAGGGAUCCCCAGCUCCAAGCAGGCAGUGGGCAUUUGAUCAGUCAGCCACAUUACUCUUCAAUGAGUUAAAUAAUUUUUUUAGGAAUCAGGAACCAAAGAGUUUGAGAUUGCCAGAAAAGGUAACAAAUUUGCUUUUCCUUAACUGUAUAAAAAAUUGUCCCAUGGAAAAUUAUAAGGGCAUUUUUAAAGGGCAUUGGAGUUUUGUUUUCCAUUUUCUUCUUAAAUUUAAUUUAGCUAUUUAGGGAAUUGCUUAUUAAAACCAAAAGAUCAAGAUAUUUUCUCCCUUAAAGCCACAUCUGGUCUGUUUUCUUUCAUGGGACGUUCAUAGCAUCUUCAGGGAGGGAAGUGAUCACCUCUACUGGGGGAGCCAGCACUAUUCUGGUCCAGUCUCCAUAAAUACUAUUAUUCAGUUUGUGCUUUUCCCAACUCUCAACUACCUGGCCCAUUCAUGGGCUUUUGAAUGUUGCAUGGAAUUUCUGCAAAUUGCCACUGACACGGUAUUGAAAGCCUGCACAGGCAAACACCUCUGUGCUAUGGUGGGAUCCUAGAUGGACUUGGCUGUGACCCACAGCAAAGUUAGACCCUGAAACACAGUCUCUCUCUGCAGGAGCCUGUCUUCCCCAAGAACUUUAAGUGAGGACCCCAACUUAUUCUGUUCAGUUACCUCAAUACCCAAAUAGAAAAACCUGUUCAGACCAUCCACUUAAUGGGAAUAGAGGCAGAAAAGGCUGACCAAAGUGGGUAGGCUCAGAAAUGUAAAGCCAUUUUCAAAGUAAUAAAAUCUGACUUCAAAUUAAUGCAAUCAAAAUGAACUAUAAUUUGAGUUAUUUGUGUAAGGUGUUAAGGCCCAAAGUAAUAAUGACAUCUUGAAAGUUAAAAUUAAAAGAAAGAAAGAAGAAAGAAAGAAAGAAAGAAAGAAAGAAAGAAAAAAUGUACUGAAGUUAUGACCCCUUCCAAAUGGAUGUACCGAGGUAAAAGCUAUGAAACCCUUGUUCUUUGGCCCUUUACAUUAGUUUAACGCAAGGUAGAUCCAGUCAUCCUCAUGAUUCACAGAUUCCAUAUUUGCAAAUGUGCCAGUGGCUAGAAUGUAUCUGUUCUCCCCAAAUCAGCACUCCCUGUUCUUCUGCGCUCACUAGAGACAGCAUGAAAUUUGAGGCGCCCACUGCACUGCUUUCUGGCUUUCUAGCUGAGCAACACCACUGAGUUCCAACAACGGUAUGCUCUACCUUCUUGUUUCCACUCUCUUCCUAUAAAUAAACAUCCUUUUCACAGUCUAUUUAGUGUCACGUUUUUCACAUUUUGGUGUCUUUUCCUGGUGAUUUCAUGGUUUAAAAUGACUCCCAAGCGAUGUGCUGACGUGCUGGCCAAGAUUGCAAAGCUCCAGGCUCUAAGGGGCCUUAUGGAGAGAAUACAUGCAUUAGACGCCAUGCAGGCAUGAGUUACGGUGCUGUUUGCCGCAAGUUCAAUGUUAAUGAAUCAACAGUAUAUAUAAUAAGGUGUCUUUCAACACAAACAUCCAUAAAACAAGGUUAUAUAUUGAUGGGUGGAGGAAACCGCUGUGACCAGAGGAUCACAGGAACCUAACCCUGUAUUUACAUUGAAAGGGUGGUUCAGUGUUUGCUAAUUCAACGUUCAUAGAAACUUUAUGAAACAUAACUACCACAAAUAAUGAGAAUAUUUUCUCAAGCUUAUAACUGCCCUUUUAAGGAAUUUCAACUCACAUGUGUCUCUUUGUUGUCAGUUUCUGUUCACCCUCACUUAUUAAGUAUCGAUUGUGUGGGAAACAUGAUGAUAGUUCCUUAGAGGGUCCAGAGAUGACUAAUGCCAGUAUCCUUGCCUUUCAGAAGCUUCUGGUCCAACAGAGACAAGAAUUUGGAUUGAUGGAGCCUAACAGCAUGAGGUAAGAAAACUAAUACCUGUUCAGGUGUUUAUCAUCACAGAAUCAUAAACUGCAAGACUUUGAAAAAUCUGGCCCACUGCCUCCUCCUCCAAUACCGCUCUCACCUGGCUUCCAGGGUAACAAACCAUAUCCCCAUUCUCUCCUAAUCCCCACAUUCUCCUGCUGCUAAGUGUCGGGGUGCCCCAGAACUGAAUCCUUGGAUCACAUUCUAUCUACACUCACUUCCUUUGUCAUAUCAUCUGCCUUUCUGAUUUGAAAUAUUAACACUGAUGACACUCCCUCACCUCAAAAUUCACAUAUCCACCUACCUAUCUGACUUCUCCAUUUGAAAGUGCAAGGGGAUGGGGUGCCUGGGUGGCUCAGUUGGUUAAACCAUCCAACUCUUGAUUUUGGCUUGGGUCAUGAUGCUGCGGUUCAUGAGAUCAAGUCCCACAUCUCCCUCUCUCUCUCUCUCUCUCUCUGCCCCUUCCCUGCUCUCUCUCAUUCUCUCUCUCUCUCUCUCUCUCAAAAUAAGUAAAUCAACAUUUUUUUAAAAAAAGAAAACAAAGGCCAAGGGGCAUGUCAGAAUUAUCUCAAACUCCUAAUAUCGGCUUCUGAUCUCACCCCACUCCAACCUUCUUCAUGUCAAUAAAUAUGUCACUUUGUCUGUAGAAGAUUUAUUUCAUUUAUUUUAUUCUAUUUAUUUUUUCCAAAAAUAAAUCACACAACAAUAUAUCCACUCACAUGUGCUCUUGCCAUUUCCCCAUCAAGAGAUGGAGUCUAUUUCCCUCUCUUUGACUCUUGGCAGAACUUUGUAAUUGCCUUGAUGCAUAAUGUUGCAGAAGUCAGGCAAGAGUUCCACGGUGAUGUCAUAAGUUUGAUACACAAAAUACCAACAGCAUUUUUCACAAAAUUAGAAUAAAUAAUCCUAAAAUUUGUAUGGCAACACAAAAGACCCCAAACAGCCAAAUCAAUCUUGAAAAAGAACAAAACUGGAGGUAUCACAAUCCCAGAUUUCAAGAUACACUACAAAACUAUAGUAAUUAAAACAAUAUGGUAAUGGCACAAAAAUAGACACAUAGAUCAAUAGAACAGAAAGCCCAGAUAUAAACUUAUGAUUAUAUGGUCAAUUAAUCUUUGGCAAAGGUGGCAAGAAUAUGCAAUGGAAAAAGUCUCCUUAAAUAAUGGUGUUAGGAAAACUGGACAGCAAAAGAAUUCUGCAAAAGAAUGAAAUUGGACCACUUUCUUAUACCAUACACAAAAACAAACUCAAAAUGGAUCAAAGGCCUAAAUGUGACCUCUGAAACCAUAAAAAUUCUAGAUGAGAGCACAGGCAGUAAUUUCUCUGACAUCAGCCAUAGCAACAUUUUUUUAGGUAUGUCUCCUGAAGCAAGAGAAACAAAAGCAAAAAUUACCUAUUAGGACUAUAUCAAUAUAAAAACUUCUGCACAACAAAGGGAACAAUCAACAAAACUAAAAGACAACCUACUGAGUGGGAGAAGAUAUUUACAAAUGACAAAUCUAAUACAGGAUUAGUAUCCAAACUAUAUAAAGAACUUAUACAAAUCAACAUCAUAAAAGCAAAUAGCCCAAUUAAAAAAUGGGCAGAAGACAUGCACAGACAUUUCUCCAAAGAAGGCAUUCAGAUGACCAAUAGACACAUGAAAAGCUACUCAACCUCACUCAUCAUCGGGGAAAUGCAAAUAAAACCAGAAUGAGAUAUCACCUCACACCUGCCAGAAUGGCUAAAAUCAAAGCCACAGAAACAACAAGUGUUGACAAGGAUGUGUAGAAAAAGGAACCCUCUUGCACUGUGGUGGGAAGGCAAACUGGUGCAGCCACUGUGAAAGACAGUAUGGAAGUCCCUCAAAAAAAUAAAAAUAGGAAUUACCAUAUGACCUAAUAAUUCCACUACUGGGUAUUUACCCAAAGAAUACAAAAACACUAAUUCAAAAGAUAUAUGUACUCCUCUGUUUAUUGCAGCAUUAUUUACAAUAGCCAAGAUAUGGAAGCAACCCAAGUGUCCAUUGGCAGAUGAAGGAUAAAGAUGUGGUAUAGGGGCACCCGAGUGGCUUAGUUGGUUAAGCGUCCAACUCUUGAUUUUGGCUCCAGUCAUGAUUUCACAGUUCGUGGGUUCGAGCCCCACCUCAGGCUCCACAGGUGUGGACCCUGUUUGAGAUAUUCUCUCUCUCUCUCCCCACCUCUGCUCCUCCUGUGCUCAUGUUUUCUCUCAAAAUAAACAAAUAAACUUAAAAAAAAGAUCUGGAAAGAUGUGGUAUAUAUAUGCAAUAGAAUACUACUCAGACAUGAAAAGAAUAAAAUUUGCCAUUUGCAACAGCAUGGAUGGAUCUAGAUAGCAUAAUGUUAACUGAAUUAAGUCAGUCAGAGAAAGACAAUACCAUAUGAUUUCACUCAUGUGGAAUUUAGGAAAUGAAACAAAUGAACAAAGAAAGAAAGAGACACCAAAAACUUAAAUAUAGAGAACUGAUGGUUAUCAGAGGGAAGGUGGGUGGGGGGAUGGGUGAAAUAGGUGAAGGGGAUUAAGAGUGCACUUAUCGUGAUGAGCACUGAGUAAUGUAUAGAAUUGUUGAAUCAUUACAUUGUGCAUCAGAAACUAAUAAAACACUGUAUUUUAAUUAUGCUGGAAUUAAAAAAAUACUUUUGAGGAAAGAAGUUUUUGGUACAAGCUCCACCUGGCUCUCUCUCUUUCUGAGGUGACUCACCCCUGGAACCUUGGAACCCAGACACCAAGGCAUGAGGAAGCCAAGCAGCCACAUGGAAAGGCCACAUAUAGAUGUGGCCAACAAUCAGCAUCAACCACCACAUAUGUGAGUGAGCGAACUCUCAGAAGAAACAAGCCCCCAACGUUGGAGCUGCCUCAGCUGACACUGAGUGAGCAGAGGCAAGCUGUUCCCUCAGAGCGCUACCCAAACUGCAGAUUUGUGCGCAAAACAAAUGUUGCUGUUGUUUAUGCCACCAAGGUAGGGCAUGACUAGUUAUGCAGCAAUAGAAAUCUGAAACACUCUUGUUAGAAAUGCUCAGGCCCAAACCUGUGGUCAUCCUUGCCACCUCUCUUUCUCUCAUACCCCACUCCCAAUCGGUCAGAAAAUGCUCACAAAACAUAUCCAGAAUCUGACCUCUUCUUGCCACCACCAUUGCUACCAAUCUUUCAACAUAGUUCCUCACAGGAGUUAUUUUGGUAGCUUCCCAACUAACCUCCCUAUUUCCACCCUUGCCCCUCUUCGAUCUCAUUCUCAACACAGCAGCUAAAGUGAUCCUAUUAAAAGUAUGUCAGAUCAUAUUAACCCUCUAAUCAAAAGCUCUAAUGGCUUCCCAUAUCGUGAUACAAUUUCUUCCAACCUCCCCAUGAGCUCUCUGUCCCCAUUUCCUACUCUUUUCAGUCCCCAGGUACACUGACUUACUUAAUGCUCCCCAGACACACAGGUCUGUUCCCACCCGGGCCUUUGCACAUGGUUUACUCCUUUACUUCCCUCAAGUCUUUCUCAAAUGUCACCUUUUUCAUGAGGAUGUUCCCUGCCACCUUAGCCUCCUUCCCUGCUUCAUUUUUCUCCACAGCACUCCUCACCACUCACAUAAUUUUAAUUAUUUAUCUGCUUUCUCAGUUGCCACUUUUCACACCACCACCACACUCACACACAGAGAGACCACAGAAAACAUAGUAGCGUGUUAGCUACAUGAUGUCAGGAGUUUCUGUUUUAGUCACUAUUCUAUCCCUGGCAUCUUAAACAGUACCUGAUUGACACAUUGAAGGCCAUUGAUAAGUAUCUGUUGAAUAAGUGGAUGGGAUUAAAUGCUUAGAUCAAGUCAUAUUAUCUAAGUGGCCUUAGGAAAAUUUGAGCCCAGUCUUUUGCUCUAGCUUUUAUACCAUGUAAAAUACAGUAAGAGAAUACCCAAAUUAAUCAAUAAAGAAAAUGUACUAUCUUAGAAAUGAGACAUCCUGACAUGCUUCCCAAGUUGAUUAUUUUAGAAGCAUGAUGAUGGUUCCCAGGACAUAGGCAUUUUCUAUCUUUUCUCUCUACCAUCUUUACUUAUUGUAUGUUAUGGACUAAAUGUUUGUGUCCUCCCCACUGCCCCCCCCCGCAAAAUUCUUCUGUUGAAACCCUAACCCCAAUGUCAUGGUAUUUGGAGGUGAGCCCUUCAGGAGGUAAUCAUGACUAGAUUAGGUGAUGAGGGUGGGACCCUCAUUAUGGGAUUAAUGCCCUUAUAAAAAAGAGGAGGAGACACGGGAUUUUUCUUUCCAUGUGUGCAUACCAAGAAAAGACCAUAUGAAGACAACCAAAAAGAGUGCCCUCACCAAAAACCUGAGCACCCUUAUUUUGGACUUACAGCCUCCAGAACUGUGAGAAAUUAAUAUUUGUUGUUCAAGCCACAGAGCCCAUUGUGUUUUUUAUGGCAGCUCAAGCAGACCAGGGUGGUAUGGCAGAUAUUUCCCCAAGAUGGCCACCCCUAUAUAUUUCUUCUAUGGCAUGUUUUUCAUGCAACGAGGCUGAUGUUCCUCCCACCAAGAGGUGGUGUCUAUGUUGUAGGGGUUGUAGACUGUCAAUCCUAAUCAACAGAGUGAGGUGGAAGUGAUGCUAUGUGAAACCAGAUUACCGAAAGCAUACAGCUUCCACUUGGCUCUCUCUUUCAGGAUGCUUCCUUGGGAACCUUGACAACAUAUUGUGAGGAAGCCCGUGCCACACGGAGAAGCUGACAUGGAGUGGAACUCAGCCCUCCCGCCAGCAGGCAGUUCCAAUUUGCCAGGCAUGUGAGUGAGCCAUUUUGGAAGCGGGUCCUUCGGCCACAGUCAAAACUUCAAAUAAGUACACCUCCAGCCAACAUGUGUUUGCAACCUCAUGGGAAACUCCUAAGCCAGAACCUCUCCCAAAUUCCUGGCUCACAGAAACCAUGAGAGAUUUUUGUUGUUUUAAGCCAUUAAGUUUUGGGGUAAUUUGUUAAGGAGUAUUUGUGUGAACCAGAUUGAUGUCAUCUUGGACAAAUCCACUGCGAUGACUCCUCUGUGACAUGAAGCCUUCUUGAGCACAGCACCCACCCCCCAAAUUCUUCCUUUUUGUUUAACCACACCCUUAAGUACACUCUUGGAGCAUGACAUCCUUGAUCUGCUCUGGAGAUAUGACUAUGAUUCUCAAACAUUCUCCUCCUGGGUGGUCUCCCAGUCUCUAAGGCUAUGAAAACAGGUCAAAACGGAUCUUACAGGAGGUGGGGUCGCAGAGAUAUCCUCUUGCCACCAGCCAAGACAUGCUUCUGUCCAUAAGUCCCUUUAAUGAAUCAUUUCUUGACAAGCUGUACUUGU
RNAcentral lists this long non-coding RNA (174861 nucleotides) under Lynx pardinus (Iberian lynx). The stretch from base 171610 to 171701 matches the Rfam family "tRNA". The record is from RNAcentral. Lineage: Eukaryota; Metazoa; Chordata; Mammalia; Carnivora; Felidae.